Molecule: long non-coding RNA, 95535 nt
Filed under: Fragaria vesca (wild strawberry)
Lineage: Eukaryota; Viridiplantae; Streptophyta; Magnoliopsida; Rosales; Rosaceae
Description: long non-coding RNA (FVES_LNC002788)
Source: RNAcentral
UUUUUUUUUUUUUUUCUAUAUAUUCUUUUAAUUAAUAUUCUUGUUGUUCUACUUCACAUAUCUAUUGUAGUUUUGCAAGAAAGUGGUGAUUGGUACCUGUUAUGAAUUUUUGAUACUUCCAUAGUUUUCUGGCUUACUGUUCUGAGAUUUAGAUGAAUUCAUCCAUCACCAUGGAAUUGGAGUUUUUAUUUAUUGUUGGUUUAUGAUGUUUCAGGCAAGACAUGUCCAACCGAUGGUAUAACAGUAGACAGGAGACAAACGCCCGAGACAAACAGCAACAUGAGAAGGAGCAGGUAACUAGUGGGUCUAGUUGUAUGAUUGGCUUCUCCAACAAGUGGUUAUUUUCAGUGACCUCCAAGUUCUAUGGCUACAUUAAUCAAAUAUAGUUGGCUAAUUUUAUAUUUAGGAAUUGGUUACUUGCCAACAAGAAGUUCCCAAUUUAACAAUAUGCAUUACAAUGAUUUUAUGGUGCAGGCAUAUCAGGAGUCACUUCUUGAUGAUCUAGCAGAGGAAUUUAGACUUCCUAUCAAUCAAAGGCCAACAGAAAAUGUUGAUCUGGAACACGUGGAACAAGCGUCGUUAGAUAGACAGUUACCGUCAUCUAACAUUGGUUUUCGGCUUCUCCAGAAAAUGGGGUGGAAGGGGAAGGGGCUCGGUAAAGAUGAACAAGGUUUGUUAUAUAUAUGAAAUUUAUUUGAUUCUGUAUUGAGUUUAUUGAUUGAUAUCCUUAAAGUAAGUGACCAACUUAUUUGGUGAAUAACUUGUAUGUCAACUUAUUUGCGUGCCUAAAGGCUACACCAUGUUGCUGGUUCUUUAGUAUAUAAGUUUUUCUUAAUCCCUCGGAUUGCGGUCGUUAUUGGUUUCACUGCUUAGUUGAUUCUAUUCUAGUAGGCUAGGUAUAAAGUAUUGGUAUUGCUUAUAGUAUCAGAUGAUAGAUUGGUCCUUAAUCCCUUUUAUUUGCUGUCAUUCAUGAUCUCACUGUUUAAUUGCUUCUAAUAGGGUAGGGGUCAUAUGAAGUAUUGGUAUAGCUUAUAGUAGCCCUGGUGUUCUACAUUCAAAACAUCUAAUCCGGUUCUGCAGGAAUUGUUGAGCCAAUAAAAUCUGGAAUUAGAGACCCAAGACUAGGAGUAGGAAAACAAGAAGAAGACGAUUAUUUUACUGCGGAAGAAAAUAUUCAAAGAAGAAAACUUGAUGUUGAGAUGGAAGAGACCGAGGAACAUGCAAAGAAGCGGGAGGUAUGCCGUCAAUCUUAGUUGCUAUAAGUACUUGAGUUAUUAGAUAAUAGUGAAGUUGAUAAGCUACUUUUUCUGAAACCCAUAUAUAAAAGCAGAAGGCAGCAUAUAGCAUAUAUGCCUGUCUUUUGACGGGAAUGGUAUAUCAUAAGGGACCAUCAACUUUGGAAGGUCUUGAGAAUUUCGUGCAGUUUUUAUUACCUGGUGGCUUCUACUGCCUGCUUCGUGCACAUUAAAAUCCAGGUUUUAGCAGAACGUGAGCAGAAAAUUCAAACUGAGGUGAAAGAAAUACGCAAAGUGUUCUUCUGUGACCUGUGCAACAAACAGUACAAAUUGGCUGUGGAAUUUGAAACUCACUUGAGCUCCUAUGAUCACAAUCACAGGAAGGUAAAUGGUUUAAACAAUCUUUUUUCUUUGACUUUAUUGUCUCAAAUUUGGUCUGAAUGGGAAUACCCCUCAAAUGAGGCUUGCAGCGUUUUAAAGAAAUGAAAGAAAUGCAUGGUUCAAGUGGUCGGGAUGAUCGCCAAAAACGGGAGCAGCAGCGCCAGGAGAAGGAAAUGGCAAAGUUUGCUCAGAUGUAAUCUUUCGCCUCUCUGCUUAAUAGUUCAUACAUUAUUUAUAUAUUUUUUUCUGUAUAGCCUCAUUGACUUAUCCUUCCUUUUUCUUUUCUUUAAUUUAAGGAGUGCCGAUGCCCGUAAGCAGCAGCAGCUACAACAACAGCAAGAAGAAUCUGCAUCUGCCCCAGGUUCUGCUGAACUGAGAAGUGCAACUGCACUUGCAGAUCAAGAUCAAAGGAAGGCUUUGAAAUUUGGGUUUUCUUCUAAAGGUGGCACCUCUAAGGUAAACUAAACUGAAGUGUGUAAUAUAUUGUGACUGUUUAUUUGAAGAUAUGAGUCUGAACUGCAGAUCACCAUCUAGGCAUGGUGACUAAUCUACAUCUGACUCGUAGGAAUUCAAUGCUAGCUUUUGUUAUUAAUGCAAUCAAUUCUAGUGAUGAAAAAAUAUGCCCCCUAACAUUUGGCAUUUCUCUCCCAUUUUGCAGACAUCAUUUGGUAGUGCUUCAAAGAAGCCAAAAGUAGCAAAAGUACCCGUGGCCUCAGUAUUUGGCAAUGAUAGCGAUGAAGAAUAGGUGACAUAGCUUGUAAUUGCCAGUCGGUUCUGUACCUUAAAGUUUGUGUGUGUCGUGUGCGUUUAUGUUCCCAGCAUAUGCAGUUGCGAUGAAAGAGAAAAAACAUUUUAUAGGUUUACUGAUUAAAGUCAAAAACACUUAAGAUUUUAUAAAGAAUGUCUAUUUAAGUGCAGACUAUUUGCUCAUGAGGAUGAAUAAUGCUUGUGAUCCCCUCAUGAAUAAUCAAGCUUCUUCGUCGUGUUCUUUUUUCUUUUUUUUUUUAAUUUUUUUUAUGCAUCAGUGCAAAGAUAUAGAUAAGAAGUUAAGAACCAUAUGUACAUUUUUAUUAUACAGUUUAAAGGAGAGAUUUGAAAAUGGUACACUCUUUGAUCACAACCUAUGACAUCUCCGUCUUAAGUUUCUGAAAACCACCAGUUACAGAAAAGCAGAAAAUGUGGUCGUUAAGCGGCUUCAGCAAAUCCAAUCUCAAGGUUGCCAAAGUCGAAAACUGUGUGAUAAGCCCCCAUAAAUACAUCUCCAAGGAUCCUGCAUGAACAUUGACAAGCCUGGAUAAAGAUGGACCUAAGCAGAUAUCUAUAAACUAGAGGAUAAAUUUUUCAUAACAUACCAAAGGGGACCCGUUGGAGGGGGUAUAUCGAAAGCUGUAAAACCACUGAUGCAGAUACCAGCUAUGCCUUGGCCAGUUUUCAGAACAUACUGUGAAGUAUGACAAAUAGUUGCAGAGUCAAUAUAGGAGAAAGUAUAACCAAUUAGAACCAUAAUCACUGAUAAAUCUCAAAUCUAACCUGUUGUGGAGUGAGAACAAAAGGCUUAUCUCCAAUGGUGAAGGUAAUGUUCGGCAUGCUUGAAAUGCUAUUGCAGUCAAUUAUCGACUCUCCCAUUGGACUUGGCAGGCUCUCACACAGCUGUUAAGUUCAAUACCAGCACCAACUUGUAAUUUUUCCUUACAAAACAUGAAAUGGUUCUAGAAAAGUUCAGAGAUUCUCACCUGAUCAAUGUACUGAAGUACUCUUUCUUUUGUUCCUUUUUGUUUAAGCUGAUUCUGGGCCCAAACAACAGCCAUCUCACAAGCUGUGCACAAGGCAGUGUCACCAACAGAUGAUUCCUCCCUAUCUUCUCUUUCGAUCACUGUUUCAAUUCCAGCACUCACAUACUGACCCCCAUUCAAAACACACAAACCAAGCUGCUUGCAUACUUGGUCAGGUUGUACCUGCAGAUAUGCAGAUCAUGGAUAAUCCAUAGAUCAGAUAUUAGGAUAUGUUAAGGUUGAGGAGAAAAGAAGGUUCAGAUUAUGUUAAAGACAGAGAAAAACACCUACCCCUGAUAUCAGAAGAUUCCAUAUCAAGUCUCCAUAUUGAGAAACAAUUUGUUUACAUUCUGUACUCACUACUCCUUCAGCUCCAAUAGCAUGGUUAACUUCAGUCACAAUAGACUGAAAGAAGAGACAUAAUGUGAAAUGAAGCUUGGAGUCUUUUUGAAUAUAAUACAACUCUAGACAAGGUGGAAGCACAUACUGUCGGGCCAGCGAGUAAGGACGUUCCUGAAUCCACAAUAGCAGCACAACCCCCCUCACAAACACCUGAAUACAAUCAUAAAGUUCAGUCAUUGCUUAGACAGUUACAAUUUGAGUUUUCUUCACGGUUUGAUACUAGAAUGAGGAAGUGAUUACUGAGUCACCUGUUGACUGGUUUCCGAUUUUGAGAUCUCCCAAACUGAACUGAAAGAAGUAAAGAGAUGUCAACUUAUAGAUAAUUUCCAAGGAAUGUAAGAGUUGCAGACAUAAAAUCUUCAGAAACUACCUACCUGCCAGUAGCCCUUUUUAGUAACUGGAACAUAGGUGUGCUUUCCAUUAUAGUGUUUUUUGUCAACACCACCAAAAACAAGUUCACCUCCAACUUCUGCAUCUGCAUCUCGAUUAAUCCAGAAUGAGAAGACCUCAUCAUUUAACAGACCUUGCUCUGCCAUUGUAGACCUGGAAAUUUAAAAUGAGGCACAUCAUUGCAGUUUAUAAGACACCAAAGUCUAGAAUAAUUAGUUUUGAGGACAGGCAAAAUAGACUUAAGUCACUUGACACAAGAAUUUGACAUGAAAAUAGUAAGAUACCACACUGGGGUAGCAUUUCCAACAGAGAUUUCCUGAAAUCCAAGCCCUAGAAGUCCAUCAAACUUUGCCAAGACAAAUGUGAGACUUCCUUCUCGUGUGGCCUCGAUGAAGUCCUGAAUGCAAAAAGUGAACAAUGAAGGUUCAGAAGCAUUACCAGUGAUGCAGCCAAACUAAAAAUCAAGUAAAACCCUACCUGAUUUUUGACAACUACAUUGCCGACUAGAACAUUAUCCUCACUGAAGAAACCAGAAAUGGAUCCACUUCCAUAUGUUAUUUGAGCAGAUUUUCCUGUACCACAAGGCAUCUAUUUAAAACUGAACUCCACAAAAUCACUAGAAACCCCUUAAAAGUCAAAAUCCAUUUGGUGAUUACCAUUUGCAGUAUAAGUACUCGACUUGCUUGACUUGUACCGAGUAUGGAAAUAGCAUGCAAUCUGGGGCAUGUAAUAAUGAUACAAUAUAUAAGAAUUUAUAGAAUAUGAUAACAACUUCACAAGCAAAAAUUAGUUAAGCAUAGUUUACAUACAGACAAGUAACACUUUGCUGAUGGCACCCAAAGAUUGGAACUUCCUGUGUCGAAUAUGACAGUAAAGUUCUGAGGUGGUGAGCCAAUACCAAUCUCACCAUAGUAUUGAGCGUCCAUAUAAUUCUCCAGGGGUACUAUAUCUUCAUCAUCUGAACUACCCAAAUUAUUAUGAUCAAACAUGCUCUUUAAACUAGUCCCUCUGAACUUUGCCAGUCUUGCUGCUCUGGCAGCUUUGAUGGUCUGAACAUCCAAGGUUCGCUUCUUCAGACCGAUCCUCACUAGGCCAUUAGAGGAAGCAGGAAGCAGUGCACAGAUCAAGGUCCAUACGUACAAAGCCACCAAGAUAUAUUUACUCCACAUGUUCAGAUAUAUCUAUAAAAAAAUAAAUAAAAAAAAUUAAAAAAAAAACUAUAAACAGUAAGCUGAGAGUUGAAUUGGAAGCAAGAACACACAAAAAUGAUCACUUAUGUAAGUUAAAGAUUAUACACAAACAAAAAGAAAAACCCAUGUCCGAAAAUAUACUAUUGCUAGCUUGCUAGUUGUUCUUGAUGAUCAUGAUAAAUUAGUAACUCAAACCUUUCUCAGCCAGCUUGGUUGGGGAAAGUUGGGGAUGGUGUUCCUGCAGAAGAUGAGUUUGGUGAUAUAAUUAAUUGAUGAUGAUGAGCUAGCCUGAAGUGUCCAGAAGAACAAGUAAUCCACAAAAGUAGGAAACUACUACUUGUAUAUAUAGUGGUCCAUACAAAUGCAUUAGUUACUUAACCAAUAAAAAUAUAUCUACAUCAACAUCACAGGCCUAAUGAGCUUCCUUCCAAAACUCAAAAAUUGCUAUAAUCUCCAAUGAUGCAGAUGGAAGCUACCUUGAAGUUUCCAAUAUAACAAGACAUGGACAUGAAGGAGCGGAUUUGGAAUCGAGUUCAAAAGUACUUGCCGUCCUAUCUGAAUCAGAACCGGUAUGAGAGGUGAAAUGAUUCUCCAGUACGUGUGGUUCCCAAUAAUUCAGAGGCUCAUCAGAACUUCACAACUGUUCAUGUUUACAGCACAAGAGAAAACAGUAUCCAACAAGUUGUUAUUAUGGAGGAAAUUCUUCAAAGAGUAGAGACCAAUGGACUGUUCUUCACUUUUCAAGUUCACCAAGGAAACUCCAAACAAAUAGUAGACGUAAACGUUAUGGUUCUUUUUAUAAUGUUGAAUGAAGUUUUGAGUUCGAAUCUCUCAUUUUUAAAGAUGAAAUGUUAAUAUUUUCAAGAAUUACUAAAUUUGCAAAUGAAGAUGAAAACAUGAACAAAUGAUUGCCUAAAUCGAACAUAUAUAUGAAAGCCAUCAUAACAACUAGUUUUUUUUUUAUUAAAGAAAAUAGACAAUUUCAUUAACUUGUCCACGGCCAGAAGACGUUUACCUCAAUCUACUCAUGACCAAAAAGUCUAGUUGACAACAAGCACUAACAGAGUGACAGGUAGUUACAAAAACAAGAAUAACAUUUAUCUCAUCAUUCUCUUAAAUUUGCAAAUGAUGAUGAAAAUAUGAACAAAUGAUUGCCUAAACAACAUACAUAUGAAAGCCAUCAUAACAAUUACACAUUACAAUUAGUUUGUUGCAAAGGCAAGAGUAACAUCCAUCCCAUCAUAUUCUCUUACUCUCAACGAAACAUUUCUUUCUAUAGCAAUCGAGUGGUAAAUAUUCUAAAAUGACAGAAGUUGACAAUGAAAUUGACAUGCCAAAGCAAAUUAACCAUGUCUCACAUAGCUUACGUGGUAUCCUCGGAUCCAUGUACAUGGAAGUGUAUUACAUCUGUAACAAUCUUUCCAUAAAAACUAUCUCAAUCUGUCAUUCUAAACUCUAAAACCCUAAACCUUACGGGCCCACUUCAGCUCGCCCGACUCGGCCCGCUGGAAAAACCCGACCCGUUAAGUUUAUACCCUGUUCUUCAUGAUUCCUACUCCAUUUUCAGUUCGCUUUCUAACUCAUUCUCAGAGUCGCCCAAAGGGCUUGUUUGGCACAGAAGGUAAACUUUAUCUGGGUUUCAGUUUCAACCCAGUUCUUUCUGCUCUAGUAGUUUCAUUUCUAAUUCCUUAUAAUUGCUAAUGGCUCCGAUUUGAGUGAUUCUAUAUGUGAAUUUCAUCUCAAACUCUCAGUACCCAGACAAAGUUUUGAUCUUUUCUCUUAUGUAUUUGUAUUCUCUUUGUCGAAAUGGGUUCUUUCAUCGACAUGUUUUGAACAUAAUGGUAUUUGGUAAUUUGAAGCAAUGAGAUUGAAUAGCUUUUCUAUUAGAACUAACUGAAAUUGUGAAGUGUGAAUGUGUGAUACAAAAGCUUUGUGCUUGUGAGUAAUGUAUAAAGUUGAAGACUAAUCAGCUGGAUAUGAUGGUAUUUACUGCUCAGUUGCAGAUAACUUGAUAGUUCAAAUGAUUAUCAUUCAUUGGAAUUAUACACCAAGAUGAAAAUUUGUGCUGGUGGUGGUUAGUCUGUAAGCAUAAAGUUGUAGACUUAGUAUUAGCUUGGAACAAGAUGGUAUAUACUCUUUGGUUGCAUUUAAACUGACGCAUUAGGAUACUUGUAUUUGGGUUUGUGUCAGUAGUCUGUGUUCUUCCACUCUCAGAAUUGCCAGUUUAAUUUGGUUACUGAAUAGGCUAUUACGAUAUUUUCAGUGGGAUAAGUCCAUUAACUUCUCCUGGGUGUGUGAAGAAAGUGCAGAGUUAUAGCAAAAAGUUAUUAAAGAUGGCAUUGAGGCGCUACUUGGGGUUUUCAGAUGGUGAGCUGAUGAGGUCAGAUUGCAAACCGUGUUCCAGAUUGAUGAGACAGACUGCCGGGAUUUUCACAGUUGGAGGGGCAUUUGGAUUCUGGAUUCUUUGUAGAUUGCAUUAUGGUAAGUUACUUGUAGUAGUUAUGACUCGUGAGUGUUGUAUCCAAGCAUGUUAAUGAUGUUGAGUCCCCAUAUAUCAUUUUGGAUCCCUCUUGUGUUAUAAUGCCAAGUAUUAGCAUAAACAUGUACAUGUGCACUUGUUCUUCCCGUUAGAUAACUCGUAAUAAAUAGCAGUAAUGUUUUCCUGUAAACAAAAUUGAUAACAAUUGUGGCUCUAUGCCUCUACAGGUCCCAGAAUUACAGUCCCUAGAGCUCUUCGGUGGGGAGCUUGUGGAGCUUUAUCUGUGAGCUCGUCCACUGCUUUGUUAGUUCGCUUGCUUAGUCCAGAAUGCGAGCCCCAAAACAUAGAAACUUACGACAAGGGAAAGUAGCACCUAAUCAUGAAGUGUACUGCUGUCUUGAGUAUGUUCUGAUGGAUUGAUAUGUAGGACUGCGAGUUAUAGAUGGAACUCUACUUAAAGCUAGAUAUUUUGCUCCGAAAUGGAUGUACCAUUUAGGCAUUUAUAUGAAAUGAACUGUGAUUAAAGAGAUGCUUUUCUUCGAUCUUUUUAUGGUUAUUGUUUGUUCUCGUUAUAACUGUUUGACAGGGGUGCAGAUUGAUUAACAAACAAACAGUUGGUCUGCUUAGUCAGAAUAUUAUAAAUGCCAUGGAUGCAAAGAUACUCAGCGAGUGAACUAGGUUUUGCUAUUCCUUCUCGAGCUUCUAUUUCUUCCGUUAAAGGAGAUUCGGGAAAAGAUGGAAUAGGAAGACGUGUUUCCAAUCUGUAAAUCAAAAUCCUCUGGCCAUUUUCACAGAACUGUGAGUUAUUUAUCAUAAACAGGUGCACAUGAAACAUGUUUCCCAAGUGCACAUGAGAACUGCACCAAUUUGCAAGUUAGCCAAUGCCUUUUGGUUCAAGUUAGAAUUGAUAACCAUAUUGGAACAAUUAGAAGAAUAACCAUAAACGGUAUUGGAACGAACAAUGAGAAAGAAGUUUGAUCAAAGCAUAUUCAAAAUAUACAGGUGAACUGCAUUGGUAUUCUACACAAUACCAUGAAACAGAUUCAGUUAAUUUGCCUCAUGUUCUCGAACAAUGAUAUCUUGCUCUCUCCUUCUUCAUUAGCAUAUAUUUGAAAAUUUGUUUUUCUACUCCUGUCUGUCCUUCUAUUGGAAGGAGAUUGUCUCUAUUGUCUGUCCUUCUACUCCUGCUGGAUUGUAAAUGUAGCACCAGUUUAUUUUUUCAAUUCUAUUUGAUUUGUAGUAUAUUCAAGUAGCUGCAAUAAAAUCCACUUUCAUUUACAUGAUUUGUUACAAUAGAAAACAAUUAUAUCACACGUGGUCAAGUUCAGUUCAUAUUGUUUGUACCUUUAGCCAGUUCAGCAUGGGCAGAUUCAGUCAGAUUCUUCAUAAUCUCAAGCAGUCCUUCACUGUCAGCUUCAACCUACAGAAAAAGCAAAACAGUAUCACAACCUUUACGACCUCUAUAAACUAGCAGUGAAAUUCUAAACCAGCAAAAAGUAAAGAUUGAAGUAUAGUUUUUUUUAUUAACAGAAAGGAUAGAUUCUACAAGCAGAUUAUAAAGGCAACUACAGGUUCAAACGGAUACCACAAAAGCGGACUGGUCUUCAUCAGCUACCUCUUUGGUUGGUUCUUCGAUCUUAACCUUCUGAACUUUUUCUUUCCAGAAGAUUCAGGUUUGCCAGCAUUGCUCUCAGCUGAAGCUUUCUUAGCCGCUCCUUCAGUUUUCUCCAUGUUAUCACAAAUAAAAUGGCAUUUCUUAAUAAAGCAAAAUCAUAGAAAUUAUUCACAAUAUUAACUGCUAUAUGCAUUUAAAAAUGAAUGAGUGAGCAAGGAACUUCACAAAGGAAGUACACGUAUUAGCUGGAUAAGUUUUAACAGCUAUGGCAAAAAAAUGGAAAGCUAGAAUUGUAGUAGUCCACAAAAUAAAAUAUGAACACUAUGUAGCUGUGAUCCAACUUUUAAAAUCAAACUGCAAAGGAGCAACAGAUUGAGGGUAGUUCUUAUAAUCAUAUUCGAUUUCUGGGAACAACUUGUAUUAUCAAUAUAUGAGGAUCUAUCAAUAAAAUUGCAUCUAAUUCUUCCAAAGAAGUCAUAGUAGUCAGAAAUAGUACAUGAUCCAACUUCCGGGCUUUCUUUCUUAUCACUGCCUCUACUUCAAGCUUUCCCUCCUUUCUCUUCUCUUCCUUGUAAGGCCCGCCUCUUGUAUCUUCUUCUCCUUUUCAGGCUUUCCCUAUAAAUUGUAUAGAAUCAAAUGAGAGUCAUUAGAAGCAAUCUUUAUUUAGAUAACCAUAUAUUUCAGGCCUUCCCUAUAGAUUGAAUAGAAUCAAAUGAGUGUCAAUAGAUGCAAACUUUAUUCAAAUAACCAUGGUUUUAGCAAGAGCAUACCUGAGAGGAGGUCCUCCUCUCCCGAAGCUUUCCUGCAGCAUUUGGAGAGGUGUUGUUAUCCAGUAAUGCAUUCAGUUUUGCUUUAAUCUGUUUUACUGAGCGGUACUUUUCUCAGGAGUAUAACACAUUUGAGCUAGUGUUUCCCACUAAUAAUUGCCAAAAGAGGCAUAGUAAAAAAGGAGCCUUUCCUCCUCUUUAGGAUCCCAUGGCGCAUCCUCGAUGAGAUCCUCCCACCUCUGUCUGCAGUCACUUUGUCAUCUUCCGACCUCUUUAGCAACCUCACCCCAGUCCUUGAUGUGUCCUCCCUUGGAAGCACCAACACUACUGACAACCUUAAGUAGUUUUUCAUCCUGGUCCGGUGUCCACCAAUCUGCAAAAUGAAAAUUUCAGAAACCAGAAUAAAAAAAACCUCUCCUCAAAGCAACCCACCUAGAAAGUACAAAACAAAGAUGAACAUCACCCCCAAAAUAAAUUUGUGCGAAAACAACAAACCCAAACCAACAUCAGCUACCUCUUUGGUUUUGUGGGUUUGGGUUUGUUGUUUUUGCACAUGUUUAUUUUGGGGGUGAUGUUAAUCUUUGCUUUGUAGUUUCUAGGUGGGUUGCUUUGAGGAUUGGUUUUUUUUAUUCUGGUUUCUGAAAUUUUCAUUUUGCAGAUUGGUGGACACUAGACCAGGAUGAAAAACUACUUAAGGCUGUCAGUAGUAUUGGUGCUUCCAAGGGAGGACACAUCAAGGACUGGGGUGAGGUCGCUAAGGAGGUCGGAAGAUGGCAAAGUGACUGCAGACAGAGGUGGGAGGAUCUCAUCGAGGAUGCGCCAUGGGAUCCUAAAGAGGAGGAAAUGCUUCUUUUUUACUAUGCUUUUUUGGCAAUUAUCAGUGGGAAACACUAGCUCAAAUGUGUUCUACUCCUGAAAAGUACCGCUCAGUAAAACAGGUGAAAGCAAAACUGAAUGCAAAAACAACAAACCCAGAAAACCAAAACUUGACCCAGAAGAAACCCACAAAUCCCUAAAAAAACAGCAAAACCACCAGAACCAGAAAGCACCAAAUCAAAAAGAAAUCAAACAUCAAUUAUCCAAGAAAGCACAAUAACCAUAAACCCAUCACAAUCCAAAUCAACCAAAACCUCAAAGAAGAAAUUAAAGCAAGCAAACAUGAACCACAACCAGAAAACAAGCCAAAUUACAGCAAACAAGAAAAUUAACUCACAAAACCAUGAACAAUCCAAAUUACUGCAAACAAGCCUAUUUAAAAUCACAAACCCAAGAGCAGAAAAAGGCACAUUUCCAAGAACCCACCAAAAUCCCCAAAAAGAAUGAACCCAAAAGCAAAGAAGUUCAUGCCAUAAAGUUAUAAUCAGAAUGAAUUGGAAGAUUACCAACAAUCAUUAAUCCGGAAGCACAGAGGUGGCAAAAAACCCUUUUUCAUCAGAGAAUAUGAGAGUAGGUUCUAUGGGCAAAAGGGUUUUCGUUUAUCAUGUUGGAGACCAGGCCCGCUCACCUGCGGGAGUCCUUUUACGGGACAGAAAGGGAUAGGUCACUCAUGAUAUUUGGAUUUAAAUGAAACUGAGGGCUGGAAGAAGCUUAACCCAAAUUCGUGAAUCACACCUGAUAACUCACCCUUAUUCAUCCUUCCUCUCCCUUCUCUUUCUCUUUCUCUCUAAUCUCUAAACCCAGGUGAGGUGCACUGCAACACAACCACCACCACAUCUCCGACGAAGAGCAACGACGCCGAGGGUAGCUUCGAACUCAUCGGAACCCGGCAGCUCACUCACUACCUUAGUUCAAUCGGAAUCGUUGCUUUGAUUAUAAUAGCCUUCUCUCUAUCAAUUCACCAACUGGGUAUGCACAAAAUGAUUCAAAGCUUCAGUCUUUAUGAUAAAAAAGCACAACCAAUCAAAACCCAAAUCUGAAAUGGAGGCUUUUACCUGAGAGAGAGAGCCAUCAAGUGAGACAUGAUUGGAUCAAGAAUGGUUUUUGGGUGAUGAAGAGGGAGUAAAAUAUAGGAGUUGGGGAGCCUUCAAAAUCGAUUGAGAAGAGGAAAUGGGUGUGAGAGUGCUCCUUCGGAGUGGUCGAAAGGACGGAUUUUGAUUCACGGGUUUUGAUCCUCGCCUGGGUUUCUCAAAGGAGAGGAAGGAAUGAACAAGGGUGAGUUAUCAGGUGUCAUUCACGAAUUUGGAUUAAGCUUCUUCCGGCCCUCACAUCAGUUUCAUUUAAAUCCAAAGAUCAUCCCUCACAUCAGUUUCGUUUAAAUCCAAAGAUCACGAGUGACCUAUCUCUUUCUGUACCGUAAAAGACAAGCGGGCCUGUGUUGGAGACUUAGCCAUCUCCUGGCUUUAUUUUGGUUUCCAACACCAAACCAGAAGAGGGCUAAAAAGCCAAGAAAGGGUCAUCAAAAUGGCCAAACGUAGCCUUUUUGCUGGCUCAUGCCAAACCAAAUUGUGGUCCCAUAUCAGAUUAAAAAAUUAAAAGUAGGCAUGUGGGUUGAUUGAUGAAAACUUAAAUUAUGACAAUUAUCCACUUUUUAUUAGAUAAUUUCAUUCUUAUCUCAUUACAACGGACUCAAAAUCAAUGUUAUAUAAGUGAUUAACCCAAUAAAUGAUUCAUAUCUUAUUUUGUUAAUAUAAUUACAACAUAAGCAAAAUAUUUAUUUGUCUAAAAAGUUAAUUCAAAAAUUAAUUUUGGUCCAAAUUCAAAUAUUGUUAUAAUAAAUUAAAUCUAUAAGUGAGAAAUUCUACAGUAUCUACCCGCACAUGAUAUCCACAUUUACAAUUAUGAUUACAUAUUUGUAGUCACAGUGAAAAAUAUUGAAAAGUAUAAUGUGAAAUCAUAAAAUAUUGAAGGAGCUAAAAUUUGGCUCUCUCUUACUGGAGAUGAUUUAGUAGUCUAUGAAUAAAAAAUAUUAUUUUCAAGGGCUAAAUUAUAGCCCAGGCCCCAAUUUAGCCCUCUCCUACUAGAGAUGGCCUUAGAAAAUGAGAAAGGAAAGUAUGAUUGGAGAUGAGAGAUUUUUCCUUUUUCCUUACGUUGUGUGUAGAUAAAGUAAUUUUAAUUUCUGUAGAAAAUAGAAAUUUUAAAAUUAUAGGAAUUACAAUUCCGUGAAUUUAAAUUCCAUUAAUUGAGAAUUCCAUUGUUUGUAUUUCAUGAUGUAGGGUUUUGAAAUGAUAAGAAUUUGUAUAUAGACUAACCUCAGUCAAGGGAAUUGACAAAUGACACCUAUUUUGUGAGGAAUUCAAGUCUGAAAUUUAAGCUUCCAAAUUCCACGAUAAUUUUCCCGUGAAAAUUGCUAAUUCCACGGGAUAAGAAUCCAAACGGGGAAAACAGUCAUAAGAAAUUGGGAAUUCUUUAUUUUUGAUUAAAUUCCCGGGAAUUCACCCACAUUGAAACACACCAUUAAAACAAACUAGUCUUUCUGCACGCGUGAUGCUCGUGCGAAAGGGCCGCGCUCACGCGUGUGUUUUAAAAUAUUAUGUCUUUAUCUUUGCAAUUGUUGCAAAGUAAUACUCACCGAGCGCAAAAUUGAUAGAAGAUACACAUGAAUAAAUCAUAUAUUGAAUAAACACUUUGAUGAUGAUGGAUUUGGUUCAUGCAUAAAGAAAUAAACUGAAAUUCAUUGCUCAUUCUAUGAAGGAACGUGAAACAAUUUCUCAAGUGAUUUAGGAAGACAAACUAUUUAAAUGAAGAAAAUUGACAAUAAUUGUUCUGUUCGAUCCACUACCUCUUAAAUCAAGACACAAAAGAACCAAGAACAUAAUCGUUCGCCAUCAUAAUUUAUAAAAGAACCAACCAUAAACUGCUCACUACACCAAAUAAUCACAUAAUCAGUCUAGUAUCACUCAUUAUGUAUAUCUCAAACGGCCAAACCUAAGAAUGAUUGAAAGUAAAUCCAUUUGUCAGUUGAAAGCAUAUACAGAGCGGAUAAUCAUAGCUCAAAAAUAUGAAAUUGGUUUACCUAAUUGAAAUUGCUUUCAAUUGAGAGAAUGACAGUAGUGUCCCAAUUAUAAACCCAAGAAUUGUAACUCAAAUGUUUGAAACUUCAAAGCGGACAUGAGUCACAUGAUCAAACAUCAAAACCACAGCAAUCAUGAUAAUACAAUUCGGUUCAACUUGCAUACACCAUACCUGUUUUUGUGCUUUAGUUUUCUCCACUUUUGGAUGCUUUAAUCAACAUCUACCGAUCUGGUUUUUGUACGAAUAUGGUAUGAGCAGUAGAAAGUAAAACUGCUCCUGAACGUAAAUGAAGCCACUUUUGUACGAUUGCUAAUCAGUUUUUGAAUGAAACUCAAACUAUCUUAGUCUCUUAGGUUAUUGUUUUACCUUUUGUUUAUUAUGUCAAUUUUUUGUAAACUUAUAUCAAGGGAUGGGUAGUUAAAGGGAUUAUGAUAAAUUUAAUCAAAGAGCAGUUCCAUAAGACAAAUUUGCUUAAUUAAUAGAGAUACACUAUCGCAAUAAAAAGAAAUACAAAAAACUAAGGACGUAUCCAUGAUCAAAUAUUGGGUUAGAAGUAUUUAAACCACUAGGUGAGGCUCGAAUUAUUAUUAUUAUUAUUAUUAUUAUUAUUAUUUUGUUAUUUUGAUCAAGGUCAUCAUAGGUUAAUAAAAAAACAAAAGGCAAAUGAAAAUUAAUAAGAAAGUACUCAAACCCCUGAUCGCAUGUAAGCAAGCGUCAGGUCUCAUAAUCAGCACUAACCCGAAUGAGACCGUGUCCAUGAUUACUUCUUCAACUCAAUAAGCAUAUCAGUGACCUUACUUGGAACCAUUCCAACUGAGCUACCGCACUAAUAUGAGCAUCCACACACCACACCAGUAAAUUUGGAGCGGAACAUGAGUCACCCCGUACAUUUUCUUUUUUUUUUCUUUUUUUUUUCUGAAGAGAAAUGAAUAAUUCAUUAAUCAAAAGAUAAUCUUAAUUACGAAAUCUACAAACACGAGGCCAAAAAACUAUAAAUAACAUAAAUAACAAAGAGUAUGGGUCUCCAACUCAACCAAACUAGAAAGAGUGAAAGGAAACCAAUACCUCACUAUACUAUGGACAAGAGAUUCUACAACCGAAAGCAUAAAUGCAACACUACCAAUCAAUCUACCACACCCACCACCCAUGUUUGCUGAUAUUGUCGUCGCCGUCGCCGCCAGCAUGGCCGGCCAGAGCCCAGUGUUGGUUGUGCGACCGCACCAGGCUCAGGAGCAAAUAGGGGCACAAAUGCUGCUUUCUAAUCCCUCUUUGAUUUGUCAUAUAUAUAUAUAUAUAUAUAUAUGUGUGUGUGAGAUAUAAUUUAAAAAUGUGCUAGUACUGCUACCUCAGUCUCUGGCCCUCAACUGACAUGAGGUCCCUAGCAUUUAUGUCUAUUUCGGCGUGGGCCUAGGGUUCUUUUUUCUUUCUUUUGGUUUCGCCCUUGGACAAUUAAUGAUUAAUUUUGAAAAUUUUGAACAAAACACUCGCAUUUAUGUAAUUCUUAUGGUUUUGAAUUGAAUCAGGAAACGUGUAAAGAUUAUGUAAAUGUAUAUGUUUAUAAGUUUAUACAUAUAUAAUAAGAAAAAGAUGUUAAUAACAGAAUUAAAGGGGACAAAUGAUUAUAUUUCUUUAUAUUUCUUCUCAAUUGCUUCUCCGGCUACUCAAAGAAAAAAAAAGUCUUCAUUUUUGAUUAUUUUAGAUCUGUCUUUGGAUAUAAAAAAAAUUUAUAAAGGGUUAAAUUUUUUUUCCCGCACUGGGCCUUGAAUUCUUCAGGACUGGCCCUGGCCGCCAGCUGUCGUGAAGUAGUGAGGAGUACUAAAUCAGAGCAAUGAUGCCCGAGCAACUACUGCCAAUCAAAUCCCAAUACACAAAUCAUACGAAAACCUACGCCCAUAAGAAGAGCUCCACCAAAUUAACACCAUACAAACCACAAUCAAUAUCCAAGCAAUGAAGUAGCUAUGAUUGACGAAAGAGGACCAAGAACAAGAGCAAGAACUAAGGACCAGAACCAAAGAAAAUGGGGAGUGAUGAACCCACGCGCAAGCACCAAUAAUCUAUUAGGUAAGUGCCAAAAAGCACUUUAAGCGUGUAGUCACACAUCUAUGAGCUUAUUAAUGGAAGCCUGUACAACUGGAAGCUAGUCUGGAACUGAUGGGAAGAAGAAUGCAUUAACGAAGAUACAACAUGAGACACCAAACAAAAAGAGUUUGUGAGUAUGAUAGUUUGUCUACAGAAACUGCAGGGGACAUAUCUAUCUAUCUCUACUAUUAAAAAGCGAGGCGCACCUUUGGUGUCUUUGAUUAAACCUUUUUUUUAAUUACUAAAAAAACCAAGGUACGUAAUAGAAAAUUCUCAAAGAAAUAAAAAUAAGUUAAUAUGGGCAUAACCGUAAAAUAUCACUGAAGUUUUAAGGAGAAAAAAAUGACGUGGUUUUUUCCCACUUUUGGAGGAGUAGUUAUAUAGGAAAUAAGAUAAUCAGAUUCAUUCCACUUUAAUUGGAGUAGUUCAAGUUAAACUUUUCUCAUUUUGUAAACUCAAGUGCAGAUGCACGGGUAAAAAGCUAGUAUAUAUAUAAUAUUGUUAAGCUAAUAGUACGGUUCACAGUAGUGUUCACAUGGUCACUUAAUGACCAAGGAAAUUAUGGUCAAUCACUGUUAGAUGUAAAUCCAAAAGUAGAAAAUAAAACAACUUAACUUUAAAAUAAUACUUCCUACGUACCCUUGGAUUUACAUCCAACGAGGUUUGACCAUGAUUUCUUUAGUCACUAGGUGACCAUGUGAACACUACUGGUACUGUUCGUUUCAAUGACAAAAUGACAGUGUUGCCCCUGAUAUGGUUAUAAUUACCUGACUGCCAUUUGUCUGAGAAAAAGACUGUUGUGCCCUCUAUUCUUUUUGGUGUAUCGUUUUGUUUUGCAUUUAGCCAUUGGAGGAGAGGUGAGGUUUUGGAGGAGAGCAAGAGAGACAAGCACUCGAUACAGUUGUCCCCAUCUCCCAUUGAUUCAUUUUAAAUCAGAUUCUGGCUAGAAAUCAAGACAUAUUCUUUGUGCGUGUUUACUGUAAUAGAGUGAGAGGAAGAGAAUUUGUUGAACUAUGCAGGUUUUGAUUUAUAAUUGUAUCAUAUAUCUAACGAUUGUGAAUACCUUACUAGCCCGCAGCAAAGCGCAGGUGAUUGACUCGUUUGUUUAAGACGAAUAAGAAACAAUGGCAACUCUAAUCCUUCCUUGAUAUCAGAUGGCUAAACAACAGGUUCUAAAUGAUAUGUACUAGACUAACGAAUCUAUAACAUUCAAUCAUUAAGAGCCACUUUAGCAUACUUUCUAUUUUAACUUUUAGUUAUUUUAGAUAGCGUGUUUAGUUUUUUUUUUUUCGGUAGCUCCAGCGGACAAUUCUUAAGAGCAACUUUAGCAGACUCUCUAUUUUAACUUUUAGCUAUUUUAGAUAGCGUGUUUAGUUUUUUUUAUAUUUUCGGAGCUCCAAAGUUUAGCUAUUAUGAUUUUUAGUUAUUUCGCUAGCUAAAUAUAGAGAGCGAGAUGACUCAGAUGAGGCUAGUUAUAAUUUAAUACAUUCGUUGUAAGAUAUUUUUACGUGAUAUAUAUAUUUAAACUAUUUAAUUUUUAUUUGAAGAAUAAUGUUGAUGUAAUGUUAGCUAAAAUAUAGAGCAUUGAUGCAGCCGUAUUUCUAAAAUGGCUAGCCAAAAUGAUGUUUUAGUUAAUUUGAUUAAAAUUUAACUCAAAAAUAACUAACAUUGUUAAAAAAGCUCUAAGGUGUACAAGUUAAUCAAGAGUUUCUCACCAAAAUUACAAAUUAAGGAUAUGCCGUGUGCAUAAGUUUGAAAUGAAGCUUAUCUCCGUCAAAAUUUGGUGUUGGGUAAAUUUGGAGACGUGUUGAGAUGGGCUGCAUGCGUAUCCUCUUUGUUGUACUUAAUUUUAGGAGCAGGAGUCGGCCACCAUGGCACCAUGAACCGGAAAACAGACUCCAACUUACCAUAAUGGUCGUAACCUCCUUCAAUGUAUAUAUCGUCGUCGACAUCGGAUUCUAAAUACAAAAUGUCAUCAUUAUUGGGGUCGAAAGCUAUUUCGGAAGCAACCUCCCUUGAGCGGCUUCAUUCGGUGAUCAAUGGAUUUUCCGAAACCAUUUUCUCUAGAGGAAGGGUGUCUUACACCACUUCCCAACUCUACCGCCAACCUUGUCAUCAUCGUCUUUCAACUCCCAAAUACUCAGACCUUUCCUCAAAUGCUAAAAAUAAAUCUCUAUUGUUGGGAACAAUCAUAUAUAUGAUCUUUAAAUAUGAUAGAAAUUUCAAUAAAGAAUAUAAGAAACAUAACUAUAUACAUAUAGGAUUGUAAGUUGUAAAUCAAUCCUAAUAUAGGAGUGAAAUAGUGUAAGAAUUCUAUAAAAGAAGUAUAAGGAAAAAAAAGAACUGACUUGAUUUUCCGAUUGAGGCAUGUAAAAAUGCACUUGACUAAAGACAGAUUUCGUCCCUACCCUUGUGCUUGUAGUUCAAUGGGCGUCCGCCUUGUAGAAUACAACAAUCGAUGAUCCAAGAUUGAAGCACCGUAAUUUUGGACUCUAGCUAAUCAUAAAUUGUAUCUUGUACUCUUUUGACUCGAAGAAUACUUGUAGAAGAAAUUAUGAAUCUUAAUCUUAUCUUUAAGGAGAUAUGAGUAUGAGUUUAUAUAAAACCCCAAGUGAACCAACAUGUCUGUUCACUUAUCUCCUUGAAGAAACACACUUAUUCCUAAAGACACCUAUUGAAAAAGACACACCAUUUCAAAUGAAAAGGUUAUAAGUAAUUUUAUUUUCAUUCAUAUUAGAUAUUAUUAUAUAAUUUCCAACAUCUAUUAUCUCCAUCUCCAAACAACAAAAUCCUGUACAACUGAAGACGGCCCUCUUGGCUCGCACUUCUUGCUCCCCGCUCCUUACCAGGAAGAUCAACGACAUCAAAAUAUAUAGUUAUUGUUCGAGAAGGGAUCCAAUGCGAUCAUAAAAUUGUGGUAAUAUCUGGACUUUCCCUUGUAAGCAACACCUGGAUUAGUUGGACUCCAAUGCAUCAAAACUUAAGUGUAGUGGGCGUGAAACAACCGAUUAUGUCCAUUUGCCAGUCUUAGAAGAGAAGAUCUCCACGUUGAGCUCCGAGCAAUUAUCCGAACCGAGUCUGUCCAUUGGUGAAAUUAAGUAUACGCACAAUCGCAUACUUGUAGUCAACAUUACUAUUUUUUUCACUUUAAGAAAGAACCAGGCUAGCUACACGAUCAAGCACUGAACCGAGGGCAAUUUAGGGCAGCUAAGCAUAUUUGGUUUUGAAACAAUAUAUAUUAAUUCUUGCGUAUAAAUGCUAGCUAUAACAGUAACGAUCAUCCCUUUGAAAUAAAAAAUUAAAGAAGAUGUUGGAUUUCAAGAGCAGAAGUACCAACUCUUUCGGUUUAAAGUAGCCUUAAUAAACAAUGUUCAAGAGUAGAUCGCCCCGAUAUGUAUGAAGUUUGAUUCAACAGUAGGAGAAAUUAUUAUUUGUACCCGGAACACCACCUGUUUUAUAUUCCUAUUUAAUCUUAUUGGUCCACGUGUUUUAUCUUUAUUUCUGAUUAGUGUAUUUAAUUACUUUUCUUUUUUUUUCCACCCCGUGUUGGUCUCCACAUAAAUCUGAGUUAUAUAAUUGGCCGAGUACAACGCCUGACAGUGCUACAUAGUGUUCCGGGUACAGAGAAUAAUUACUCCAACAGUAGAUAACAUCAAACUUGAUUAGUGGACUAUUUUUCUUUCAAUAUAUAUCAACAUAAUAUUUAUUUCUUUAAUUUGUAUGUUAAUUGUUCACACAUUCACCAGAGUUGUCCUAAUAUUGAAAGAGUAAUUAAGCAAAUAUUAUUGAUUUAUUCAAUGACACAUAAACGAGUACAUAUUAUUCAAAAACAUUAUCAUGAACAAUACAUAAAGAAAGAAAUAUAUAACAAUGUAAUGCAUAAAUAAGAUGGUGAAAGAAAAGAUACACAAUCUGUGGUUCAGUAAAAGUCAUGCACGAAAACUAGGGGAAAAACCGAAACACUAAGUAAGAAAUUGCAUAAACCAGACACAUCAUACUUCAAGGAAAAUUAAAGCCAUUAGCAGGAGGAGGAUUUGGCCACAUGAUACUGUGGCUUUGCUCUGCGAAGGGAAGCAUCAUAUCCUCCCCUGUAAAUCCCAUAUGUUGAUGGUGAUCUGGAUGUGGCUGUGGUGGUGGAGGUAGCGCAUUCAUCAGGUCCAUGAACAAGGGUUCCUUCUGAGCCGGCACCUGCAUCAUCUGGAACUGCAUUGCCUCCAUGUUAUGCAUGUGAUCAAAAGCUUCCCUGCCCAUGGCAGCAUGCAUGUUGCUGCCCUCUUCGUCACUCUUCAUCGCCAUGCUGUUACUGCUGCCCUCUCCAUUAUUCUUCACCCCUUGCACCUGGUGCUUGCUCUUCACAACCUCCUCCUUGAUGUUCUUCAUCCUUAGUUGUAACUCUUUCUGGUGUUGGUCAAUGACCCAGUUGAGAUCAGUCAGGUCUGAGAGGGUCAAGCCUUGGAGAGAGUUAUUACCAGUUAGGCUUUGGAACAUGAUGCGCGCCAUCUCCAUUUCUCGGUUGUCUUUCUUUUGCUUCUUGAGCUGUUCAUGAGCCUUGUUGAUUCUUUGCCUCAGGAAACUCUCCUGAUUCAUCAUCUUCUUGCUUUGCUCCAUUUCCGGCAUGGUCUUGAAAUACGCAAGCACGCGAUGGACUCCCAACGGGGAAGGCCAGACUUCAGGCUGGGAGUCAUAAGGGCUGUAGAUAAUAGCACAAGCAUCAAUGUCACAAAGGGUGGUGAGUUCAGUCACCUUCUUCAUAAGACCCUUCUUCCUUUUCUUAUAUGUAGCUUUUCGAGCACUGUCAUUAGUGAUGAAGGCAAGUUUCACCUUCUUUCUAGUCAUGGCUAGAAACAAGAGAUGAAAUUGUUACAAACUAGGAAGAAGGGAAUGAAGGAAUGGCCUUUCUGGUUUGUUCUUGCCCUGAAGAGACUCUGCUAGCUCUAGCUAUAUAAAGCAAGCGGAGGGGAUACCUAAUCAAUGUUGAUUGAAAUGCUACAGAUUUAUUGCCUUUUUUUGUUGGAUGCAAAUUCAAAGAUAAACAACUAAGAUGCAUGAAUGAGAGACCAGCCAAAUCCAUUCUGAUAUAUGGUGUCUUAGAAUCGAGCAUGUCCAUGGCUCCAUGUCAAUCUCUUACAAUGUGUUUGGUCAGCGAUGAAAUAAAGAUAGGGGUCUGAAAAUAGUAACAAAUAUGGAUUUGUUGUCAUAAUGUGUAUGAGAAAUGAGAAUUUCAAUAUGAAUGGUAGUGAAAGCGAGUUGGUGCAAAAUCGAUACUGGGCUCAGAUUCUUACCAUAUAAGAGAACGGUGACAGGUUGUAGAUAUACAAGCCAAGGUGACUGUACUUUUGAUACUGCAGGUUUUAUAUAGAAAGUUGUUUGUUGAUUUCCGUUUGUUCAUAAAAUAAAACAUAUAUCUAAUAUAUCUCAUUCAAUCAUUAGAGGAGAGUAAUGUUCCUAUGUUUUUAUGAUCACUUAUAAGCUAAUAUAUAUGAAUUCAAAUCUUCCUAUAGUUAAUAUGAUUCAGUUAGUUCUACUACCUAUUACGUAUGUAUAUUUUGUUGAGAUAUUGUCUGGCGACUUGUAACAUAUGCAAAUAAUAUGGUGAUAGAAAGAAAACGUAUAUGUCAAUUCUAUAGUACGUAUUCACACGCACAUGCACAAGAUACGUACAUAGGUAUUUUAGUUUUGCAUCGUCUUGAACUCAUGUUUCAAACCCACCCGAACCCGGUAACCCGCUAAACCUUCACAACUAGACUACUAAAUAGUAAAUAGAGCAGCAACAUCCAAGCUUAUACAGCUUACAAUUCACAGUUGCAGUUGCAGUGGCCAAGAAUGAGGUGGUACAAUCUUAAGUUUACAAUUAGGGUUUUCAGAGGUGAAGGGAAUCAUUACUGGGAAAGAUUGAUAACUUGCUUGUAUGUAGUACGUACAUGUUUGUGACUAUGUUGGAGACAAUGUGAAUGGAGUCACCCUCUUGUUAUUAUCUGGGUCGUGUGUGCCUUAUAUAUAACUGUAUAUAGAUGGAGCUAGCUAGUCAAAAUCAUGUUGAUACAGCAUCCGCCAUAUAUACUCGUUCCCUUAUAUGGUUUGCUACCUACACGUACAGUUGCAUUGUCCUCCUAGACUCUGCAAGUCGAUCAGAAGAACAAACACGUACUACAUAUAAGCAACAUCAGAAGACUCUGCAUGUUGAUACAACAUCCAUAUAUACUCGUUCCCUUGCAUACUUCUGAAUAUUUUGAUGUAUGUCAUGGUUUAGUGACUUCAAGGCAUCAAUCUCUCAUGCAGCUUUUUUCACUCCAGCUAGUUUUCAAGCUAUUCUGAUUACCGGAUAGUUUGUUUUUUCUUCUACGUCGUUUCAACCAACAAUAAUGCUUUUCUCAUGCAGAGAAAGUAGCUAGCUAGCCCUAACUUCACAGAUGUUCAUUCAGCCGUGUUCUAAUUAAGUUAUCUGUUUCGUUUCAUAGGAGUGAUUUCAAAUGGAACAUAUGUAUAUAUAGAUUGCAAAUGAGAAGAAUAUGUGUCACUGUCCUGAACCACCACUUGACCAGUAUAAGCAUCCACACCAGUAUCUUACUCGAUCAUCUAAUAUUUCCACUCUUAACUGUUUGGAGAUCGAUAUAUUACCAAGUGUUAUCUUACCAGUACUAGCUAUUAGAUCUUAGACUAUAUAUUCAGACUUUGGACUUCAAACAAUUGAUCAAACUCAUGCAUGCCGUUAAUGCAAGUCAUCAUGUUGUUUAGUGACUUCAAGUUCUACAUACAUGCGGUGAUGUUAUUGUACAAGCUUGUUACACUUCAUGCUGGUUCUGGCAAAUUGAAAUUGGCAUAGGAAUGUCAGGCAAAACUAAACAUACAAGACGAUGGAUGAUACCAAAAUCAAACAUUCAAACCCCCCAGCCCAGAUCUCGUAUUGCGGUCUGUGAAUGAUCCGAAGUUCCAUACCAUUCACUGAGGACUAAAAAAAGUGAAUAAUUACUCAAUUUCAACAAAAGUAAUUAUAAUCUAUAGUUCUACACACCAAAUGAGGACAAUUUUAGUGAGCAUUAGGGGGUACGUACUUAAGCAUAUCAAAUUUUCUGUUGAAUUAUUGUUAAUGUACGUCCUUUCCUUUGUACAAGAGUUGGAGCUUGAAAAGUGUCUUAGACAAUGAGACAGUUGAAAGUAACCGAUCACAUACCAAAUUCCACUAAUCCACUACGAUAUAUUCAAUUUUUGGGUUGAAUCCACCACAUCUUUACUUUCUUAAAGGAAAGAAAUUAAAUUGAAACCCCCUAUUGCGUUUGUAGUACAAAAGCAAGUUCAGUUUUAGAUUAACAUCGUUUUUGAUCGAUGUUACUGUUCGUCUAUCACAAACUUCAUUCUUUUAAUUGAUGCCAAAAUCUUUUGAGAUAGUUUGAGAGACUUCAUAGCAAUAGCUAGAUAACUAAGGUGAUUAACGAUUGUAUGUUGUAAAAAUAAAAAAUAAUUAAAAAAAAAACCCAUAGAAAUUUGAAAAUGAGAUCCAACAAAUAGAGUUCAAAAGUGAUUCAAAAUUUCUAGCCACUUUAUCGAGAAAAAUAUUUCCACAAAGAUGAGUAAGUUUAUAUUUACUAGCAGAGGCAACAAUUCCAUGACUACUUUCCGCUGAACUUGCUCAUUAGCUCAUGCAAAUGCUUCUUCCUUUGUAUCAUUUUCAAUUUUUCAUUAUGCUUAUUCUAUGACAGUAUGACCCUCUCCUACUUAUUCCUAUAUGCUGCUAGGUUUGUUUGUUAAGCUACUAAAUAUCAACUCCACACUGAUCUGUACUGAAUUUUUCUACACAUGUAAUAUGAUAUUGGAGGUAGCUAAAAUGAAUAUAGAUAUUUGUUAAUUCAAACAAAUUUCUUGAUUAACCGUGAUUUUAGCAACUUACGAGGCUUAAGAUUUAUGAUUUAUACUUUGAUCGAGUGAUAUCUACAUUACUAGCAACAUGAAAAAUAUGAUAUACACGCAAAUAAUACGAGCAAAAUUUUGCAACAUGUUUUAGAGAGAGACUGAACUUUACUUCAAUAAGUAAACAUUGCAGGUAGUUUGCAUACCAUCAAUCCCCAGCCCAUAAACCCGAAUUGCGGUUCAAGCAAAUCAACAGUUUUUAAGUGUUUUUAACCAUUUUAGAUUAAGAAAAGUAUUACUGUAGCCAGUAAAAAAAUAUUACUAUGUGGGGUGUCACGGGAUAAGAAGCAAACAAAUAGUAAACGAGCAAUGAGAGGGUUUGUUACUUUAAAAAAGAAGAAGAGAGGGUUUAUUUUUUGGCGCCACUUGACUAAUUAAUUCAUUUAAUUCCCACCUCCCACUUGUUCUAUCUCAUUACUCAUUUCCCCAUUAAUCUCAAUUAACCCCGUUAAUUAAUCCCAAUCUAAUUAAUCUGGCUCUGAAAACCCCCAAAUCCAAUCACACUCCCACACACUCUCUCUCCCCUCUCCAUUUCAUGCCCUCUUCUUCUUCUUCAACCUCAUCACCACCCCCCAUUUCAAACCCUAACCCUAACCUAAUGGACCAAACCCACCACCUCAACGGCGAUUCCGCCUCCCCAGCCUCCAAAAAGCCCAAGCUCGCCUUCAUCACCCCGGCCGAAAUCGCCGCCGAAUUCGCUCACCACGACUCCGCCGUGGCCCGAAUCAACAACGGCAGCUUCGGGUCUUGCCCCGACUCCGUCAUCCAGGCCCAGCGCCGCUGGCAGCUCCGGUACUUGGCCCAGCCCGAUAGCUUCUACUUCAACCACCUCCAAAGCGGCAUCCUCCACUCCCGCACCCUCAUCAAGGACCUCAUCAACGCCGACCACGUCGACGAGGUCUCCAUCGUCGACAACGCCACCACCGCCGCCGCCAUCGUCCUCCAGCAGGCCGCCUGGGGCUUCUCCGAGUCCAAAUUCGAGCGAGGCGACGCCGUCGUCAUGCUCCACUACGCCUACGGCGCCGUCAAGAAGUCCAUCGAGGCUUACGUCACCCGCGCCGGGGGACACGUCAUCGAGGUACCGUUGCCGUUUCCUUUGAAUUCCAAUGAGGAGAUUGUUUCCGAGUUUAAGAAGGCUCUAGAGUUAGGGAAGGCCAAUGGGAGGAGAGUUAGGCUAGCUGUGAUUGAUCACAUUACUUCGAUGCCGUGUGUUGUUGUACCUGUUAAGGAGUUGGUUAGGAUUUGUAGGGAGGAGGGUGUUGAUCAGGUUUUCGUCGACGCGGCGCAUAGCAUUGGGUGUACUGAGGUUGAUAUGAAGGAGAUUGGGGCUGAUUACUACACUAGUAACUUGCACAAGUGGUUCUUUUGCCCGCCGUCCAUUGCGUUUUUGUAUUGCAGGAAGUCUCCCAAGAAUGUGGAGCUGCACCACCCGGUGGUUUCGCACGAGUACGGGAAUGGAUUGGCUAUUGAGAGUGCGUGGAUUGGGACUAGGGAUUACAGCCCGCAGCUGGUUGUCCCUGCAGUUUUGGACUUUGUGAAGAGGUUUGAAGGCGGCAUCGAGGGGAUCAAGAAGAGGAAUCAUGACACGGUUGUUGAGAUGGGGAAGAUGUUGGCCAAGGCGUGGGGGACACAUCUAGGAUGCCCUCCGGAAAUGUGUGCUAGCAUGGUCAUGAUUGGUUUACCGGCAUGUUUGGGGAUUUCUAGUGAGAAGGAUACUCUGAAGUUGAGGACGCAUUUGAGGGAGAAGUUUGGUGUUGAAGUCCCUAUAUAUUUCCGACCACCCAAGAAUGGGGAGGUUGAGGUGGUGACUGGGUAUUGUCGGAUAUCGCAUCAAGUAUACAACAAAGUGGAUGAUUAUUACAAGUUCAGAGACGCAAUUAAUCAACUUGUUUCUGAUGGGUUUACUUGUGAUCUACUUACUAAUUGAUGAGGUAUGAUUGGCUUUCAUCUAUUUUAUUGAUCUGUUAGUUAGAAAUACUAAGAAUUGCAAUUUCUUUGACUAUCAGUGGCUUUUUCACAUGAAAGAUCUGUUUUGUUUUGUUGUAUGUUUUUUCAAUGAUUAGUUGAGUUCUGCCUAUCUUCACAUAUGGAGAUUCAAAUGCUAGUCUAAUAUAAUGAUGAGCCUAAGUUUCUCUGUUACUGUCUCUGCAAGUUGUAGCAUAGCUAAUUACUUGCUUCAGUAGUUAAUAUAGUUGUUAGGACUUGUGGCUAACUGGCUAUGGUAGCCGGGCAUUGCCAACCACUCUGUUUCAGGACAAAAUCAAUAUAGAAUAAUUCUAAAUUUCUAAUCGGUCCUGGAACGAGAUUGAUUUUAUAACAAUUCUCUGAUGGAGAAGUUCCUUCCCUAGAUAGGUCCAAUAUUGCAAUAUAUGCUUGCGGUUAAUCAUUGGAGAAUGCCUUAUUUCAGUUAUUACAUGACCUCUAAUAGGCUUGACUUGGUGAGGCAUGUUGAGUUGACAAGUGAUUUGGAAUUUAGCUAGUGACAUUUAUUCAGUAUGUUGUGAUUUUGUAUUAAUUGUAUGCAAGUUGUUUUGACAUGCAACUAUCUGUAUGCCUGUAGUCGGAUGAAGCAAACUGAAGAAGUUCUUCUGAUGAAUAACGUCCAUGGUUAUCUGCCUCCCCUGCAUGCCUCAGUAGGGGCAAUGGUUUCGUUACCAUAUGUUACAAAGAGUACUGCUAAGUGCAUGUAUCAAAGCAGAACCAAUUUUCUUCAUGGGUUUUAGUGUUUAGACUUCCUGGAGAUGUUAACUUGUCUGUUGUACGCAGUUGGAGUUGUUGUUGUAAAUGUUUAAUGACUGUCAUUUGUAUGGUUAUUUAACUUUAAAAACUCACAUUGAAAUAUGAGUUACCUACUUCAGGCUGCACAUUCAAUCUUUAGUUGUGAUCCACUUUGGCUCCAUUUUCCUAGUUAUGCAUCAUCAACCAAGGAUUUUAUCAAUGCCAAUCUUUUAUUAUAGAUUAGCAUUUAUGCUUUUAGCAGUAAAGUAUAUUACAAGUUUGAAGUUUUAGAAGGAUCGAACUGGAAUGCUUUGAAAUGGCGCUUGCUCCCCCAUAUGGUGGCUGAUGAUUAUUUUCCCUUGUUCUUAGUGGCUAUUGUUCUUUUUGUCUGCUGAAAUGCUUUGAAGUGGCACUUUUUCCCCCAUAUGGUGGCUGAUGAUUCUUUCCCCUUGUUCUUAGUGGCUAUUGUUCAUUUUGUCCACCCUUCGGGUACAAAUCUGAAGGGAAUGUUAUCUGCACCUUAAAGAAGGCUCGACUUCUGCUUGUGGAACUGAGCAGACCACAUAGAUGAGUCCUUGUGUCUGUUAUUUUCUUUGCUUGCGCUUCCAGUGAAUUUUGUUACAAAGUAUCAAUAUUGAACAGCUAGAGAAAAGAGAGUAGAACUUUUGAAUGACUUUUCAUAGUUCUAUAUUCUGAUCUCAAGUCUGCUGUCAAGUCUAUAUUUUAAUCUUUUGGAUUGAAAUCGGCUGUUAAUUGUUAAAGUUCAGAAAUUACUCUCUGCCUUGCUAUUUGUUCUGUUUUAUCCCCCCAAAAGGCCCCAAUCCAACUUGAAAUUUUAGGACAUUUCUCUUCCCUACCUAUAGGACCAUUUUUGGGACCAUGGUUAUUCUUUGUGUUUUUAGUUUUCUACUGUGUUGAUCAUUUUUUUUAUGUCAUUUGCAUGCAGAAGAAUUCGGAGAAAAGAAGGUCAGGGGUGAAUACAUCUGUUUGAAUCAUUACUUGUAUUGAAAUGAGUUUUCAUAUGAAUCUUUAGUUCAGUGAAGCCUGAAGAAGUCCAUAUCAUGAAUGGCACGAACCGUUACCACUGUCUCCUGCAUGUUGCUAGUCGCACCGGUUUCCUUACCAUGAAUAUCCUAGAGUGACCACAGAAACAAAGCUGGAGUGCAUAGAAGAAAUACUUUUGUCAGCUUAAUUUGAUUACAGGAUCGAGAUUGAUUCCGUUGAGCUGCUUUAACAUGUCUGCUGCUUAUUCUUGUUACUAUGAAUUGGAACAUGAUAUCUUCAUUUUCGCCCCCAAUUAAUGGACGAAAAAAAUGAUUAUCACCCUAUCAGGAAUCCAGUUAGUACUUAUCCACAUUCAUAUUUAUUCCUUCAUAGCUACUAUAUAAACAUAAUAAACAUAAGAUUUUUGAAGAGGAAUGGAGCUUGAUCUGUAUAGCAGGUAUAUGGAACUCUAUAUUGCACAGUAAGUAACAGGAAAACGCAGUCACUGAUAGAGCGAUCUACAGUCAUAUUGAUUCGAUGAAAUGCAUAUAUAUACUUGGACCGAAAAGAACAUCAAGGUCAUAUUAUAUGUGCAUAAUGAAGAAAUGGGGAUCUAGCUAGCAUGUCAAGCAAUUAUAGCCACUGACUUGAGGUCUAGCAAAACAAGGUUUCACAAGGUGAUAAUGAAUUAAUGAUAUUAUUUUCAAAAAAAAAAAAAGGUAGAUAAUGAUAUGGCACAGUCCGGACGAUGUAUAGACAUCUGCUUCUGAAAGUGGCUUAAAGAGCCUUAAUUGAGUUCACUUGCUGUGCAAUUCUUGGUUCAAGCUGGCAUUGGAGUCUACAGACAGAUCUUGUAAUGGUGAUAUUGCACCAAAAAUCCAUUUUGUCCACUUUCAUCUUGUCCCACACUGUCGAUGAUAAUCCACAAGUUUCAAGGUCUGAUAAUCAACAUAUAAAGGUUGUUAUUUCACGAAUUUAAAUGUUUCUACUAAAUACCUUAGGUUGCUGCCUUGCUGGGGGUUUAAACUUGUUGAGUUAAUCUUUUGAAACUUGUCAAAAUUGUCUCGUCUUAACCGUGACGGACGGCUGAUGUUGGUAUGUUGGUGUACUCCAUGGAGGAAAGAAUAUGAACUGCUGUAAUGCAAAUUAUACCUAGUUUCUUCACUUGUGUCAUGAACACAGACACUUUGGUGUUAAUGAGAAUCGAACGUACGUGGAUAAUCACUAACUCUCUAUAGUUUUAUUUGUGUCACCAAAACUGAUCAUUUUAGUGUUAAUACAUAUAUCAAGAGAAGAUUCAACCCUCAGGACUCAACCCUCAAUUUCAGUUCUACAAGGUAAACCAUCUCAAUUCUUCACAUCAAUACACAAAUUAGCUAGGGGUUUCCAAGAUAAUCUUACUUAUAUGUGAAUGUUCAUUCUCACACUUCAUAAGGACAAUUUUAUGGUGACUAAAGUUAAAAUCUCAACCAAAAAUCUGCUUCAAACCCUAAAUUCUAUAGAAAGAAAUGGUCAUAAAUUCUGACCCGACCAUUUCAUUUUCACGGUUAAUCAAUCUGCUAGUGUAUGCUUCUUCACGAUGACAAUUCUCUGACGAUUCAAAUAGUAAAAAUCUCAACCCAAAUAUUAAUCUGCUGAAAUUGUCAAAAGAAAUUAUCACAAUAAGCUAUAUAUAGCUUAUCUUAUAAUAACUUGACCCGUUCUCUUCUAUUUUCUCAAUUAAUCCUAUUUGAAGUAGUUUUUGAAACAUUAAUGGUGCGCAAUAAUACACUUGAGGACAAUGCAGCUACCAAUAGAAGAUAUAUUAUCACUUUGCUUGUCAUUUGCACAUCAAUUAAGAGAGUAGAGAAGGAUACGUAUCUAUUAAGCUUCAAAAUAGUAUUCCCAUCAGCGAGAAGAAACCCUAAAACGUAACUCAUGCAUCUAUAUGGAAAUGACUUGUGAACAGAAAAGAAAAAAAAUAAGACAGAGAAUAGAAAGCUAGUCGGACUCAGUUCAAUAGAGUAUAUGGAAUCAAUUGAAAGUUGAAACCACGUACGUACACUAGCUGCAGUUCAGACUAGUUCAAAUCUGUAUCAAUUUUGCCACUUGAUACAGAUUAGUUUCAUCUAAAUUACUAAAUAUAUGUGCGUAAUUGAAACUGAGACGGCUUGCAUUCGAUCACCAUUUGAAAAUGGUCACACCUACCGAUCGAUCGCGAGAAGUUAUCCCUUGAAAUAGUACUAUGUGCAAAAUAAUGUCAGUGAUCGAGUUACAAUACUCAUGAUGACGAGGAUACCAAUAGAACCAACGAUCAUGUUGCUUGUUAUUUGCAUGUUAGGAGCUCGCUAGAUAGAGUUGGAUGAUCAAGUGCAAUACGUAUCAAUUUAGCUUCAAAAUAGUAUUGACAAUAGCAUGAAGUAACCCUAAAAUGUAAUUCAUGCAUUCUGGGAAUGACGUGUGAUCAGAGAAAGAUCGAACGAGUUUCAGUUCAUGCAUCAACAUAGUAGAGAUUAACUGGUUUCAUCAAAUACUACAGUAGCCAACGUCUAUAUAUAGAGUACCAUCCGAUCGAGCUGCAAUAGUAGAAUUCAAAAGAGUGAUAUACAUACAUACAGAAAAAAUGAAAACCCCAGGAAUGUGUCUCGUUUUCUUCUUGCUCUCUGAUGUUCUAUUCAUCAAGGAUUCCAAAGCGGAAUCUUACGAAUACCUUCAGUUUGUGCUGCAGUACCCGCGAGGUACCUGUGUUAACGAUAAGACAUGCAAGCCGACGGCGAGCUUGCCGGCGAAGUUCGCUAUGCAUGGGAUUUGGCCCACGAAUAUAUCCGCGACGUACAUCAAAUGUAUACAGGCAGUGAAACAAUACCCGUUCGACAAAAACCUGGUAUGUGUUAUUUUUACUGAACAUCCUGCUUCUGCUGUUUACUUGAGGUUUAACUUUAGCUGAAUUAUGUAACCAAGUUCUUGUUUUGCCUUUCAGAUAACUCCUUCGCUCAAAGCUGAUCUCCUCCAAUCUUGGCGUCACGACAACUAAAGAUGAUAUCGCGUCUUGGCAAUACGAAUAUGAAAAGCAAGAACUACUUUGCUUGAUGAGUGUAAAUAAAAUUUAAGCAAUACUUGCUGAUUCUGAUUGGAGGCAUUGAUAAGGUACUGAAGGUAUUCGUACGAUUCGGCUUUGGAGUCCUUGAUAAAAAGAACAGCAGAGAGCAAGAAGAAAAUGAGACACAUUCCUGGGGUUUUCAUUUUUUCUGUAUGUAUGUAUAUCACUCUUUAAUUUGAAUUCUACUACUGCAGCUCGAUCGGAUGGUACUCGAUCUAGAUAUAGACGCUGGCUACUGUGGUUUGAUGAAACCAGUUAAUCUUUACUAUGUUGAUGCAUGAACCUUCAGUACCUUACGAAUACCUUGAGGAGUGUAAAUAACAUUUGAGCAAUACUUGCUGAUUCCAAUGCCUCCAAUCUUGGCCCGCAUGUCCAUACCUUCCUGAUUCUGAUUGGAAAUUUGGCCACUUAUUCCAGUUCAGAGAGAUGGUUUGGGAUUUGGAUAUGAUCCCAACUUUAACGAAUACAAAGUUAUUAACAUUGGAUACUCUGCUCCCCAAGAAGAAUUAUCUCAUAUAUUUAACAUUUAUAGUCCCCCCAAAGCAGCUGUCUACACUCUUGGUACUGAUUCUUGGAGAGAGAUCACGGCUGAUUCAUUAGAAACAGAAACCACUAAUUUUUGGCCAUAAGCUAUUUGGAAAAGCAAUACUUUGUAAGCUUGGGUAUAAUAUAUAAUGUUGUCCUGUGAGAGUGAGAGUAUGAGACAUUAACUCAAACUAACUAUUGCUUUCUACAUGUCAAGCUUGUUAAAUUAUCCUUUAGAAUAACAUCAGGAUCUUUCUGCUGUUGACGAUGGCCUCUUUGAAAGACAGAUGUCUUGAUACUUUCUAUUUUUUGAAGCAUAUCUAAAUGCUGUUAAAUUAGCGAAAUUCUAAUCAUCUGCGCAGAAGUAUGAAUCAUUCAAAGGCCUCCUUCUAGGUAACAUAAGAUAUCGUAGAAGCGAAUUCUUGAAAUGGCCAGGUUUUCUGUGCAUUUAGACAAUAGAUCUUAGAUUUUAAGUUAUGCAACUUUAUCUUCAUUUCACAUUAUGAUUUACUGAUUAACCGAAACUAAUGUAUGUCCUCUGCAGAUGUUAGGCCACAUUUGAACCUCCUUUAUGGUUACCUGACAGAAGAAGAGAGGAAGAAAGCUAAAGAAAAAGCUGAUAUUCUGGAUGAAGGCCUCAGCAGCUUGAGCUUCCCUAUAACUCAACUUGCAUUGUACAAAAUUGACUACAAAAAUAGAAGUCUUAAAUCAUGGGAGAAGAUUGCUGAAUACCCACUCCUAGUUGAGUAAUUCUAUCAAGUCAUGCUUAUAAUUAGGUUGUAUUGAAAUAUAAGACUGCCUCAGUGUCUCUGCUGCAUGUGUAGUCCUGUGACUCAUGUCUAGCAUACUUUGAUUUUGGAGGUGCUACAUAUGUGUCAUGAGAAUCUCUUAUUCCUAAACCUUCGUAAUGAUUAGUUGGUUUACUUUUUCGUACUAUUUCUCCAGUAUUAUUCCUUGGCCAAAAGCUAAAAACCAAACGUGUUUUAACUUACUGAUAGAAGCAAUGACAAAACAGACGGGAUAUAAGAAAAAAUAGUCCUCUCUCACCACCCUGAUUGUGACCCUAAGCACAGAAAAUGUUGUAAUCAUCGACUUUCGGUCACAUUCUAGUAUUCUAGUUUGAAUUAAAUUAGCUAUACUUGUGGCAAUGAUCUGAAAGUGUUUGUUCUUUGUUCAGUUGGAGUGAGGUUGGUCAUGGCUUGCAGGAUAAUCAUGUUUUACAGGUAUUAUGUUCCUCAUCUGUUUCUUCGUCAUCAGAAUAUCCAAAUCUUGAAUCCCAAGCUUUCAUUUCAUCUUUCAAAGGCAUCUUCAUACCACUAUUACCCUACUGUUACCCAAACCAAUUUCCCCAUCAAGCCAAAACUCUCUUCCUUCAUUACAGACUCUGAAAUCCAAACUGAAUUCUCUCACCAUGAUCCAGGUGUUGCCCGAAUAAACAAUGGCAGCUUUGGUUGCUCCCCUGCUUCUGUUACCUCUGCAUUGCAACAAUGGCAACUCAAUUGGCUGCGCCAGCCGGACCGUUUCUACUUCAAUGAGCUCCACAAGGGGAUACUCAAGUCAAGGAACACAGUUAAAGACCUCAUCAAUGCAGAGGAUGUUGAUGAAAUUUCCAUUGUAGAUAAUGCCACCACAGCAGUUGCCAUAGUCUUGCAUCAGAUGCAGUGGGCCUUCUCUGAAGGCAGAUUCAAGAAAGGGGAUGCUGUCAUCACACUGCAGUAUGCUUAUGGCGCGGUGAAGAACUCCAUCAAGGCCUAUUUUGAGCGAGCUGGCGGGUAUGUUAUUGAAGUUCCAUUUCAAUUUCCAGUGAAUUCCAGUGAAGAAAUAGUAAAUGAAUUUCGGAUGGCUUUGGUGAAGGAAAAGGCUAGUGGUAGAAGAGUUAGAUUAGCUCUGAUUGAUCAUGUUACAUCCAUGCCAUCUGUUUUACUUCCAGUUAAGAAAUUGGUUGAAGUGUGCAGGGAAGAAGGUGUUGAUCAAGUUUUCAUAGAUGGGGCUCAUGGUGUUGGGUGUGUAGAUGUUGAUAUGCAAGAAAUAGGGGCAGAUUUUUACACUAGUAAUUUGCACAAGUGGUUCUUCUGCCCUGCUUCGGUUGCAUUUCUGUAUUGUAGGAAGUCAGUCACACAUUCAGAACUGCAUCAUCCUAUGGUGUCUCAUGAUUAUGGUAAAGGGUUGGCUAUUGAAAGCUGCUGGAUAGGGACUAGGGAUUAUAGUCCUUCUUUAGUGGUUCCUUCAGCUGUGGAGUUCACAAACAGGUUUGAAGGCGGUAUCGAUGGAAUCAAAAGGAGGAAUCAUGAUGCUGUUGUUGAGAUGGGACAGAUGUUGGCAAAGGCUUGGGGAACCAAUCUUGGGUCUCCACCGGAUAUGUGUCCAAGCAUGAUCAUGGUGGGAAUGCCGGCUUGUUUGGGGGUUUCAAGUGAUGAUGAUGCCUUGAAAUUAAGGACACAUCUGAGGGAGAAAUUUGGUGUUGAAGUCCCAAUAUAUUACCGAAUGCCGAAGCAUGAAGAGGUUGCAACAGCAACAACUGCGUAUGCUCGAGUUUCUCAUCAAGUCUACAACAAAGUUGAUGACUAUUAUAAGUUCAGAGAUGCAAUCAAUCAACUUGUUUGUGAUGGGUUCACCUGUGCUCGAUCUUUAUGAACUGCCUUUAUCCUAAUUACGACUCUUCAUGCUGUAGAAGGAAUGAAGGGAUGCAAUGAAUCUGUUUGAAUUAGUACUUGCAUUGAAAUGAGUUUUCAUGUGAAUAUUUAGUUCAGUGAAGCCUGAAGAAGUCCAUAUCAUGAAUAACAGGAGCCAUUACCAAUUUACCACUCUGUCCAUGCAUGUUGCUAGUCGCGUUGGUUUUGUUACCUUUAAGAGUGACCAUAGAAACAAAGAUGGAGAAGCUGCAUAAAGUACUUUUCUCAGCUUAGUUUAACUACAGGAGUUUGCUUCAAUUGAGCUGUUUUGACAUGUCUGCUGCUCUUUUUUUUUUUUCGAUUUCAGUCUGCUGCUUGUUCUUGUUACUAUGAAUUAGAACAUGAUAUCUUCAUGUUCACCGCCAAUUUAUGGACAACAUAACAAGAUCACAACUCUACUAGGAAUCCAAAUAAUAAUAAAAUCCACAUUCACAUCCACUCUUCCGUAGCUACCCUGCUAAUAAACAUAAGAGGAAUUGCAGGUUUGCUAAAAACGAUGAUGAAUGGAGCUUAGAUCUCUACUGUCGUAUUGAUUAGAUGAAAUGCAUAUACUUGGACGAAACAGAACAUAAAGGUCAUAUUAUAUGUACAUUCUACUUCAGCAAGUAUGUCAUUUUUUUAAAGUUGAAUAUGAUAUGGCUCAAUCCAGAUGAUGUAUGGACGACUUCGCUUUUUAAGGUCGCUUAAAGAGGCUUAAAUUAAGUUCACUGUUUGGUUUUGGUAAGCACAUCCUUCGUCUUCAAGGCACUAGAGGAUAGUCAGUAUACAGAUAUACAGACAACUAAAUCUUUCAAAAAAUUUCCAUUUUGUCCACCUUCAUCUUUUGUCAUUGAUGAUCAACAAGUUUCAAGGUUGUUAAUUUCAGAAUUUGAAUGCUUCCACCAGAUAGCUUAGGUUGUUAAAUUUCAAGUUUUAUCUUUUGAAACUUGUCUAUAGUCAUAAUCUUGGUAUUAUUUUCCUCAAAAUUGUGUCAGCCCUAAAUGGCUAAAUGUGACAACUAGUACUAUAGUGUUAUUUUAUAUUUUAUUGUGGGUAUGAAGUUCAAAUCUUGAAAUCCUAGAGCAACCUUUGAUGUUGGUGUACUCCCUAGAGGAAAGAAUGUGAAUUUCUUUCAUGCAAAUUAAUCCCUUAGUUUCCCUUGUGUUACAAAUUUUUUUCUCGAAGUAGCGUAGAACUUUUAAUCGUAUUUAAAUACAAUUAUUCGUCAAAACAACUUUUACAAAAGAAAAAAGAUAAGUAAAUCUAGAUUGGGUUUUAUGACGAAGUGCCUUGUUUGCCAAGCAAUGAGCUGCCUCAUUGUUUUCACGAUAAAUAGAUUUGAAUAGCUACCACUCAUAACACUUGACUCGGAUUUUAAGUACACAUUUACAUAAGCCUAAAUUCAGGUUGAGACUCGAACGUGUUUAAUGACUAACUCUCUAAUUUCUCUUUUGUCAUAAAGACCGACCAUUUUGGUGUUAAUGAGAAUUGAAAGUGCAUAAUCACAAAAUACCAACGAAACUACGUUACCAACCCACUACCUUAUUUGCUUUUUAUAAAAUUAUAGGAGGUAACACACUUAAGUCAAUAAAAGAUUCAUCGAUUUAUAAAAUAUACACGGUUUCAACCAAUGCAUGUGGUCUUGUGAUACUUGCCUAGUUAGGUUGUGGAGAUUUUGAAGCUGUGAAACUGCUCCGACACUAUGUUACAAUAUAUAUUUGGAGCACUUCACAUGCACAGGUAUAAGACAUGGACAUCAUUUGAAUCAUCCUAAACAAAAAUAUAAAGGGUUUAUUGAAGAAAAUUCGUAUAAUCAUAGAAAAUGAGAUAUGGUGCAAAGGAGAGUGAAUCCAAACACUAUCCGAACGUAACACGAAGACAUGUUUCAUCUUCCAUCUCUAUAAACUAUAUAAACCAAAUUAACCACCGCUCUCUCCCCUUUCUCUCCCUCGCAAUCGAGGCCUCCGACGCAUGUGUCAGCCAAUCCCAAAAUUCACAGCUGAGAGCCCAAUUCCCAAAUACCAAAGCCCCAAUUCGAAUUGGGCACUGAGGACUACCCUCAAUCUCAAUUCUACAAGGUAAACCAUCUCAAUUCUUCACAUCAAUACUCAAAUUAGGGUUCCCCAGAUUAUGUUACUUGUAUUAUUUUGUUAAAGUUUUGAAAUUUCGUGUUCAUGGAUGCUCUAAUUGAAGAUUCCAAUGUGUUUUGGCUUGAAAUUUAGGUACCCAAUUGGUAAUUUUUGAGGAACUCAACAAUUGGGUGGCUUAAUCAGUUUGAUCUUUGAUAAAGUCUGAAACUUUAACUGGUUAGGAUCUCAGAUAUGAACAAAAAGUGUUCCUUUUCUUGCAUUUGUGUUCGGUUUUUUGAACUUUUUGGUUUUGUUGAUGAGUGAAUUUGAAGCAAUUAAUUGAAAGACUGAAAUUUAAGUCUGUUUUUCGAUAUGUGUAUUUGUCAGUAAGCAGAAAGAACCCUAUCAUUCUAUUUCAGGUUAAAGGACUAAAGUAGAAGUUAGAGUCCAGCAGUUCUUGUCUAGGAUGUAUUUGUUUAGCUCGAUUAGAUUUCUUAAGAAUGAGCUAGUCACUUUUCAGCACUGUUGUGAUAGAUAGUAACAUAGUAUCUAUAGCUUGAUUAGUUUUGAGACUAGGGUUUGAACAAAAUUUUAUUAUUAUGUUUGACUGAUGCAGAUCAUGGAGGGGAAGAGAAUCAUAACGAUUUGUCAGUCAGGGGGUGAAUUCUUUACUGAGAAGGAUGGUACAUUGUCAUAUAGAGGCGGUGACGCUCAUGCUAUUGACAUUGAUGAAGGGGUGAAGUUUAAUGAGUUCAAAAUGGAGGUGUCAGAGAUGUUUGGUUGUAACACCAAUAACAUGUCCAUCAAGUACUUCCUCCCUGGGAACAAGAAGACCCUGAUUACUGUUUCAAAUGACAAGGAUCUCAUGCGCAUGAUCAAAUUCCAUGAUGAUUUUGCAACAGUCGAUAUUUAUGUCAUGGAAGAAACAAUCGCACCCGAAGUCUCAAACAUGCCUGCCAGUAGGUAGUCCUCCUGAUAUGUAAGCUAGUACUUAAUACCUUCUCCGCAAGUAUUCUUUAUUGUGAAAUUUCAGAAUGUCUUGGAUUCCUUUUGUAGGUCAAGCAGAACGACUUUGUCUGAAACUGUGCUUCCAGUUGAUGAUGUGGCUCUGGAUGUUUCGGAGUUUGUUGGUGAUACCCCCCAGCCAGAUAUCCCACUAGAUGCCUCUCUUGAUGUUCUAGAUGAUACCAGCCCUAUCGAUACACAUAUUGAUCUACCCACUGAGAUGUCACCCCUUUUCCCUUUUGUUGGCCUCAUUGACGAGAAACUUGCUAAGGGUGCACAGCAGUGGCAGAAUUCCAUUACGGGUGUGGGUCAGAGAUUCAAUAGCGUUCAUGAAUUUCGUGAAUCAUUGCGUAAAUAUGCCAUUGCGCAUCAGUUUGCCUUUAGGUAUAAGAAGAAUGAUAGUCAUCGUGUGACUGUUAAGUGCAAGGCUGAAGGCUGCCCUUGGAGAAUUCAUGCAUCAAGGUUGUCUACAACUCAGUUAAUAUGUAUCAAGAAGAUGAAUCCAGCACAUACAUGUGAAGGGGCUGUUGCUACAACAGGGCAUCAGGCAACAAGGAGUUGGGUGGCUAGUAUUAUUAAGGAGAAGUUAAAAUACUUGCCUAAUUAUAAGCCCAAGGAUAUCGUCAAUGACAUCAAGCAAGAAUAUGGAAUUCAGCUGAACUACUUUCAAGCCUGGCGUGGGAAAGAAAUAGCGAAGGAGCAGCUUCAGGGUUCAUACAAAGACGCAUAUAAUCAGUUACCCCUUUUCUGUGAGAAGAUAAUGGAGACAAACCCUGGUAGUUUUGCUUUAUUUACUACCAAGGAAGAUUCGAGUUUCCACCGGCUCUUUGUCUCAUUCCAUGCCUCAUUAUCUGGGUUCCAGCAAGGUUGCAGGCCUCUCCUUUUUCUUGAUAGCAUUCCUCUAAAGUCAAAAUAUCAAGGCACAUUGUUGGCUGCAACUGCUGCAGAUGGGGAUGAUGGGGUUUUCCCUGUUGCUUUCACUGUUGUGGAUGCAGAAAGUGAUGAUAACUGGCAUUGGUUUUUACUACAGCUGAAGUCCUCAUUUUCAACUUCUUGUCCGAUAACAUUUGUGGCCGACAGACAGAAGGGGUUAAGGGAAUCAAUUGCUGAAAUAUUCAAAGACUCAUACCAUGGCUAUUGCCUGCGAUACUUGACUGAGCAACUCAUCAGAGACUUGAAAGGGCAGUUUUCUCACGAGGUGAAGAGACUCAUGGUUGAGGAUUUCUAUGCAGCUGCUUAUGCACCUACUCCUGAUAACUUCCAAAGGUGUCUUGAGAGCAUUAAAAGUAUCUCAUUAGAAGCUUACAAUUGGAUCGUACAAAGUGAGCCCUACAACUGGGCGAAUGCAUAUUUUAAGGGUGCCAGAUAUAACCAUAUGACAUCUAACUUUGGGGAGCUGUUUUACAGUUGGGCAUCAGAUGCACACGAGUUACCAAUAACUCAGAUGGUCGAUGUGAUCAGGGGUAAGAUUAUGGACUUGAUCUACAAAAGAAGAGCAGAUUCCGAUCAAUGGUUGACAAGGCUAACUCCAUCCAUGGAGGAAAAGCUAGAAAAGGAAACCCUUAAAGUCCAAAGCCUUCAAGUGCUGCUAUCGGCUGGUAGCACAUUUGAGGUUCGUGGUGACUCCAUUGAAGUUGUGGAUGUAGAUUGCUGGAACUGUAGUUGUAAAGGGUGGCAGUUAACUGGUUUACCAUGCUGUCAUGCAAUUGCAGUCAUUGGUUGUAUGGGUCGGAACCCAUAUGAUUAUUGUUCAAGAUUCUUUACGACUGACAGCUACAGAUUGACAUACUCAGAGUCAAUACAUCCUAUUCCACAAGUAGACAUUCCUGUGACGAAGACUACUUCUCAGGUAGCAGUAACCGUUAGCCCUCCUCCAACACGACGCCCACCUGGCCGGCCAACUACCAAAAAAUAUGGACCGCAAGAAAUGAAUAAGCGUCAACUCCAGUGUAGCAGAUGCAAGGGUCUGGGGCACAACAAGUCCACAUGCAAGGAGAUAUUACUAGAGUAUUAGCCUGUAAGUAUUAUUUUUUAUUUGAAAACGUUUAAGCUUCCUUCAUAUGCAUUUGAUCACGGUUUUGAUCGUUGUUGUAGCAAUAAGCCAAUAAGCUAGUAACAAUAAUGUUGUUUCACUGCCUAUGUGAUUUUACUGGUUUGUUGAUUCGUGUCUUUAGCAAUACAAGCUCAUUUUGUAGGCAUGGCUUCUGUGUGUAAUUUUGUAAAUGUGGUACAUAGAAAGUUUAUUACAUAUAUAUGAUACAAGCAGGUGUUAGAGCCUGAUGCUGGCCCUUUUGUAGUAAUGGACGAUGAUCAUAAUGACAUGUUGAUAGGCAUUUGUAGAGAAGCCUUUGUGUUGAUACCUUAAAUUAAUGUUCCGUGAUGUUGAUCUGUGACUCGGCAUCUACAUUUCAGCAUCUAUCCUGUGUCUUUUUAUUUCGUCAAGUGUAAUGUGAUGGUGUUAGGUGGUAUAUGUCCAUUUUUACUGGGAUAUAUAUCAAUAAUUGAUGUGCUUCCUUUUUCUUGAUUCUGUUAAUAGGAUUGCAUCAGAGGACAAGGGGUACCAGUGUCCAGUGGAACUUCUGUUUACUCAAUUUUAAUAAGCAAGUCAAGGAACCUGAUGUAUGUAAUACUAGCAUUUCUUUUGUAAUUAUUGGUUCUCUUUCUGUAGUUUUGGUAACUUGGGUUCCAACAAAGUUGAAAAGUAAGUCUAAAUGACCUUGAAAUGAUAAUAGGAUGUAGCAUGUUUUAGGUUAGUUUAAGGUCAUGAAAGUGGAAAAUUGUGGAUCCAAAACAUCUGGUACAUGUAGUUUUAGUAUUGUGAAUCUUUAAAGCAGCUGAUUUAUCUCAAGUUGAGCUUGCAAUCAAUACUGAGUUCUCAGUAGCACGAGUUUCGACUUGCAACAGUAAUGCAUCAUCCAAAUUUUUGAUGUAACAAGGAUGGUAGACUUGGUAGACUUGUACCACCAGGCACCAGCAUGGCGUCUACUCCGGUGUAGCUGAUGAAGCACUUAGGAGUCAAUGUAUCAUAUCUUCUUUAUGCGUUAUAUGAAGUUAUGAAUAUGAACCAAUAUGACCUCCUUUCACUGUAUCAGUAUACUGAUGGUGGUGAUCAUAUGUUCGAAACUUUGAAUACAUUUGUGUGAGGGAUUUCGCUCUCCAAGCAGCAGCUGAUCUAAGACUUAGUGGCAAACUUGCUGAACAGCUUGUUUUACAUUCUCAAGUAAACUUGAUCAGUGAUUACCUCCAAUCACUGAUAGAUUUGUGAAUUAGUAAAUAAAAGUGCUUUGAUCCAUAGUAUUACUAAAACGGACUUGGGUGCCUCUCGUCUACGAUAAAAGCUUUCAAAUCAAUCGUCAACAUUUACAUAUCAAAUCGGUUGCGCCCUUAAAAUUUCAUCACAAGUGUCUAUGUACACAUACAAAUUUCAAUCUCGUCCAACCAAAAAAGCUGGUGAUUCAUUAAAAUCGAAGAUGAAAUUUACAAACGUAAAGAUGCAACUGGUUUAAGGUGUAAAUAAAUUUACACACAUAUGUAAAUUCUUUUUACUUUUCCGGGCCCACACAUCCUUACAAAAGAAUCUCAUACAAAGACUUUGACUACUCUUCACCUCCCUCUUCUUCUUCUUCUUCAAUCUUCAAUCGUCCUCUCCCUCCAAAAAAAAAAACAAUGGAGAACCCUAAUUCCACCCCCAACGGAGCAGUCCCGGCCGGAAGAGUACAAGACGAGGAGUGCAGCAACUGCGGCACCAAGAAAGCGUGGGUCCUACACAACGUCCGCUACCGCGCCAACCUCCGCCGCCUCUGCACCUCCUGCGUCCUCCGCCUCCACCCCUCCAGCUUCUGCCCCUUGUGCUUCCUCUCCCACCCUGACCUAAAUUCCCAAAACGCCCUCGUCUCCUGCUCCAAGUGCCCCUCCCUCUCCCACCCUGACUGCCUCCCUCCCUACGCCGCCUUCUCCCCCUCCCCCUUCCUCUGCCCGCCCUGCUCCUCCGCCAACCCCAACACCUUCUCCUUCUUCCAAUUAGACGACCGCCACCGCUCCCUCGACAAGCGCCUCGCCGCCGUGCUCCUCUGCGCCGCCACCAUCGCCGCCUCCUCCAUGUCCAAGGCCGUCGCCGUCGCACGCGCCGAGGCCGAGCGGCGCGUGAGGGAGGCCGCCAACGCCAGGAAGCGCGCUCGUGAGGCCUUGGACCGCUUCGUCAUACUCUCCUCCUCCGCCAAGGCCGUCCGCGCCGACGUCUCGGGGUCCUCCAACGGCGGAAAACAAGCCUCCAAGAACAAUGAGAAACCGAAUGGGUUGAAAGGGAAAGAGUGACAAAUUUACUGUAUUUUAGUUUGCAGCAUUGUAGAGUCUGAUUAAUGUGUAUAGGGACCUUUGGUUCCUCUCAAAUUAUUGAUCUUUUCUUAGUCUCUAUGCUUGAAUGAUCAUUUUUUCUGCAGAUUCCUAGCUCUGAUUAGAUGAUACUAGCUGCAUUACCAGUUGUACAUUGUCUCUAAUUUUCGAAAAAUUCUGAUAAAAAAAUUGGAGGAGAGCAGCUUCUGCAAAACCUCUCAGAGACUGUUAAUAACUUCACAAUUGUAAAUUUCUCUCAUGGUAAUUAGUAAUAACCAACAACGGUUAACCAGUUGUAAAAACCUAACCAACAGUUCUCAAGAGGGAGAUUUAACUAACAAUAAGCAAACUAUUUCAAAAUACUGUAAGUUCAAUGUGGCAGUCUUAUUCCCAUAUAUGCACACAGCAUACGAGCUGAGAGUGAGCAGCAUUGCAGCAACACAAAGGAACCAAUCGACCAAAAAGCAGAGAGGAACCAGCCGGCGUAGUAUAUGACAGCAAAACAGGCGAGCUUCUAAACGACAUCAACCUACUCAGUUCCUCAGCAGCAGCCUUCUCUCUGACAUAAGGAAGAGAAAAUCAGCUGGAUCUCGACUGCUUAAAACCUGCUUUGCACUUUUGCUUUGUCCAAAGAGACUAUAUCAACUUUCCCCUCUUCUAGGAAUGUGGAGUCUUUACUUAACAUAUGAAGAUCAUUCAUCUUUCACCAUCAGUUUCUGAGUCUUAUCAAUCUUUCACCCUUGACACUUGGAUUGUUGUGAAUCAGAAAUGGGACAACAUUCCACCUUUGUUUCAUUGAACAGGAUAGCCUCCAUAGUCUUUCAGCCUCAAAUAUUCGAGUAUCCUCCUUGUUUAGAAAAUCGCAAUUGUCUGCAAAAAUCAUGGUUCUAAAAGCUGUAAAGAAUGGUAGCCUUCUUAACCUCUUGGUAAUUCCUUACCCUACAAAGCAUAAACACCAAAAAGUAAAUUCAGAUGCAGAUAGACAGUGUAUCACUUGAUUAUCACAGAGGCACUUAAUUAUGCCAACAUAAAGCCAAGGAAUAGCCAACUGACUCGAUCACAUAGUUAUGUCAAUAAUAAGUUAGACAGGUAUUUUCAGCACAGUUCUAUCUGAAGUUUUGUGCUAUCAUAUCAUCAAGAAAAAAUGAAAACCGCUGGCAGAGAUAUAAGCCAUAAUAUUGUCAAACACAUAUGCAAGCUACCUGACAAAAUCAAGCCAUGCAUACAUUACAUGUACUGAUGUACAAAGUAUGGUUUCUGAAGUGCGAAUUUGAGCAAGUACAGUACAACCGACAGACCUGAUUUUAUUCAUACCAGUCGAUCUUUCUUCAGAGUCAUCUCCCCCAAGAUGAGGAUGCUUGGAGAAAUGACCACAAGUCCGAUAGUAGAUUGUGGACUGAUGAAGAAGUGCACUCUGAGGCGCUCCCAGAACCUUAAAUUGGAUCAGCUAACCAGAAUCUGGACUUAUUACAUGAGCCCUGAAUUCUACGGAGGAACCCUUGGCAUUCUAGCCAAGUAAUUUGGCUGAAAAGGGCUGACAGGAGGAGUUCAGAAUGACAACUUCUCACGCGACUAAUGGAGAAAAAAGUUUCUAUCAUGUUGCAUCUAAGCCCUCUGCAAGGAUGUUGCUAACAGUAUCUUGGCCACUGAAAGUAUCAUAGUCCAGUGAUUUCCUAUCUACUUCGUCACUUACAGCAGACCCGAUCAACAACGCAUGAGUCUUUGCAUCUGGCACCCAACCCUUCUCCAAGAUCGUAUCCAAAAAUCUGCUGGCGUCAUGUUUAUAACCCUCUUUCCAGAGGCCAUGAAUUAGGAUGUUGUAGGCUGUUGAAUUUAGAACUUCACUAUUGCGAAUAAGAUUAUGAAUUGAUCCUAAAAUUCUGUGCAACUGAGAAUGCUUGUCUAUACAAGACAGUAGACUAACUAGUCUCUCUGAAUCAGGUUCAAGACCCUUACUGACCAUCAUGCUGAAAAGCAAUACACAUUCUUUUACUCGAUUCUGCUCACUCAUGCUUUGUAUGAGGAUGCAGUAGGCGUCCAAAUCAAAAUUACAACCCUCCACCAGCAUUUUUGAUAGGAUAAUCAUCUGUUCUUUUGUCUUGUCUAAUCUUGAUAAUCCUAUCAAAAUGGUGGAAUAAGUUGAACUUGUAUAAAAAGUACCAGAAUAGUACGCCAGUUUCUGUAGCCGUAUUGCUUCACUAACCUUUCCUGUCUCACAAAUACCCUUGAUCAACAUAUUGAAGGAGGAAGACUGGAGAGAGCAUCCAUUACUAGACAUGUAAUAGAACACAUCAGCCGCCUCGCGAGCCAUUUCCUCCAGGCAAAGGCCUUUGACAAGCUCAGAGUAAGAUGUAGGAUCCAAAAGCCAGUAUUUGGCACGAACAUGUUGAAAUAUAUCAAGAGCUUUUCUGUAAUUACUGAUUCUGCAGUUGCCAACAACAAGAGCCGAGUAUGUAGCACAAUCAGGAAUAGAAAAUGACACCACCAUUCUACCAAGAAGUUCAAACACUUCCCUAAUCCUUGCGUUCUCACAGAGCCAUCUGAUGAGAAUAUUCCAAGAAUUACAAUCAGCUAGGUUUCUUUCCGACAUUUUCACAAGUAGAUCUUUUGCUAUGGUAAUUUUACCAGUAUUGCAGCAACCUUCAAGCAACACAUUAUAGGCAGAAGUUUCAAGGAUAUGCUUAUCUUCCAAGAACUUCAGAGCAUCAUCUAUCUUUCCCAAUGUACAGAAGACAUUCAUUACAUCCACAAACACAUGACUGGGUGGUGUCAAUCCAGUUUCUAUCAUGUCUUCUAGAACCUUUAUCGAAUCAUCUAAGUAUAGGUUUUUGCAUAAACACUGUAAUAGAACCCCAUAAAUCCGUGAAUCCGGCAUAACAUCUGAAGCUCGCAUCAUCUUGAACAAUCUGAUUCCCUCUGCUGGUUUAUUUUCUCUACAUAACAAAGGUAUUAUGCAAGUAUAAAAACUCAAAUCAAGCUGAUAAUCAAGUACAAACAUUUCACUUAAAACAAUAACAGCUUCAUCCAUGCGAUCCUUUGCAAAAAGGGCCUGUAUGAUUAUCUCAAAUGUUCUACUAUUAGGACUACACCCCUUCUUUCUCAUCCUCCUAUACUGAUCCAAAGCCGACUCAAACCGAUCACUCUCCAACAAACCCUGUAUCAAAUAAUUCAAGGUCUCAACAGUCGGUAACACCCCUGCCUUCACCAUCUCCUUAUAAACAAGCACCAUGUCUCGAAAAUCCCUCUUCUCCUUCACAAGAGCACCCAAUAUUACAUUAAAUGUCUCAACUGACACCCUAUAUCCACCUGCUGUCAUAUUCACAAGCACCCUAACUGCCUCACUCACCCUGCCAUGCCUAACAAACACAUCAAUCAAUUCCAAAAGAGCUUCUCCAACACCAGGACAUCUAUCUUUGACCAUAUGAUGACAAAACCCUUCCAUUUCCUUAACAUUUCCAGCCAAACCCAGCUUCAGAACUAUCUUAAAAUACGUUUCGGCGGUGUGGGUAAACCGUUUCUGGAGUGAAGCCCAUUUGAAGAGCUUCACUGCCGAGCUCAAAUCAUCAGUGUUAUCCAAAACCCGGGCCAAGUUAUCAGGAACAAGCUUGGUCUUCAAAGACUGAAUAUUUUGCUCAAAUUCAGAUAAAUUCGGUGGGUCUGGAUUGUUUUCUGGGUGGAGUUCAAUGGUUUUAGCGCAUGAGAUUGAAGAAAGGUAAGCAGUUGAAGAAACCCAGAUGGGGAAUCCCUUGGAAAAAGAUAAAGGCCGGAGCUUUAUAGCCAUUGCAAGAAUUCAUCAACACACUUUGCUUCUCUAAAUCAUGUAAAGUGUUGUAUUGGCUUAAAUGCAACGAGGGAUGAUCACUGACCUGAACAGAGGCGACGGUGAUCGAUCUUGGAGCUCCCAAUUAAACCAGAGAUUGUCAAGUUUGAACCUUCAUGUUCUUCCUAGUUAAGCUUAAGCCUGACUGCGUUAGUUGUUUUUUCUCUCUUUCAAGAUGAAAAGUCACUAUUACCCCUACGAUGUAAUUUAUUUACGGAUACGUUUCCGGACGUUUCUGACAUGUUUGCGGCCGGUUCUGACACGUUUUUGGCGUUUCCGAUAACAUAUUUUUAACCUACAAAACACCGGGUACAUGCUGAUGUACUCAUCUCUCAGCUUCACAGCCGUGGCUUCUAUUCCAAGUUCCAACCCAUCACCACCAUUCCACCACUCACCGCCAUUUUAUUUUUUUAAGAAUAUCAACGACGGUAUUUUUAAAGGUUAUUCAAACUCAGACACUAAUCCAUGUUUAGGGAUCAUAUCAGAACGUUUUCUCUCUCUGGCCAUUAAGAAUAAAUUGGGAAUUAACUUUAAUUAACGUCAGCUGAGAAUCGAACAUGGAUACGAAGUUUCACACCUAGCUUUUUACCAACUCGACUACAUGGUUGCCAUUUUCCUUUUAUAUAUACAUAUAUAUUUAUACAGCUCGACAGAUAGAUAUUGUUGAAGCUUGAGAACAUGCAUCAGUGACUUGUCGGCCGGACUGGAUUAUUAUCAAUUCGGUGAUGAACAUAGCAGAGAGGCUACAGUGGGAAGGAUGCAAAAAGUUAACAUACAUUUUUGUGGAAUGUGAGGCCGGGUAGAUCGAUCGUAGAUUACAUGCACUGAAGCAUCGAUCUCUCUGUACGUGUAUGAGUACGAGACGAUCGUUGAACCCAACAUGGAUCGGUUCCAGAAUUCCCUGUGCUGGAGAACUUGGAAGAGUUAUUAGUUGGCUGAAUUACCGGAUGGGUCUCUCGUCAUUCUGAAAUUAUUGAAUGUGAUACGUUGUUACAACUAGAUGGUGGAUUACCAUCAAGCUUGUUACAAAGACUGCCAAAUCUAGAAGUCUAGAACAACUAGCUAGAAUGUGAUUCCAUGAAGGGGAUUGAAUACGUGUUUGGGGAUAGUGGCAAACAAUCAAAAUUUGAGAAUGAUACGUACACUUGUGAGCGUUUACAUUAAGAAGCAUAUGUCAUGGACACCUACAAUGUUCCAGACCCUUGAGUGGUUGUCCUUGUCCUUGUCCUUGUCCUUGACAGAUCCACCUUGCCUUGCCCGGAAGUCUCUUCACCUAUGAUGAUGAUCCUCAGUGUCUUUCUCAGCUGAAUUUGUUGGAUUUACAGCGUUGCUAUGAUCGAUUUGGAAAACAUAGUUGAAGCAAGCAACAUACAACAAAAACAUUCUUCCAAAAUUGUUUGUGGAUUUUGUUCUUUUUACAAUAUGCUUGUACUUUGCCCGUGCAAUGCUGCGGAUUUUGUGUUUUUUCUUAUAAUAUGUGUUACAUGUUAACAAAAAAAGGUUUGUAACACGGAAAUAACUUGGGUGACCAACUAUGGUCAUUUAUGGAUGACAAACACCAAUGAGAGAUUGACAAAUCAACAAUAAUUAUAAACAAAUAUUUCAAAUACCCAAGACUCUCAUGUUAUAUCCUUAAAUUGCAGCCAAGCUUUUUACAAUUGACAUGUGUCCCAUGUUUAUUGGUUGUUAAAGGUUUUAAAAUGGACAUGUGUCUCAUAUUCAUUGGUUGUGGUCAUCUUAAGAUGACCAACCCUUAUCACUGAAAUCGGGUUCUUUUAACACCCCCACUUAUAUACACACAUAUUUCACAAAAAAUAAUAAUAAUAACAAACUUACAUGCAAACCAAUAGUAAUGUUCCCACAAUAACAGGUAAAAUAUACACAAGUAAUUCAUACAUGGAUAAAUCUAACCUUUGGAGACGAUAAGCCUAAUGAAUGAAAUUAAAAAAAUGGACCGCAAGUUACUGUUAGCAUGCUAAUGUCAUGAAACUAAUGUUAACAAAAAUAGACUUCUAAGCAUGAGUCAUGCAUGUAGAUAUCAUGUGUCUCGAUAUUCUUAGGUACGGUAUUGAUCGGUUACUAAUACUAUGCUGAAAAAUCUACUUCAAAUAACAUUACUAUUUCUUUUUAAUUUCCUCAAAUAUCUCAAUUGUUUUGUAAUCCUGGGGAUGCUUCAGGUAAAUCUGGUCCGGAAAGAGCUCGCAAAAGGUUCUUUGGUGCUAGAAAAGCUUUGGUGAUGCAGGUGGAGGCCGGAGAGUUUGAGUCGGGAAUUAGUGAUGUGGUUCCUGGAAAAUCAAAGGUGGCGUCGGGCUCUGGUGCUUCCUUCUCAACUGUUGUAGAGACGUUGGUGGAGACAGUGGAUGAGGAGGUGUCACUAGGGUCAGAAGGCAGCUCACUUGGAGAUUUCUCGGCAGCUUUAAUUUGGGUUAGUGUCUUUAGAAUAAGAUAGUCAAGAAUAAAUUAGGUUUUUCUAGGACUUUUUGGUUGUUUUUGUCUUUUUUGGUUACUUGGUUAUCUUGGUGUCGACCACGUUUAUGUGUUGCAGUAUAUAAAUUAUCCAGGGUACUUCGGUUCUUAGCUAGGUAGUUUUGCAUGAUUCAAUAUCUAACGUUUGCCCGCGAGGGUAUUUCAUGUUCAUGUUGUAAUCUGACUUUCAGUUAUCAAUAUAUUAAUGGUUAACGUCUAUUUAUAAAAAAUAAAAUAAAAUAAAAUCUCAAUAGUUUUGUAUGAAAUAAGGUUGAGAUCUGUUUUCACUAACAAAAACAAGUACUUUGAACUAAAUAAUCGAUUAGGAGUUUAUACACACAAAGAGCAAAUACUACAUGACCCAAUGCAACCAGAGUAUCAUUCCAUCAUUUCCAUUUUAAUUAGGCUUAAUAUUUGUGAUUGACAAGACAAUACAAAUGUUACAUAUCGAUUUCAACCAUUUUCUUAUGUAACAAACAACUUCAUAUUGUGUGAUUCUUAGACACAUUAGUUAGCAGGCCAUUCGUAUAAUUGAAACCGCAAUUUGCAAGAAACGGCUUUCGAAAACUUGGUUCGAUGGUACAUCGGUACUAAUGAAAGUAAGCCCCAGUGACCCAGUCACAUAAAGUAAGCCUGCUGUGUCAAAUAGUUUUUUUUUUUUUUGGCGAGAUUGUGUCAAAUAGUUUUGAAAAUCGACAUUUUGGUUCUCUAGUAUACUAAGUAGUGAAAAUAAGAGAAACUAAGUGCAUGUACGACAGAACGUUUGCAAGUUAACAACAAAUAAGUGAAGUCAAUGGUAUGAGAAAUAUUUAGGCCUCGUUUGGUUUACGUAAUAAAAAUAAGAGAAAAAUAAUUAUUUGAAAUUUCUUUGGAGAUGGAAAAUUACAACACCCAACAAUUUUCUUUUUCUGUGUUUGAAAAAGCCAGGAAUACAUCUGUAAUUUAUUAUGGAAUUUGAAAAGGAAAGUGAAUCUUUGGGGUGGGGGAGGGAGCCAUUUUCCACAUAAUUUAUUUAUUUUUAUUUGGGAACCACUUUCAUUUCUCACUAUUUUUCUUUGGUUUCUAAACAAUGAAAAUUAUUAACUUUCCUUUCUCAAUAGUUUGAUUCCAGGAACCAAAUAUGAUCUAAGGUAUGAGUUGAGAUAUGAGCCGGAAAAGUGUAGAUAAAAUGAAGAGUGGAACCUCUCAAUUCUUUCUUCUGACUUGUUCAUUUUGGUUACUAUCAGAUUAAGCGCUCGUAACUUCUUCGAUUUCGCAUCUUCAACUCAUGUUUUUGAAACACUUAAACUUCUUUUUCAGGUUUCAAAUUUUUUAACAACGUUCAUAUAUAACAAGAUCAAAUAAAAGACUGAAAUAACAUAGAUAUUUGGUUCACUAGCAUAUGUAUGCGUACCGUAAUUCUGAACGAAGCCCCAAUUAUUUUUCUAACAACCGGUCCAAACUCCAAAUAGAAAACAUUGAAGCAUGACUCAUCGCUGAGGAAUCAUUUUCAAAAUAGGAAAGAUUCGAACCCGGUCCUAAAUAGUACCUCGGUGGCAAGCACCCAUUGGUUUUGAACCCAAAAUUUGGAUUUGCCGCGCGUUGGGUCAAACUCAAACCCACGAGGACCAACCGCAGCCUCGGACUCUCCCCGAACCACAGCCUCGGCUACUAACCCGCCUCUGUCACGGCCUAGAUAAGACAAAACAAUCAUAUAAUUAAGCAAUCCAAAUCCCUCAUCAAUAACCCUAAUUUCUCGGCCCCAUUGGCUCUAAAAUCGCAGUCCACUCUCAGCCGUCUGAUGAGUCAAUCUCCACCGUUGGUCCAAGACUAUUAGUGCUGUCUGGCUAAAACAGAGUGGUUCAUUUCAGAGGUGUGUGUGUCUGGUCUGUAAGUCAUUUUGGUGAGGACAAGACAAAGAGAUUCCCGAAGUUGGGUUUGGCUCACAAGCUCUCUCCUCAAACUGGGUCUCACUCCAAACCUGGUAAUCUUCUCUCUCUAACUCUCUAGGUCUCUAUCUCUCUGGCUCUGUUCUUUGAUCCCAGAUUGUUCAUGGAGUUUUGUGAAAGAUUGCAACUUGGAUCUGGUUUUGGGUUUCUUUUGAACUUCUGGGAAGGUCUAGUUGCAUGUGGUGGUUAGCAAAUGCUUAGUUUUUUAUUGAAUAGAUUAAAAGUUUCGGACUUUUUCAAGGUUUUAAAGACUAAUAGUUCAUGCAAGAUUCUGGAAAUAUAAUAUUUUGGGUCCAAUUAAAGCUCAAAUUAGCUGAGAAAUGGUGGUUUUUUGGAUUAGUUUUUAAAUUUUGUUUGUUUAUUUUGAAUUAAAGAUGCCAUCUUUAUCAUCCCAGCUUCAAAGUUUGAGUCUUUGGGACUUUUCAGUUCAGAUUUCGUUAAAUUCAUACACCCCAUUUUGAGGCCUCUCUCUCCUCUUCAGUCCCCACUAUAAUUUAUUAGUUGAGGUCGACACAAGUUUGGCAUGAUUCUCUCUCUCUCUCUCUCUCUUCAUAAUAGUAGGUUUGACGUGGAGAAGAGGGAGAUGUAUUAUUUGCGUGAAAAAUUAAAUUUGUGAUAUUGGUAUGCUUCAAUUUUUGAUAUUCUGAAGCUAAAUCCGUCAACUAUUUAUAGUACUUUGAAAGUUACCGUUCUUUAUUAAUAAUCAUAAUUCUUUUAGACUUCAUUUUCUUGGAGACCAUACUAAAUUUAAUGCACAUCUACCGCUUCCACUUGUAGCAGCAAUGGAGAUAAUGGCUUAAACCACUGAAGUUUGGCCCUUCUCUGAUUCAUUUACUGCAUUGAAGCAGCAAGGAAUUGGCCCAGUGUCAGUGAUAUUGCUGUAAUUUAUGAUGUCAAUUCCGGAGAAAUCUAGGCCGAGCUCAUCUGCUUCUUCUUCAUCGUCAGUUUCGGCCAAUGAGUUUGAUCCACUGCUGAAAGAUUUGAAUGAGAAGAAGCAGAGCUUUCGUCGGAACGUGGUGUCGUUGGCGUCGGAGUUGAAGCAGGUUCGGAGCCGGUUAGCUUCUCAAGAGCAAUCAUAUGUGAAGGAAACUCUCACAAGGCAGGCAUGUGUUUUGGGGAUUUUGAAUCUUGAAAUCAAUCAUGAUUCAAAUUGGGUUUUUUUUGUUUGUAGGGUUUGUUUUUAAAGUUUUUAAAGUGAUUUGGGACUUUUGUACAGGUAGUAGAGACAAAAGCUAAAAAUAUGGAAGAGGAGAUUGGUAAAUUGCAGAAGAGAUUGGAACAGAGAAAUCUGCAGCUUGAGGCUUCAACAUCUAAAACUGAGAAGGUCCCCACUCAUAUCCCAGUUGUUUAUAGUUUUUCAUUAGCUUUUUAAUUAGGGUUUAGAUCCUUUAAACUUAGACAUGAUUCAGUCAUUAUGGUUGCUAGCUUUUGUUGUUUGAGUUGGUCUAGUUUAUUGUUUGUUUUCUACUGCUAUCUUGAUGUUUUGAAAUGAUCAAAUGAGCCGCACAUUUCGUACACAUCAUUGAGGAUCCUUUUGACCCUUUCUACAUUGUUCUUGGCGGAGCCCAUAGGAGGAAGGGUGUCCAAGUUUUUGAUGGUUUUCAAUAAUUGGUUACUUUUCUUGUAGCUGACAAUUCAAAUAAUUUUGUUAGUUUUGCCAAGGUAUUGGAGGAUAGUUGGAUAUGGCCCAACUCAUGAAAGUUUGGAACUUUUGGGAAUAGUACCAAACUAAACUUAUUAGGUGUUAAGGAGCUGUCAAUUUUUAGGUUUCCUAACUGUCCAUACAAUAAAACUGAGCACUUCCUCUUACUAGUGAUACUGUGGUGUGAUAAAUCCCAAAUCAGAUAAACAAUGUACUUCCCUCUAUCCGUAUUCGUUUUAAAUGCACUGGAUGUUAAUGAGUUUUGUAUUAAGAGAAGCCAAGCUCAGUCUCAGUUUGCAUAUUACACCUCAUUAUAGAAAGUAGCAUGCAUAAAGGGAUAGAAAACAUCUUUAAAAAUGAGGAGAAAAUCUAUAUUCUUUUUCAAGUAUUUGCUUAUUGGCAUGUAGUUGUAUUAAUAUUAAGAACUAAUAUUAAACUCACCGACAUAAGCAUAUAACUGUUGUCUAUUCCUUUUCUGCUGUUCUCUUAUUGGAAAAUUAUAAGUUGUUGGUAAUCUCUGUUCUUAGGGGUUCAAAGUUCGGAUAUGAUGAAGUCUAGAGCCCACCUUGCCCUUUAAUUUUACCCUUUCUUAUUUAUAUCAGUAAUGAUUUUGUUUCCUUGUAAAAAUCUCUCAUUCAAAUUCAUGACCCUUGCAAAACUCUUAUAGGGUUUUAGCCAAACAUGUGUAAUAAAGAGCACCAUUCUGAUAUGUGCAGAAGGUAAAGAACUUGAGUAAAUUGGAGUUGAAAGCACAGUUGUCAAACAAAGUGAAAAAUAGCAACUGUAGUUAGAAGCUUACUUUGUGUCUAUGGGUUUAGAUUUUUCUGAAUUUGCAUGUCAGCAAUUUUGGCAUUUUGAGGCGUAUUAGAUUAAUUUGUUUACACUGAUGAAUCUGCAACCAUUACCUGAGGGAUGUGAUUGUAUUUGGAUGAUAUCCUUUGUCUAUUGUAUCUAAACAAUUCAAUUAGUUGCAAGUAAAUUGAUUACAAAUCAUAGUUCUGAUUUUUUUGUUAGUUAGGGAUGUGAACCUUAUUGGUUUACAAAUUUCCUGAUUGUAAUCUUUUACAAUUGAAUGCAGUGCCUCACAGAGUUGGAUGGUCUGAGGUCACAACUUGCAGCAACUCAAGAAACUGCAGAUACUUGUGCUGCAUCAGCUCAAUCGGCAAAGCUUCAAUGUCUGGCACUUGUAAAGGAAUUAGAUCAAAAGAAUUGUUCCUUGAAAGAGCAAGAUGAACGUAUAAUUAGGCUAGGAGAACAAUUAGACAAACUACAGAAGGAUCUUCAGGCAAGAGAGUCUUCGCAAAAGCAACUGAAAGAUGACGUUCUGAGAAUUGAGCAGGACAUUAUGCAAGCUGUUGCACAAGCAGGGGUUAAUAAGGAUUGUGAGCUGAGGAAAAUAUUAGAUGAGGUUUCUCCAAAGAAUAUCGAGAAGCUUAAUAAUCUUUUAGUUAUAAAGGAUGAAGAAAUAGGAAAGCUGAAAGAUGAAAUCAGGAUAAUGUCUGCUCACUGGACGCUCAAGACAAAAGAGUUAGAAUCACAGGUAACUGCAUCUGUUUCAUUAUCACUUAUUCCAAUACUUUGUUUACUUUUGUUUCCCCAUAAUGUCUUUAUUAAAAGUUUAACGAUGAGCUUCAACUUUGUUUUUUUUUGGAACAGUUGGAGAGACAACGGCGAGCUGAUCAGGAACUCAAAAAGAGGGUAUUGAAAUUGGAGUUCUGCCUUCAGGAAGCUCGUGCUCAAACAAGAAAGCUUCAAAGGGUAAGUAUAUUUUUUUUUAUUUUGAUCGAGUGAUUUUUUCUUUUCAAGUACAAAUAAGAUCUUCACUUGCCUGCUUUUAUUGGGUUUGCAAUUAAACUAAAAUCUUGUGCAUGAAAAUGGUCAAGCUUUAUGCCUUAAUAUGGAACUAGCAUGAGUAUGAACUUCUAGUUCUGCUGUUCUCCCAGAUACAUAGUUGCUUCUAUAUAUAAUAUAUAUUAAAUCUAGAACUAUUAUUCACUGUGCCAGAUGGGUGAGCGAAGAGACAAAGCUCUGAAAGAGCUCAAAGACCAGUUACAACAACAGGGUGGGGCUGGUGCUUCACCUGCGGAAAGACCAAACUUUUGGGAAACCUCUGGUUUCAAAAUUGUGGUUUCCAUGUCCAUGUUCAUCUUAGUUGUCUUCUCAAAGCGAUGAAGUAGUUGCUGUGAAACUACUCUGUAUAAAAAGUAUGAAUCCUUAGCUUUUAGACUUUUAGUCGAGGAAUUAGUAAUAGCUGCAGAGGGCAUUUUGCUUGUAGACAUGCAUAUGCACAUUGUAGAGCUCCUCCUUGUGUAUCAGUAGCAGAGACAUUUGUUUUUUUUUUUUUUACCCUUCAAACCACAUUGUUAGUGUGGAUGUUGAAUCUGUGUAUGGGAAUUGUGGCCAGUAUGUUCUACUCUGCAUCACAGUAGUAAGUUUCAUGUUAAUGGAUGAUUAGGGCCGCAUCAGAGUCACUAAAUUGUUUAGUAAAUGCAUAUUGCUUCAACAUGUCAUACUUAGAUUUGCUCUGUUCUUGGCAAUUCAUAGAAAUUGAAUGGUCAUCACUAUUAAUGCGCUGUUAAUACAUUUCUGAAGCAAUAUAAACUUCAGAUCUACUACCCUGACCUCAUAGAUAGAACUACAAUACUCUGAACCAAAAGAUGUACAAACUGACAAAACUCUAUAACACCUCUCAACCCCCACGAGUAACAUUGUAGUUUCAUACUUCCAUAGCAGCCCUACUUAGAUGUAGAAGAGUUUACCUUCAUCUAGAACAUGCUUCCUCCACUUUCUUCUCUUGCUUGCAUACGUAGUUAUUUACACAGCUAGAAGUAACCUCACACGGAGAUGAGAUUAUACUUCUACAUGUUAAGAAGGAUUUUUUUAGUAACCAAGGCUGUUACCAAAAAGAUGUAACUAACAAAGGGCCGCAAGCAAGCUGCAGAGGAUGUUGAGCUGUUAAAACCAGGAGGGCUGUCCAUCCCAAACUGUGGCAUGGUUCCUGAAGAUGCUGGGUUGCUUGAAUUUAAAACUGAAGGUGGAGUAGCAGAGCUGCAAGUAGAGAUGAAAAUAAGAAGUGAUAUAUGGACUGGUCAAUAUAUUUUAGAGCUCUAAAACUUGUGAGAUAAAAUACUUACCCCGAUACACCUUCCCCUGGUGGUGGAAAUGAUGUAAAUGUUGGUGCUGGAGGUGUUGUUGAUGCUGGUAGUGGAGUUGUUGGUUCUGGAGUUGGAGUUGUUGAUACUGGAGGAAAUGGAGUUGUUGAUACUGGAGGAGAUGGAGUUGUUGGUGUUGGGGUUGGGGUUGUUGUUGAUGACGACGAAGAUGAUAGGUAAGUACAUGAACCAGAGCCUGUUCAAAGGAUUCACGAGGGUCUCAGAUGCAUAUGGUUUUCAUAGUAGCAAGGUUUAGACACAUAUGUAGCAUGUUACAUUCGGAAUAAAAAUUGCAGGGUAAAUAGUCAAUGAUUGCCCAAAAUUGAACCUCUUGAACACAUUUAACCAAUUAAUUCAAAAUUAUAGAACUAUAAUCACUCAAGCAAGUUCACAAAGUUGAUUAAAAGUCCUUAAAAGGGUCGGAAUUUGGCCUAUUUUUGUAAAUUUCCUGCAGAAGUGUCUAGCAAGAGAACGUUUCCCUAUUGUUAAGUGUGUGUUUAAACUAGCACAUAUGAAAUUAUAAUAAUAAAAACUGAUUAACGAAAUAAAUGUCAUACUUGGAUUAGUAGCAACUAUUGUGGCCACCCCUCCAAAAUCACAGCUAGUUGCAACCGGAUUCUUCUGAUAAUAGCUGUUGAAUGCAUAAGAUGCAUGGUUUUGGAGAGUAUUUGGAUUGAAACAACUCCCACCUUGUUGGAGCUGUGAACAGUCUACCUUUCCACAAGCAUAGUCUAAACCAGCUUGAACUGCUGUUUGUGAAGCUCCAGUCUUGGCCACACACCAACUCUGGCCUGGAACUGCAGGAGCAUUAGUACUUGUUGCAGGAGGUGCCACUGGAUUUGUGACAGGUGUCGUGACAGGAACGACUCCAGUUGGUGCCGGGUAAGUUGUGACAGGGUUGGUUAUUACUGGAGUCCCUGGGACUGUGAUGGGGGGUGCUGUGGUUGGAUUGGCUUCUGGUAUUGGUGAAUAUACAGGGUUUGUGGAGGGCACUGUAAUAGGUGUGGUGGAGGGCAUAGGAUUAAGUGGGGCUAUUGUUACAGGGUUUGUAGAGGGGACAGUGACAAUAGUUGGUGUGGGAAUGUAUGGAGUGGUGGAUACUGGUGGUGUUGUGGAAAUGGGAGUUGUAGGGAAGAUUGUUGGUGAGUCAUCUGCUUCAUGUAAAGUUGUUUUGAGGUGGAAAUUCCUCAAGAGUUCUCGGCGAGAAGAAGGAAAGAGCUGUUCUUCUGCUCUUUUCAUUUCUUUCUCUGCAAAAUCUUCCAUUGGAGAUACUUGUGCAUACAGCCCAACUAUGCUACUUAAAAUGUGAGUGGUAUUUUCUAAAGCUUUGGAAACCUCAUCGGCGAAUGCAGCUACUUCAGUUGCACUUGGAACUGCUGGACUCUUGACUGUCAAGACAAUGGGGACAUCAUUGCAAGGAAAAAGAGAGCUUGCAAGGCUGGCUCUUUUGAUCAUCGCAUGGACAUACCUUUCACCCAUACUCAGUUCUCCAUCAAUUUUGGCUUCUACAAUGACAGCAGAUUUCACUUGUUUGAUGUAGUCACAAAUCCUAUGCAGGUCUCUUCUAUGUGAGGUGCUCACAUUUUCUAAAUAUGACAACGGAAAUGCCACCGAGACCUUAAUUCCACGGUCAGCAGGGAAACUAGAGAGGACUGAGUGUAUAGAUUUCAGGGUGGUUAAAAGCAUAGAGAGAGCAUACUUUCUUGUAUAGUCACCACUAGUUGCUACGAUGCUUUUGAUCUUUACUUGUGAGAGAAAGGGCAUUAUAUAGGAUUUCAGCCCUGAGAUUGAAGUGGAUCUGGAAUUUAUGAUAUUUUGAAGAUGGCCCUCAUUCAAGUAGAGAUCAAUAGCUACACCAGUGUUAGAUAUAGUUCUUAAAAUCCUAUGAUCUUCAACAAAGACUCGAAUCUGGGACGGGGCAAUCUUGUUUCGCUUCAGAAAUGAUAUUGUUCUACUUGGUGAUGAAGUUGUAGUGUUUCCAUUAGCAUGGUAGGAGAAACCUACCAGAGUUCCUGUAAGGAGUGCAAAGAAAAAAGGAACAAAAAAAAUGCAGAAACUUCAAACUCUUAAACUGGUAGUUUUAGCAGUGACUAGUUCUAACCCAAUUGUAGUGAUUUGGUGUGAUAGUAAUAUAAUGAUCAUGGUUUCAGAAAAAGUAAACAUAAUGUAGAACUAAGAAAUAUUUGUUACUUACCUGAUGAACUAUUACAGAGGAAAGACAAAAAGAAUAAGAAGAGGCAUUUAGAAGCUGAUUUGGCCAUUGUUGUGUGAGGGGCUGCUGUGAUUCUAUGUAGAGACCCAGUUGGGAUGUUUAUUCAUAUAAUGGUUGUGAUUUGAAAACCUUGCACAUCGAGUUGGAGUGAAUAUAAACUCCUAGAGAUGCUGAGGAUCAAAGUGUUAAAGGUAAUGGAAGAAAAGGGUAGGCAAAAGUGUUAAAAAGAAAGGUGACUAGUUGCAAUGAUAAAGAAAAUAAGUUUACUUUGUCAUGAAGGAUUUGGAGAAUGGAGACCAUCUGUCUGUAAAACUAGAAGAAAGAAUCAACAAUGCUUUUAUGCUUCUUUUUCUUUCCCAAAGAGAUAUAAGCUCAGGAUAUAAAGUGCCCUUAAAUAGUGGCUAAACAGAUGCACAUGAAUGUAAAACAGACAUGCCCACUACAAGUAAUUCAAAAAAUUUCUGCAUUUCUUUUUGUGGCUGAACAAGAUCAUCUUAAGAUUGGAAUCCCCAGGCAAUAACAAAUGCAUAUACAAGAUGAGUCAUCAGCAUCAAAAACAGCUAGCCUCUGAAUAAAGGACUGCUAAAAAGAAUGGAAUUUGGUUGGACCAUGCUAAAGGACGCACAAGAAAGUCUAGCUAUUUUGCUUAGAUCAGCUAAUCUCAUAUAUAACCAAAAUUUAAUGAACAAAUCACUACAACUAAACUAAAAGGUGAAGAAAAGGUAGUGGAAAGAAGUAUUCCUGAGAUUAGGCAGAUUUUCACUUUCAGGGUUUGUCACUUCCUUCUUGGAUAAGGGUUUGGCCAUGUGAUCAGAUUGUUGCUCAGUAAUCCUAGUAGUGGAAAUGGAAAUGGAAAUGGAAAUGGAGCAUAGUUUUAUUCUACACUGGACCAUGGAUCUAGUAUAGAGUAUGUUAUUAGCGGCCACUCUGCUUGUGAUGCUCUUCAUUCAUUACGAACCUCUUUGUUUUCUUUAUUGAUAAGUAAAAGUCAUCAAGAAUAUGCAGGGUACCAAAUGCUUGAUAAUGACACAAGAAUGCAGUGGAUUGAUGUCUAUGCUGGUCUUGAGCAUCAGUACUCUCCUCCCUCCUGUGAAAUCAACCGUCAACCGGUUAUACUUUUCGACUAUAUUGAUGUUCUAGUUCAUGUGCUGCCAAAUGCCAAUGCAUUUUCAGUAGCAACAGUGUUUAAAAGUAACCACAAGUACAACCACACUAAGUGUAUGAUGUUCCUGCAUCUGCUUAUUACCACUUGAACCAAUAAAUACCAUUGGAGCCAUCUUCUUUAUGGGAUUGAAGAUAGAAUAUACAAGAGCUAGGGACAACCCAUGUGGAUUAAUCUAUUGUGCUUCUUAGCAUUGCAUUCAAAUUGCAAAGUAGUGAAUCAAAAGCAGCUUGUCUGACCAAGUCUUUAGCCGAAAGCAAAGUAACACAGCCACACCAGUGAUAAGCUUGAUGGGAUAUAAUACGAAUUUGGAAAAGUGACUUCGCAUGAAUUUAAGGGGGAAAGGAGAGUGACAUAGCUAAGAGAUGAGCAGAUUUCAAUAUAUACAAAAGAGAUCGGUCAUCUACUUAUCUUAUCUAUGCAUUUUUUAUACUCUGAACAGUAAAUUGUCAUUUUGGAUUUCAGUAUCGGGAGGUUUCAGUAAAGGUCCAUUUGAUUCUCACAAAAAAAAAUCUAUUUGGGUUGAUUUCAAUGUGGUCUGUCCACAAUUUUUACAACAUCUCAUGCGGGACAGAAGAUAGGUUAGACAUUGGAAAUCAAUCUGAGCAUUGGGGUGUGCCAAGAAACCCCAAAAUUUAUAUAUGGUAACGUUUAAGAGCUGUUUCCAAAGAUUAUAUAUACACAACUACAAGAGUCAGUGACAUCCGGUUAACUAGAAUCUAAGCUUAGAUUAUCCUACCAAGUCCUAGAUAUGAUCAAUACGCAAAAGUUCUGAUUUUGAAACUUGUACAAUACAAUGUUCUCCCUCUAUUAGAAGUCAGGUAUCAAUCAACAAACAGAUCGCUGAAAGAAGGAUCAAAGAGUGCUUCUCUUGCUGACUGAUAUUGAUUAAGCCGUUUCUUCAACGAGCGCAAAUCUCUUUCAUCCUUUGAAGUACGAUCCUAGUACAGAAUUGAUAAGUUAAACGUCAGUCAUUGUCAUCUUACUGUCAAUCUUCAAAUACAUAAAAGACAUAUUCAGAAACCAAUUCUCAUUCUGACCCAGAUCGUGAUGGUGGUAAUAUGUAAUAAAGACAACAGUAAAGUGAGAGAAAUUAUGAGCCUAGCACAAACAGCUCAAUGAAUAAUCUACUAGUAAACACGGUGAUAGAUAUCCAUUGAAGGAACCAUGACUGCAGCUUAGCUUGCAUUGUAGCAUUUGUAAACUUCCAACAUGCUUAAUAAGUAGUUUGGUUAAAAGCGAUACUUACAAAUGAUUUGUUUAGGAGUAAUAUGUCCACCAAGUACACCAGCCACAACACAUUUGUUCUAGGGAAGCUGUAAAAUAUGAAAUGACAACGAUGAUGGAACCAAAUACGAAUAAAGCUUCAGCACAAAAGUUUGCUGGACUUUAAUUUAUAGGGAAUUUUUGAAAGGUUUCAAUCUUUAUAAGAAGAUAUACCCAAAGGGGAAGCCAAAGUACACUCUGAAGUUUGAUUUUAAUUAACACGACCCCGUGCAACUAAUUAUUAUAUUUGAGAAAAUGAAUUAUACCUUUCCUUCCACUGGUCUUGUGUCACCUUCUUCAUUUUCCGGUAAGUUUCUGCCUAUAAUUUUUUUUACUAUCAGUUAUGUCAUAUAACAAAGAUAUAAAAGUUUGGUAGUAAAAGUUCAGUUUUAGUUCCAUUGAAUCCAAACAAAAAAACAAAAAAGUUCCGUACUUGUAUAUCUCCUUUCUGACCGUUAAAAAGCGCCGGAUCUGAAGAUAGGUCUAGAAAGAGUAUGGCUUCGCCUGUGUUAUCAAGAUUGUUAAGCAUGCUACGCCAACAAUAAAUGUAACCAUUACCAUAGCGAACACAUUACAAAAGAAACUUGAAAAAGUACUCACCGGUAUUGAUUCUCGACAGAGUGAAAUCAAUGAUUGAUAUUGCUAGCCCAAAUGUGCGUAUAAGCAUCUGCCUUCCAUCAAGAGUGAACUGCAUUGUAACUGAAUCACUCCUACUCAAAAGUAUGUUUCCCCUGUAACAAAAGCAUAUCACCAACUGACAAUCAUCGAUUCACAUGUUACUACUACAAACAGGAAAAAAUAUAUAUAUAAUAAUAAUAAUAAUACCAGUGGAGAUCACGGUGCUCAAAUUCAUAUGCCGCUUCAGCUACAGCAAGUGCAGUAGUAACCUAGAAUGACAGUACACUCAUUUAUUACAAAUAAGGCUGCAGGAAUCACCUCAAGAAUGCUGUUUCAAAACAUGACUAACCUGUACUAAUAAACUCCUUGCCUCAUCACAGUUCAGAAGUACAAAGUUUUCGAGAUCUUGGCCACCAUGCUCUAAAACAAAUAUGACAUAGAACUGUAUGCAAAAUUGACAAUUAUGUUAACUGACAUUAUACCUACUGUACGAAAUAACUCAUCCAUGCUUGAUAAAAUCACCAAACGUUACAGAAGCUUACAAACAACACGAAGUUCAUAUACCAACCAGAAUGAGUUAUUAUGAGUUUUAAUUAGAUUGAACAAAAUAGAACGAAACCUGGUUCUCUGGAAAUUCCCUAGGGUGAGUAUUUUCUGAAACAUGAUUUUCAUCCCAAUCUUCCCAUGCUUUGAUCAAGGCAGCGUCAUAACAGCCUUGACACACCCUCAAGCUACAGCAGAAACAUAUCACAGGAAGAAGACAGAUGAAAAUCUUGCAACUGAUUACAAACUAUAUAAUGAGGAUGCUAGACUUUAAAGUAAUUAUAGACUUUAAAGUAAUUACAUACUCUUUUGUUUCUAUAAAUGUUGUGCAUACAUUCUGAACAUUAUCAUUGUUUCCUCUCAAGUAAUUAAGAGUGCGGGAAAGCACCACCUCCUCUAGCAAUUCUUCAGAUGUCUGACACACAAUAGACCAUAUCACAUCAUCCAAAAAUCAGUAAGCCCCAAUACUAAAAGACAAGGGGUUCUAGUAAGUACCUUUUGCUUUUCCUGAUUCACUAGUAAUUUGCCAUCGAUAGGAACUAUUUUGCAAACAAAGUUGCCAGCCUUGAAAGCUUCUCCAUAUGUCCCUUCUCCAACUUUUUCAAUAUCUUCCAGGUCACUGUUUCAAGAAAUAUUCAUCCUUGAUAAGCUUAUGGAAACAAGAUCUAUCUUUGGAUGGUAUUGCAACAAAAAGGAAAUCCAAGUUGUAAAAAAAAACUGAGACAGAAACAUUAGUGAUGUAGAGAACAAAUAUAUAAGGAACAGACCAAUAUUUGGAGAAUACAUCCUGUAAUUUUGAGGGAGAUGACUGCUCACAAACUUCUAAUAGAGCAUUAAAUCGAUCCAACUCCUCAGAAGUUGAUAACAAAGAGAGUUCUUUUACAGCAGCAUCUAUAUCUUCAUAAUGUUCUUUUACAGCAGCGUCUAUAUCCAAACCUUCAUUGCCCACCUCUGGAAGUGAUUUAGUGGUGUUCAUUUCAUGCACACUUCUAUCGAGCAAACUUAAGUCGAAUUUAAUUAGGCCAGAAGACAAGCGAGAAUUUACUUUAGAUGAUCUUUCUGGGGUUUUCACACUUGAAGAUUCAAAAUUGAUACCACUACUGGGUGAGGGCCGCAUGCCUGGAGUUCGUAGGAUCCUCGCCAAUGUGUUGGAAGACCCUAAACCAAAAUUCAACUUCUUGGAUAACAACCAUUUCUCUAAUGCUGUGCACAACUUGGGUAUUUCAACAUUUUCUUUUGGGAUACCAGCGACCCAUGUGCGGGGUAUGGGAGAGGGGCUCUCCUCUAUCAAUUCUUCUUCAUCAACCUUCUCAAAGUAAGCUCGUUCCUUUUCAAAGUUGUACUUACUCUGGAAAUUUUAACAACAGCGGAAAACAAGCCAAAGUACAAUGCUUUCAGAUACAAAAACAAUACACAGACGACACUUCAAACUUUAAGGGAACAUGCAUUUGAGGCAAUAAGUUAAUAAGAACAUGCAAAAAGGAAAAUGCAAGUUUCUUUCUAGAGUAAUAGUGUCUCACUUGGGGACGAGGAGGUCUUCCUUUCCUUUUAGCCUUCUUCUGUGGAGGCUGAUACUCGAAGCAAGCACCAACAGCAAUACUUGUCCUCCCUCUAUUAAGCACCAAAGUUAAUCGAAACUCGGGUCACAAUGUAUAUAUAACAUUUAAGCAAUACUUGCGAAACCAACUAACUAAUCAAGCUUAAACCAUAAACCCAAAGAACCACAAUAUCUGCAAGACUAAUCAAACAUUAACCAAAUUCCACAGCACUAAUCAAACUCAUAUCACAACACCCAGAAAGGAAAAACCAAAGAAAUCACAGUAAGAACAAAGAACACUAUCAUAAAACCCAAUUCCAAUUUCAUUACUAAUCCCAAAAGCUAACCUUGUGGAAAGAAAACGGUUCCAACUGAUUCGCUUAACCGGAGCAGCCAAACUCACCCUGAACUUCUCUCUUCUACUCGAAUUCGAUUCCCUUCUGAAAUCAACAAACAUAAAAAAAAAACCCAUCAACAUUUUUCAAAAACCCAAAAACACCAACUAAAAAAGAUUGAAACUUUGAACAUACAAGGGCUGUUCAAGUGAAGUGGGCUUUCUGGGUUUUCUUCUCCGGUAAACCUCCUCAACUGGGUGUUCUUGAUCUGUGAUUUCACCGCCUGAAAUGUAAUUAGAAAUUAAAAUUGGGCAAAAUUAGGGGAAGAAAAUUGAGGGGCUAGUGUGAGCAGUACCUGAGUUGGAGUACAUUGUAGAUGGUGAAUUAGUGAGAAAUGGGUUCGAAUUAUGUAUCGGGAAGAGUGAAAGCUUGUUUGUUACGAUCAGUCGAAUACCGAAACCCUAAACCCAAUUUUGGGGUUUCGUUUUUAUAGCAGCGCAAGAGUGCGCGGGAAAUUCUGUGCUGUCAAAACCAGUUCAACGUAUGUGUGGGAUGAGAUGGUAAUGCGAACACGAGUAUAAUGUUCGCGUCAGAUCGGGUCGCGUCGGGUCGGUCAGGUCCAACAAUGUAAACGGAUCGACCCGGCUAAUUCGCCGGUUCUUUUUCGGUUAAAUUUUGUUUAGUAGCUAUGGCUUCGUUCUCGUUUCAGCCCAUGUCCUUCUAAUGUAAUUUAAAAGGUCCCAGAAGUCACAUUUUGUCCCAAAAUGUCGAUUUGUUUCCUCUGAUAGUCUCAUGAUGUGGCAGUUAAAGACUCACCGGCUCAACUUAGCUUGUAGUUUGGUCAAUGCACAAAAAUUUUUAGUGACUAUGACACUGAGCUGACAAGUCUUUAAAUGCAACAUCAUCAGGCAAGGGAGGAUAUGGACAUAUGGACCUUCCAGGACUAUAAGUGUGACUUCAAAGCUACGUUGCAUGGAAUCGGAAGAGGAAACGUGGAAGCGCGGUAGCGUUUUUUUUUUAAAUUUUGUUAGAAGCGUCGGAAUAAAAUAAUAUAUAUAUAUAUAUGAAUAUACAAAAAUAAAUAAAUAGCAAAUUCAAAGUCAUUGUCAAAUUCGUAGCAAUUCAAAGUUAUUGUUUUACAAUCAAAUAACUCAAACAAAAAUAAUCACUAGUCUACUUAAUCAACAAAGACAUUAUCCUUAUUCUCAUGAACAUGAUCAAACAAAACAGCCUCCAACGAUGGUUCAUCAAGAGAAAGAUCCUCAAACUCGAGCCUCCUAAGAUUAGUUUCAUCUAAUGAAUCAAAUUGAUCACCUCUAACAUCCCACAUUUGAGUCGGACCUUGUUUGUAAGAGUCGCUACUUCUAGAUAAAAGGCGAAGAUUGGUAUGUACAAAUACCAAAUCUUCCGCUCUUUGUGGAGUAAUCUUGUUUCUUAUUGCGGAAUGUAUAAACUUAUAAGUACUCUAAUUCCUUUCGCAACAUGAGGAUGAAGAUGGUUGCCCAAGCAACUUGAAUGCUAAGGCUUGAAGCCUUGGUGCUAAAGCUCCAUGAACUGCCCACCAUUUCAAAGGGUGUAGGAUGGACCUAUCAUGCAUUGCAUCAACAUUACAAAAAUCAUCCAUACAUAAGAAAAAAUUGGACUACUCCACAUUAACGUCUCUCCGCUGAUCUGCAUCAUCAUAAUACUUCAAAAUGCAAUUUUUUCUUUCUCUAGUAAUAUCAAUAUCUUGAUGAGGAGCUUUUCGGGUACUAUCUUCUGCAAGUCAUUCCGGACUGUAAUACCUAAAUAAAUAACAUGACAAAAUCAUUGAUAAUCCAUAUAUCAUAUUGAAAAGUAACGAAAAUAUAAGUUUGCUGUAAAUAUUCAUUUGCUUUCAAUGCUCAAAUAUAAGUUAUCAACUCCAUAUAUAUUACUAAUGAAUUUGCAUGUCCAGCAACAAUAUAUGUAAUAUGAAAUUGAUGAACAUUCACAUAUCACUAGACAUUCCAUAUUACUAAUGCAGUAACUUUAUAUUAUUAAUGAUUUCAAUCCACAUAUCAACUCAAUAUUCAACACAUUCACAUGUCUAGUAAAAUUAGCUUAUAACAUUCACAUGGGAAAACUAUAAUCAAUUCCAUAGGAAAACUUACUUGGGAUUUAAUGAAUGUGCCAUACAAUGUAGGGGUGUGCUACUCUUGCUCCAACGAGACAUCAAUACCUUAUGCACGGCAUUCCAAAAGCUUGAAUCCUUAUGUAGUUGUUUCCUUUCUUUCCUAUAUAUAGCUUUCUUCACAUUCUGAAUCAUAUCUUUCCACCAUUCAUACGCUAAAUGAAGAGACGGCUUAUCGGUGUCUGAACGUCUAAUCAUACUAUAUAUAGACUCAAUGAAAGAUAAAACAUAAUCAACCUCAUCCCAAAACAUCUCAUCCAAUAUCUUCUAUUUCACUGCAGCAGUCUUUCUCAUAUCAUCUUCUUUGUAAUCAUCUCAUUUAUUACUGAUUACCAUUUGUUGCAAACCAGAUUUUAUUUUCUUAAAUCUCUUGAACAUCACAAGUGUGGAGGCAAACCUGGUUAAAGCAACUGUAAGGAGCUUAAGGUCGCAGUGCUCAGUAAACAUCACCAACCUCAUCCCAUGGUUCAUUAUGAAAUUCUUGAUGAAUGAAAUAUCAUCCGCAAGAGGCCCUAUCCAUUUACAAGCAUCAUACACAUCAUCAUUAUUUCUUAUAUGCAGCGAAAGUGCACAUAUAUUCUUCACAGCAAGGUUCAAGGUAUGAUACUACACAUGGUGUCCGGAAGAUAGUAGGAUACUUGGCUGAAAUAAGUGCACCGGCCUUCACACAAUUAGAAUCAUUGUCGGUGAUUAUUUGAACCACAUUUUCAUGACCAACCUCCUUUAUGCAUUCUAUAAUUAACUCAGCAAUCAUCUCACCACUUUUCACUUCACUUGACUAUUUACUACUCUCAACAUCAUCAGACCAUUCGUAUUUGCAGCAAUCAAGUUAAUGAUGGGUCUCCUUUGCGGAUCAGACCAACCGUCACUACAUAUACUCGCCCUUUAGCUUUCCAUGAGUCCUUGAUCGGUUGUAAAUAAAGUUCAAUGUUCUUCCUUUCCUUUUGAAGAAGUGUAGUCCUCAAUGCAUUGUAACCGAGUGGAACAUAUCCUGGAAUGUUGGAAGCACACACAUACGACCUACGGUAAUGAGGAUUUCUUGCAAGGUUGAAAGACAAGCCACCUGUGUAAAACAUUCUAGCUAUCUCACCAUCACAUUGCUCCCUAGAAUUAUUUUGAAAUGCUUUUUCCAAAGCCGUACCCAUUCCCUUCCUCUUCUUUGGGUCACUUCACUUGAUGUUGGAUUACUACAAGUAAAACUCAUAUCAUAAUCAAGUGAAGAAGUUGUUGCAUUCCUCGAUGAUGAAGGCAAUGGAACUGAUUUUGGGGCUGCAGUUUUAACUCUUUCUAUGCAAUCAUUCAGUAACUUGCUCAUAUUAGCUAGUUGUUGAGGAGUGACCUUCGGGCAAGCUUUGACACCUUUUCCACCAUCUUUCAACAAAUGUGAAACAACUCUAUUAUGAGCUCCAACAUAUUUGGUGUUGCAAAAUUUACAUUCAAACCUCCAAGAUCCUCCCUCAGGCAUCUUUUCAAUCUUAUUUGUAAAAAUCCACAAAGGAGCUUUGUCAUCCACAUCACCGGGUUCAACCGGAAGUGACCUGGCAUUAACACUUGCAGCAGAACCAGAACCAAUACUACUUGGUGUCUGACUCAUAUUCCUAAAGAAAAAAAAAUUAACAUCAAUAAUUUGAUCAACAGACCUUGAGCUUAAGCUAGCAAUGUAUAAUUACAAAAAGUGAGACACAGAAACACUUCGGAAGUUCAUAACAUCCGGCUGAAGCUAUGUCUUUUAAAUGAAAGUCUUAAGAAGUUUCUACUUUCAAGUUAACAGUGUUCCUAGAGGCUUGAGUUAUGGAUUUAGCUAUAGGUCUUACAUUCAAACCCUUCAUGAGCAGACGUUCCCUCACCACUAGAGAGUCUAUUCAUGAAAGUUAAUCUAAAUUGGGAGAUUGCAGGUAUCUAAUUAGGAUCCUCCGUCAUCAUAUCAAUAAGUAGGUUUAUCAUCAUUCCAACAACUUAUGUAAUCAACAUCAUAAGUAGGAAAACUCAAUCAUGUUUACCAAGACACACAGAGCAAGCAUAGUCUAUUCUAGUCUUCUAGACAUUCACAAUCUUAUCGAAGUAGUUAUACCCUGAAAAUUCAUAAUGUAAACAACAACCUAGAGUAGAGCAUGUUUCAGAGGAGCUAGACACUUCGAACUUACAAAUUCACCCCUCCAAUGUAUUAAUGUGAUAUCAAAGCAUGGGCAAGGUCCGUACCUUCACUUUGCUUUUAGUUACUCUUUUGCCUAUUUAGCUAGCCUUCUAGAGUUCUAGCAUGCCCAUAACCCAGCCAUUCUUACUACUGCAAAUCUGCAAUACAUGAAACACAAACCCUUUGUUUUAUCUAUCUAUUUGUUCGAUUAAAUUACCUUACACAAAUCUACAAUACAUGAAAUCGAAGAAGAAUUAAAGAGAGAAACACAAACCUAUAAAUGGAGUUGACUUGGUGGAGAGGUCUAGAUGAAGAGGCGGAUUGAAGGAAGGAAGGUGAAAAUGCGACUAAUCCCGACUAUGGGAGAUUUUGGCCUAAGAGGAUAUGCAGAACGAGAUGUUGGUUGUGCAGAAUGAGACUUUGAAGUUAGAGGCAAAGUGGAUUUAGGUUUUAAUCAAAAUGACUAAUUUACCCGCGCUUCCUAAACCCUUAGUGGCGCUUCCAAACUUUGGAAGCAAGUGCGCUUCCGUAACACUUCCAAAACACCUUUUUUUUUCUGAAUCGCGCUUCCGAGCGCUUCCAACGCGCUUCCACUUCGCUUCGGAAGCGGAAACGCGUGUGGCCCGAUGCUUCCGUGCUUCCUAGCUUCAAAGACCUUUUAAUUUGGUUAAAUUAGAAACACAAUGACUGAAAUGAGAACGAUGUCAUAAUACAUAAACUAAACAACGCUUCUUCUUUUCAGUACAAACGAGAAUACCUCGUUGAUUUCGGCCUAAAGUAUUACAAAAGAACAUGCCACAUCGUCGCCUAUAGAUAACCCCCCACCACACAUAUCAUUGUUCUCCUAAAAACCUAGCCCCCUACUUGACAAGGAGUAAGAAAUAGAGCAACACUCAAAAGUCAUAAGCUAUCUACCAAGACCAAAAUCUAUUCAUUUUAUUUGGUAUGAUACACCAAAUAUGAAGAAUUAGACCGAAACUUAAAUCAUGAAAGUCAAAAUUAAAAGCUAACGGGACAUACCAACUAUCAACUAUAGUUGAAUGACCAAGAUAGGAAAUACAUUAGUAAGAAACUAUGCUUCAUGCACGCCAAAUAUGUCAAAAUUUAACAUAAUCCAAUUGUGAAGUCUAAAAGUCAAAUGUCAGAGACAAUAUUCUUGAUUCUCUAAGGGGUAUAUGUUUUUUUUUCUAAUGCCAUCGUAGAGUGUACAUCUCUUAGAAUCACCUUCAACAAUAAGAGACCUAUGGUCAUGUAAGAUGUACAACAACUUAGAGUCUAGCCCUUAGAGCACUUGUUUAGAAUUAGGCACGCAACCAUCGAAGUUAAGUUUGAUGAUAAAUUUAGAAAAUAAUUAUCCAAAUUUUUGGUGUGAAAUUAAUUAUGAAAACCUCUUUUUCUUAAUCAUUUUCACUCUUAAACAAUGGUUAGUCGUUUUCUAAAUUUCUCAAGUUUGAUUGAGAUAGGAGGAGGACAGGAGGUUGUCAUUUAAUCUCUUGUAAACUAACCAUAUAUUUAUGAACUAGUAUAAAUUACUAAUUGGAGCUUCUUAUUUUUAUCGAGAUCACAUGGUUUUUUCAAAGAUUUUCUAAGCUCAUAAACUAAUUUGUGUUGGGGGAUAAUGUCAAAAUGUUUUUUCUCCCUGACUACCAUAUAUGAGAUUUAACUCAUCAAAAAAUGUAAUACUUUUCCUAAUGUUUGAUUAGGUUUGAAUAGGCCACUAAAUGAUCAUUCAUGUAAAAUUACUCAUAAAAAAAUGUAAUACUUUUCCUAAUGUUUGAUUAGGUUUGAAUAGGCCACUAAAUGAUCAUUCAUGUAAAAUUACUUUCAAAGAUAGCAAGAACACCCGUCCGAGUACGGUGGGGUGUAUCUAUUUGCGUCUGAAUUUGUAUAGAACAACAUCAUCAAUAUUGAUAAUUGAUAACCACCCUCAAUCAUUUGCUGAUUAGAUGAAGGACUGAAUUAACCACUCAAUAACAAUACGUUCAGUCACUAACAAUAUCUACAAUGCAUCCAACUUGUAAAAGCCAAGAUCGAUCAAUAAUUUCACUCUUUUUAGUACGUCCCAUCUCAAAUAAGCUCCUAUAAUAUAUCAAAUCUCACCCUAAUCAAAGGGAUCCUUAGAAAUUGACAAUUAGACAUAACACAACCAGCCCACCUCAAUUUUUGGGGAAACAAAAGUUAGUAAAAUGUAGAAUUACCAAAUCCUAGUUCCGUCCCUAAUUAUAAGUGUCCAUAUCAUAUAUAUUCAUAGUCUUGAAGAAUCCAAGUUCAUAUAUGGAUGAUAUGCUAAAAUAAUGUUACUUUACAUUACAGUCUUGAGGAAUCCAAGUUCCCGUAACAUGUUCACAUGUGGUGUACCAGGUAACAAUAAAGUUUUAAUAUUCGAAAUUGAUCCUAAUUUGCAAGUUAUUAUACAAUAAUACAUUGACAAUUGAUUAAUUAUUAACCUUCGACUUCAUGGGAUGCAGACGAUAUCUUUCAAAUCAGUUUUGUUAAGGUUUCUCUAUCAAAGUAUAUGGAGUCUGCAGACUAACCGACCUGUAUUUAGUGCUAGCUGUUUGUUUGUAAAUUAACACUUAAUUAAUUGUGAAUCAUCAUAGCUCUCUCUUUCCCAACUUGUUCUUAAUGUGCUCUAUCUUAGUUUUCUCCAUUUAUUUGUCAUGUUUGAUGGAUAUGAUGAUCCGUAUGUAGUCCCAACUUGUUUCCAUGUUACACACACGUCUCGUAUAUAUGUGACCCGCCGAGAACCGAUCUAGUGUCUCGCCGUGAAUCAAUAACAUGCAGCCAAAAUCUCACCGUAACACAAAGCUAGUCCGACCGUCGGGUACGUAGAACCAAAUAUAUAAUAGAUGCACACUGCCAAUGCAAACCAGGCCCUACUACGCAUAUAUAGGCUCGAUCGCCACCAGCGAUGGCCGACGGAGUAGAAUAUAUACGAUCUCUACUUCUUCACAAUGAAACCAUGAAAAAUCUCCACAACUACGUACUUCACCAUGAAAUCAGGAACUUUAAGCUUCUGUACAGAUGAAACAAGAACUUAACAAUAUAUGAAACCAUGAAUCUAAGGAUCUCCAUAACAACUUCGUCGUUGUUGUACGUACUUCAAGUUUUAACUACGACCCUUAACUACUUCCGGAGUUCGGUAAGUUUCCAAGUUAAAAGAGACUUCAUCGAAAAACAUAGGAUUCAUGCAAUUAUAAGUUUACCUACAGCUUACGUUUCCUGUUUCUUGUCGUUCAUCAAGAACAGUAUCCAAUAUUAACCAAUCGAGAGGACCACACUGAAUCACGCACCCACAGGAAUUCAAUUUCGACAGUGCGUAGUAGAUAUGCUCGAUCAAUGUACAUGGCUGCAUUAGGCCAUUGCUGUGUGCUAGCUAAUCAAUAAUGAUCGAUAUUCAUGAAUCAUGAUAAUUGAUCAUCUGGAUAAGGGUAGGUUUUUCUCAAUUAAACCUAAUUAUAUAUAUUCAGCUUUAGUUAGGUCCAUGCCUGCACAAAAAGGAAGCUAAAUAAUUCCAAAACAUAUGAACCUUCCACCGUUCUUGCAUUAACAUUAGCAUUCACGCAUGCACCCAACACACACAACUGUAGAAUUGAUUAUGACCGAACUUGAUUGCUUAUUCAGGCCGGCCGGCGUUGAUUGAUCAGAUCGAGGGCUGGCUGGCUUCAUCUUUUUCCGAAUUAGGAACAACAUGCCUGGUACUGUUCUGUGAUGACAAUGUAUAAAGCUAUAGCUAUAUCAGUAUAUAUGGUUGUUAAUGGGCAUGCAUAUGAUCGGUGAGAAUUGCUUAUUGCUUUGGUAGCUCAGGCCUAACUCUCUUCGAUAUUUAUUCAUGGAGUUGAAUCUCCAACAGUUCCAAGUUCCAACGCCAGCAAGAAAGCAAUUGCCAUCACUAAUAUUCAGUAUUUACUAUAUAUUAUUGCUGGGGUUGGAAUUUGUUUUUUUUUUUUUUUUUAAUUAUACGAAAAGACAAGAUAUGUUAACCUAAAUAAUACAGUAAAUUUUUCCGAAAAUUAACAUAUUUGAACUACCAGCAGCACACAAACAAUAUAUAUACACGAGUAGUGAGUAGUCGCAUUCCAAGUAUUGAAGUAUACUAAAAUUACUGUUACUAAAAUUUGAUUGAUCCGUCGACAUUGAACAUUCAUGCAUAGAAGUUAAUGUCGAUCUGCAGUUCUGCACAAGUGCAUGGACCCUUUGCAGAAGGAUGAGAUAUAUCAAUGCCUCAAUGGGAACCUAUUCAAUUUUUUCUGUUACCAAAUAUAAAAUUAAUCUUCCGCGUACACAUUGAUUGAUAUUAACUCAUGCAUUAAUGUUCAAUUCUGGUUCAUGUGUAAUGCUUACCUAUCCAUAUCGAUCGAGAACCUCAAUAAUCUAGACCAUCAUGAAUAUUAUCCAUAUAUAUAGUAGAAAGACCCAAAAUUAUAAAGAAAAUAAACAAGUUAGUCCUAUAUACAGGUCCCUAUUUUGUAUCAUAAACAGUUAAGAUUGUUUACCUGCAGGUACUGCCAUGAAAAAUCUGCAGCUCUUGCUGACAGCUUAUACCAGAUACCAAUAUUUUGCCAGAAGUACGUCUCAGACCCGAAAUAUAAAUAAAUUUUCCAGCAGUCAUUUCUGGUCAAAAAUAAUUAACAUUUCUCUAGCUAGAGAUCGCUUAAAUUAAAUUUUCUGGCAUAUCUUCCAUCAGAUAGAGUUAAGACUGUUUACCAGGUACUGCCAUGAAAAAUUUGCAGCUUGCUGUUGCUGACAACUUGAACCAGAUACAUACACACCAAGUUUUGUUAGCAGUCUUCGACCAGAAAUAAAGAUAAAUUUGCCAGCAGUCAUUUCCCUCUUAAUUAUAUAUUUUUUGGCCAUGCCAGUACGUACUAGUAUAAGCUAUUAGUAUCUUCCAUACUUUAUUUUUCUUAUAUAUGUUUUCACUCUUUUUCUUCCUAAAAUUAAGUUGGUCACGUAUAGGAAAUCUAUGAGGCCAGGAGAUAAAGCAAUACUAUUUAUCUUCGGGUUUCAGGAAGGUAUCUUAAUGAAAAGUGAAAAAUACAUGAUGAUCAUGUAAUUUUUUCUUGAAAAGAUGCUACUGUUGCAUCAUUUCACUGUUCUAGCUAGUAUGGAGUUUUUGUGCAUGACAUGCAUUUCUGUUUCAUAAUUGUUGUGAAUUGUGUAUUCAGCAUAUUUAUGGUGAACCAAAUUUCCUAGUUGUGGCGCCACAUGCCUUAUUGUCUCGUGACCCACUCUUUCUUUGUUGGUUGAGACAUGAGAGAUUGUACACCAUGCUCUUUCAUGAGAUGUUACAAUCUUCUCGUAGUGAAUGUUAAUAAAUCAAGAAAAAUACGUACACUAACAAUACGUAUAAUGAAUGGACGAUUAUAUACUUGUAUGCUUAUCGAUCAUUAGUUAGUCCGUUAACUAAAUAAGGUCGAUUAACUUAUAAUUUAUAGCAAAAAAUUACACGCUUAUUAUUUGAUAGUUAAAUAAUUACACGGUGAUUGGUCGAUAAUCUCAUCAAUAUACAAAGGUUAUAAUUUUGUUAGUUAGAUACAAUGUGAUUUACAGAUUUACUAAUUGAUCGAUACUGAAAAUUUAUGGGAACCUAUUAAUAGAAAAAAAUGCAUUUUAAAUUUUAUCUAUAAAUUUCUUUGUGAUCAUUGAUGGAAAUGGAACAACAUUGGCAUUCUUCAUGAUUGAUGACUCCCAUAAGAGGAAACAAAAGCUUUAGAUGUUACUAUCUACAUGAGUCAGCUAUGAAGUAGACGCCAGGGCCACACAGUACCGACUAUAUUCUUCAAUUCACUAGGAGUUUGCUUCAGUAGCAUGACCUAUAUAUCCAGCAAUUGUUAACUGUUUAUUUCUCACCAAAGACAGAUAAAAUUUGACUCUAUAUGAAAUUAUAGUUAGUUUUGAUUAGAUUGGACGAGCCCUAACAUUCAGUGCUAAAAGGGUACAUGUUCCCAUUUCAAGAGAAGAAUAUGAAGAGAAAUUAGCAAGCAAAUGGCUAUUUCCACCUUACAAUCAGGACAUUUAGGCAUUUCUUUCUUAUAAUUUCGAUGGGUAAACUGGUCAAGUGCUUAUCGUUCACACGUUCAAUUUUGAUAUCAUUAAUUGUGUCAACAACUCAUUAGAAUUCAAACAUUAGUCAUUCAUAAGCUACCGUCCGAUAUUUAUGUGUCUAUCCAUCAUUCUUGGCAAAGCCAUAGUUGUAAACGGGAGGGAAUCUCGUAAUGAUAUGUAAAUCAAUAGUUUCAGAACAAUUCAUACAUGUAUCAAUAAUUUAUGCAAGAAUCUCGUUUCGAUUUCUCAUUUGUUUUCCCAUUGACCUUAAAAAAACACAAAAACAAGGUUGGUAUAGAAAUUCUAAUAGCAAUUCCAACAUAUUCAUCAAGACAACUGCUAACAGAUUGCAUUUCAACUCCAUAUCUCACUUAAUGCCUUAGCUUUGAACAGUUGUAAUACCUCAAUAGAGAUGUUUGGCUUGACCAUUUGACCAAGUAACCUACUUACUUAGAGAGAAUCACCUUCCAAAAGAAGCAGAGCUGUGCCUACAGUGACAUCAACAAUAUGUAGCGCCCCACGUAAACACUAUACUAGCCAACAGGUAUACCAAUCAAUUCCAAUAGAGUAAUAACAAUUUUAAUAAUACUCCCAAAAAAAAAGUGAGAGAGGAAAAUAUUAAAGUGAAAGGACUGAUAAUCAGUCAUGUUCAUAACAGAUCAAGGAAAACCCAAUAAGUACAUCACAGAAUUCCAUGCUUCUGUUUUACUGUAUGUUCUUAUGUGAUACUUGUACAAAGGCAACAUCAUCAUCAUCUAUCUAUCUCAGUUCUGAAAUCACCACCUACCACUGAUAACUCCAUUCCUUCUUCUUCUUUUUAUAUAUCCCCACCAUUCACUUAACACAACUUCUCUUUCCAUGUUUGCACAACUGAACGAUCUCACUUGCUGUUUUUGGAUUUGGGUUUUUGAGAAGGUCCAAGGCUGGUGGUGCCUGAAAGCUCCAUCUCCGCUUAGAUUCAGAUUUCAGAAGCACAUUUGACCCACACAGAGGAAACCCAUGUAGGUUUUCUAGUUCUGUUGGCUAUAUAUGUUAUUAUUAUUUUUCGUCAAGUGGGCUCAUUUGGCUUUUGUUUAUUGAGGCUUACCUGACAUAGGUUUCUGGGUUCUUUUUUGUGGUCAGAGAUCUGGAAUUGUGGGUUUGAUACCUUGGUUUUGGAUAAGGAAUGUCGAACUGGUUUCAAAGAUCUGGCAUUUCGAGGUUGCUGUUUUGAGACACUUUAUAGAGAGGUAAAGAAGAUGACUUUGUCCUUUGAAUUAUUGAGACAGAAUGAUAUAGUUCAUAUUGCUGUGAUGGUGAAGUGGAAUAUGUGAAAUCUAACCUCGUCUAGUUGACAUUUGAGUUGUUAUCUGGUAUAUUGUUUAUAAUAUGAUCUGUUCAUAUGCGUGUUCAACUGUUUUGUUCUGCUCUUGUACUUUGAUUUCUGGGCUUGCUUUGUUAUUUGGUCUAUGUUGUUUUUGCAAGUUCUCUCCUUUAUUGUUAUUUGGUGAAAUUGGUGCAAAAAGAUUGUAACUUUAUCCGUGCUAGAGAAUAAUGGAUUUGAAAGAACAGAUUUUGAUUUGAUGCUAUGAAUUAUGAAACAGAAGCAAUGUUGAUGUGAGAUUUUGCUAUGUGUAGGCAUCUCAGCAUCUAAUAGAAUGGCCUCUGAUCUCAAAGCAGAGUUAUCCAAGGAAGCUUUUUUGGGUCUGAAGGUCUGGGAAGUGAUUGGAAUAGCUGUUGCAUUGUUUAUCAUAAUAAUCCUCACUGUGCUAUCACUAUGCCUUACUUCGCGUAAGAAAUCGAGAAAAGCCGGGGCCAGGAUUCCCCACAGUCAAAUUCCAACUGUCUCAAAAGAAAUUAAGGAAGUUCGAGUGGAGCAAAUAACUGCCAGUGAAUUUGUUCCCCGUGAUGGAAUUCUUCUUACCAUUCAUGACAAAUCCAGCGAUAGAGAAUCAGAUAAGGUUAUGGUCCAUCUGGGUAUGGGAAAGUCAAAGAAUGGAGAGAAUAGUAGUCGGUCAGGUUCAUUUAAUCAUUUAGAAAAAGAUGGGGGAGAGUCUCAAUCUGGAGAAGAAGGGAGUUCUACCACGGGUACAGGGUACAAGCCUUCUUCAUCAUAUCCCAUAACUGCUCCAUCUCCUCUAGUUGGUCUGCCUGAAUUCUCGCACUUGGGUUGGGGCCACUGGUUUACAUUAAGGGACCUUGAGCUAGCAACAAGCAGGUUUUCAAAGGAAAAUGUUCUUGGCGAGGGUGGAUAUGGAGUUGUUUACCGGGGAAAUCUCAUUAAUGGAACUCCUGUUGCAGUUAAAAAGAUCCUAAACAACCUGUGAGUUGACAGUUAUCUCCUGAUUUAAUUGUGUUUUGUCCACUCAUGUUGCCAUGUAUUUGUAUUGACCUGAACUGUUAUUUCUUUAGUGGCCAAGCAGAGAAGGAAUUUAGAGUGGAAGUUGAAGCAAUUGGCCAUGUCCGCCACAAGAAUUUGGUUCGUCUUUUGGGAUACUGCGUUGAAGGGACUCACAGGUACCACUUUGUUUUGAAGCAAACAAGUUUAUGUAAUUUAUUGAUUCCAUGAUUUGGAUCUAAAUGGGUUAUUGAAGUACAUGUAGUUCACUGGAACUUGAAUGGAGGAGGAGGGGGAAGAAUCAUUUGUGGCAUACUCUUCUAAGAUGUUAUACAAUAGCAACAGUAUGUUAGUCAUGCAAAAUAUUAUUUUACCCUGAUUUUUCUUUUAAAUUUCAGGAUGUUGGUCUAUGAGUAUGUCAACAAUGGAAACUUGGAGCAGUGGCUUCAUGGAGCUAUGCGUCACCAUGGAUAUCUCACUUGGGAAGCCCGUAUAAAGGUUCUCCUUGGAACAGCAAAAGCGUAAGUCAAAUUAUUUAUGUUCUUUUGAUACCAAGCUGUUCUUAUUUAACAAAAUAUACUUUUUGCAGUCUUGCUUAUCUACACGAGGCCAUUGAACCAAAAGUGAUACAUCGAGACAUUAAAUCAAGCAAUAUAUUGAUUGAUGACGAAUUCAAUUCCAAGGUAUCUGAUUUUGGCCUGGCCAAGCUGCUGGGUGCAGGAACAAGUCACGUGACAACUCGUGUUAUGGGAACCUUUGGGUUAGUAUUCUUUCUAGAGCAUGGCCGCUUUUCCCCUGAUAAAUGAUUUGUGUUCAAUAUUGGAUGUUCACAAUAUAUAUUGAUAGACUGAUCAGAGAUUAGUCAUUCCUCAUUUCUGACUCUUAAUCCAAGUUUUACCACAAUUUUGUUUUUUCAGAUACGUGGCCCCUGAAUAUGCUAAUUCUGGACUUUUGAAUGAAAAGAGUGACGUCUAUAGCUUUGGUGUUUUGCUCUUAGAAGCCAUCACUGGAAGAGAUCCUGUGGACUAUGGUCGCCCUGCUGCUGAGGUAUUCAAAAGCUUUAACAUAUGCUAUAUUCGAAGUUAAUUUAAUCAUCCUAUUAACCACAUUUGUGUCAGCACAGAAUUGAAGGCACAUGAGGUAAGUUAGAUUUACAUUUAGUAAAAAUAUUAAAUAAUGAAUGGUGAACAGUUACAAUUGGAAAAUUAAACCCCUUAAUUUAGUUUGGAAUGCAGAUUUUCUGAGCCAAUAUUGGUCCUCUGUUAAACUGACAAUUUCUGUUGAGUAUAGUUGGCUGAUCCCACCUGAGGAGUGAUGGGUAGCAUUUACUUUGAUUUCCAAACAAUAUUUGAGAGGCAGACAUGUACUAUAGAAUCUAUAUAUGCAUUUAAGAGCCGGUUGUGCAUAGAAAGUUAGAAACAACCAUUCCUACUGAAUGGUUACCUAGACAACUCAACUAUGACCUUGACCUUGACAAAUUCCCAGAUGUCUAUACUCUAGACAGAAAAUGGUCAGCAUGACUGUCCAACUGCUUCGGAUAUCCUUGCCUGUUUUUAGUAACUCCAGGUUCUACUGUAACAAGUGUAUUCUACCAUCGUAGCCCAGUUUAUCAGUCCAAUGCUUCCACAGUACCAAUAGUCCAAUACUUCAAUGUCGGCCACAGAAGCUAAUGUUUUAUGCCCUAGAAGGGUUAUGCACCAGUAGUUUUUGACAUAGUUAGACUAGAUAGACCCAGCAACAUGACUGUGAGGCAAAGCUUAUCUAUAACUCUAUGCAGAAAGUCAUAAUUGUACUCAUGAGUUGCUUCUGUGUCAAUUAAAGAAAUAAUGGUUAUUUUGCUUUUUUCUCAUUUCAUGUAAUCUUCUGAAUAUCUAUUUUUUGCUGGAUAACUGUGUGGAAGUUUUAUUUAAUGCUGUCUCUUAAACUCUCACAGGUAAACCUUGUUGAUUGGCUUAAAAUGAUGGUUGGAAGCAGAAGAUCAGAAGAAGUGGUGGACCCAAACAUCGAAGUCAGACCAUCAACAAGAGCCUUGAAACGAGCUCUCUUGACUGCUUUGAGGUGUGUUGAUCCAGAUUCUGAAAAACGACCCAAGAUGAGUCAAGUUGUCCGUAUGCUUGAGUCCGAGGAGUAUCCUAUACCAAGAGAGGUCAGUUUCUUGAACUUCGUAACACAUGUUAUCAUGGAUUGCAAGUUUUAUUCAUGUAUUGGUAGAGAGAAAGAACCCACAUUUCCAAUUUGGUUCAGCUACCUUGAAUAAAAAUCUAAUUCCAUGCUCUUGCUAGAUUUGUUUAUUUGGCAAUUGUGACAUCUUCUCAAACAUAUCACCUGCCUUGGUAUUUCCUUUCAUUAACAAGACAGAAGAAAUCUCUUUCUUUCAUCAACUAAAUCAAAUGUUAACCUAAUGACCAAAUGCUUUCCCUGCCAAACAUAACUGAUUCUCCAUUGCACUUUUUCAUGCUUUUUUGCUGAGUUUCUCUCUCAAUCUUCAUCUCUUCAUUUUGUUUUCCGAUGUUCUAAACCGUUCUCUUUUCAAAGCUUAUGGGAUUUCGAGGCUUUUUACCUUGUAAUGAUCCCCACAGUAUUGAUUGAGAAAGGCUAGCUAAUGACUAGAUAUCUGAGUUUUAAAAAUUAAUCUCAGCACAGAUUUUUCAGCUAUUUUCUGAGUACAAGUCUUCUUCUUGCUGAUCAGGAUCGAAGGAACCGAAGAACUCAAGCCGGUAGCAUGGAGAUCGACUCCCAAAAGGAAAAUUCAGAUACUGAUCGGAGUGAUUAUCCUGUUUCAAGAUCAGAAAGUAAAGACUACCAACAGCGAUAAUAAAACCAGUAGUUGAUUUCAGGAUCUGAGAAGUAUAUCGAGGGUAAUUCACGAUAUUUAUUUUUUCUACUCUUAAAAUUCUUGGGUUUGACGAGCUCGUACUAUCUAGGACAUGGGGAAGGGGUUCAUGUGGGAGAGGAGGUGGUCCUCAUAUUCUUUGUUUCUAUCUUCCCUUCCCCCAUUUUUUUCCUUGUAGAUUAAGAGAUAUAUAUUGUUUGUGUAUGGAAGUGGUGGUGUUUGUGUGUACAGAGUUGUUGAUCAUCAAAUUUGUUGGAUGCAAUGCUCCUCUUUAGUCUGCUUGCCUAAAUUUGACCAACCAAUGGAGUUAACAUUGGAUCUUUCUGAAAGCUACUGCAUGUGACUGUAAAUGAUCAAUAUGGAAAAGAUAGAUAAUAAACUAAAAUGAAGCAUCUACCUCUGUUCAAACUUCAGGCAGAGAGAAACCUUUGAGAUAAAAAAGAGUGGGAAGUUGAAUACUUGUUGCUUUCAAGAAUCAGUAACUAUGAGGUUGUUAUGACGCCUUGGAAUUUCAUUCGUCUGUGAAACAAAGGUUUCAACAUUUUACUAUGUCGUGGUUUCGGGAGAAAAUAACUGUGAGCAACAGCAAUAUAUGUUUCAGCAGAGCGGUGCAACGCCACGCAAAACCGCUCUUUGAGCCCGAUGUCGUCUUCUCUUCUCUGGAUACUCUCCUUAUAUUGGCACAAUUUGAGGGGCAACAUCGUCGCGACACUGUUCGCUUAUAUAUAUACAGAUAGAGAUAUAUUUUUCCCUGUCAUUGUUGCCUUCAGGUCUUGGUCUUAAGUCAGGCAUCCAAUUUGUUCAUAUCCGAGAUGAAUGCUGAGAACUAGCCUCAGCAAAAAACCUAGCAAUGUUCUGUCCUACUGAGGUGAUUUUUUUUUUGGCCGACACUGCUUCAUAUGUUAAAAUAUAUUUCUGAGCAUCAGCAACUUUCACCGGUAUAAUGCCUCUGCCUGUUUGAUUGCAGGGUAGGCUGUUGUUUGCAGAAUCUGCUGAGCAUCAAUUCAGUUGUGUUCCAAGUCCUAUGACUUUAAGGUAACAAUAUUUUACUGCACUUUCCUCUCUACAUAAGAACAUGGUGAGUUAUAAUGUAUGAAAAGGAGGGGUGUGGCAACAAAGAUUCAAAUAUACUGACAGAUAGGCUCAUAAUGCAUAACUCAUGGAACGAUGCAUGGUUAUCUUGUAUAUCUUACCAAGCAAGGCAAUUAUUUGUUUUGUUAAUUCGACUUCUCUUUGUUUAGUCAAAUUGCUAAUGAUAAUUAAGUACAAAUAUUUCGUCACCUUUCUGUUUAAUAAUUUCUAACAUGUGGUGCGUAAGAAAGGAUAGAGUUAUGCAGAAGCUCAUGUCAUGCUUAAUUAUUUCCCAAGUAUCUUCUCUGUUAAGACUCCAUUGAAUUAGUCAGCUCAAUAUUAGAUCACACUGACUUUGAACUUUGGUCAGUCAACCAAGGAACUACUAAUUUUGAUUUUUGAGAUAUGGUAAGUUUGAUCCUUGGCAGCGGUAUCGUUGCAAUGGUUACUUGGCCAGACUGCAGUUAUAUAAUCGAUAUUAAUUCGAAAUUUACUUGCUCAAAACACAAAAGUGUGUAGUUUGACUGAAAUUGUGCUGAAUCCAUCAGAAUGCAGAAAUGUCAGAUACAUUCACAUAUUGAAGCCGGGGAUUACAAAGGCGUGUUGAUCCCAGAUCCUGAUUGUAACUUAAACCAUUAGUUGAUUAAUCUAAAUAGAUUAUUUAAGAUCAAUCCUGAAAAGGUCCACAAUUCUCCCAGUAACAAGCUAUGUGUUACAUACUAACUCACAUAUCUGGUUUUGUAUUUAUUUAUUUUUCUGUUUUGAAUUUCUUCCUUCAGGUAUGUAUAUUCUAACAAGCAUCAGUUUUCAACUUACGUUUUCAACUUGCUUGGACAGCAAGGAUAAGAAGAAAUGCCAGCAAAGAAUCCUGCAUAUUUAUAUACUCCUCCAGUCAGUUAUUCUACAAAUUGUCCCAAAGUUAACAACUAUGGCACAGAUGGUUGGCAGAGAUGACAUAGAGUCGCUGAGAAUUGAGUUGGAAGAGAUAGGAAGAAGCUUCAGGUCAUCAAUUCAGAGUCAGAACUCCAGCUUUCGAGCCAAUUCAACAUUGAGUUCUGCCAAAGAUGACACUGAUGCUCAAUAUGCUGUGCAGUGGGAAGCCAUUGAGAGACUGCCAACUUUUGAACGGCUCAAGUCAUCUUUGUUUGACAAGGGUGAUGAUGGAAGUGAACUUGAUGGUGAAGGAAAGCGGGUGGUUGAUGUUACCAAGCUUGGAGCUAUGGAAAAGCAUGUCUUCAUAGAAAAGCUCAUCAAGCACAUUGAGAAUGACAACCUUCGUCUCUUGCGAAAAAUUAGAAAAAGGGAUCGACAAGUAAGCCCUUCCUCCUUUUUGGCAUGCCUGCUUGUUAUGUAUGUUUCAAACUUUCAAUUUAAAUGGAGUUAAUACUGCACUUCAAGAUGUAUGUUUGAACGGUAUACUUUUAGUCUUCAUAGUUCAUACCAGUGGAUACUGCAUUGCAGUGAUAGAGAAAUUUUUAUAGUCAAGUCAGACAAGGUGUUGUUGAUAUUUCUGGUGUGCUGAUAGUACAUUGAAUGGUUGUACUCCUUCUGUUUCUAUUCAUUCAUGUGGUAAAUUGGGAUUCAUCCUGAACUUUUUUGGUAGGGUUGGAGUAAAAUUGCCCACUGUGGAGGUGAGGUAUAAGAAUCUGAGUGUGGAAGCAGUGUGUGAGGUAGUUCAUGGAAAGCCCCUCCCAACUCUUUGGAACUCUGUCAGAAGCACACUUUCUGUAAGUAGAAAAAAGUUUAUUCUAGACUAUAUAUGCAACAGAUUGUGUCAAACAAUAUAAUUAGGAUUUAGGAUGCUCAUCUUUUUGUGCUUCCAGAGUAUAGUAGCUUACAAGCACUAUAUAUGUUCAACUCAGCUUCAUGACAUCUAAACAUGGUUUUGAAUUUUCUGCACAGCUCUUCACCAAGUUUCCAGGUUCGAAGACACAUGAGGCCAAGAUAAGUAUUAUCAAAGACUUUUGCGGUUCAAUAAAGCCUGGAAGGUAGGCUAGCAUCAAUCUUUUUACUAAGUUCAACUUAACUAAUUGAACUUUCUCUUGAUCUUUGGAUAUUUGAUGCAAAAGAACAAUUGCCUUAGUGGACCUUUGGGUGCUUAAUCAUUCUAUUGCAGGUUAACUUUACUGCUUGGUCCCCCAGGAUGUGGGAAGACCUCCUUUUUAAAGGCUCUAUCAGGGAAUCUAGAAAAAUCACUCAAGGUUUUGUAGUAUCUUUAUACUUGAAUGUCUUUGUAAUGAGUUGAUAUGAGAAGUUUGUUUUCUUACUUCAUAGUUGUUUGUUUUGUUCAAUGACUAUUUCAGUUCUCUGGUGAAGUUACUUACAAUGGACUGAAGCUAGCAGAGUUCGUUCCCCAGAAAACGUCAGCUUACAUAAGCCAGUUUGACCUGCAUAUUCCUCAGAUGACUGUCAGGGAAAUACUUGAUUUUUCAGCCCGCUGUCAGGGUGUUGGAAGCCGAGCCGGUAUGUUUUUCUGAGUUCUACAUGAUUGGUAUUAGUUGUAUGUAACCUAUUGAUGCAGGAUAAUAGUGUUUAUUUCUUUUCUGCCUACAAAGACAUUAUGCUGGAAGUCAGUAAAAGAGAGAAGGAGGCAGGAAUUAUUCCAGAUCCAGAUACAGAUACCUACAUGAAGGUACUUCAUGCUUUUUUGCUAUCAUCCUUUCCUUGUUUACAAGUUCAUUUGUAUCUUGCACCUCCUGUUAUGGAUCAAGGUUAUGCUGCCUUUGAUGAUUAUAACAAUUAGAUUAAUUCCUAACAGGCUAUUUCUCUCCAAGGACUAAAAAGAACCCUCCAGACGGACUACAUUUUGAAGGUCAUUCUCUUCAAUUUUGACUCUCUUUUCCAAUAAUGUGUGUCUGCAGCUCUGCAUAAUAUUUUUUCGUCAUGGUCAUCGUUUUGCAGAUCCUUGGACUUGAUGUAUGUGCUGACACUCUAGUUGGAGAUGCAAUGCUUAGAGGUAUCUCUGGUGGUCAAAAGAAGAGGUUGACAACAGGUAAUGCAAAUAGAGAUUGGUCAUAAUAAAUAUUUGCUUGUUCUACUGAGCUGACUGAUUAGCAACAUCUACUUUGACCCUACCUUAUGGAUGUGAAUGGUAAUUUUUCAGCGGAGAUGAUCAUUGGCCCCACAAAAGCUUUGUUCAUGGAUGAAAUAACAAAUGGCCUAGACAGUUCCACUGCAUUCCAAAUUGUUGCUUGUCUUCAGCAGCUGGUGCAUAUAACAGAUUCUACUCUAUUAGUUUCUCUUCUUCAGCCAGCACCCGAGGCGUUUGAGCUUUUUGAUGACCUUAUUCUAAUGUCAGAAGGGAAGAUUGUUUAUCAGGGUCAACGGGAUCAUGUCUUGGAAUUUUUUGAGGAUUGUGGGUUUAAGUGUCCCGAGAGGAAAGGGGUUGCUGAUUUCAUCCAAGAGGCAAGUGAAUUGCAGCAUAUGAUGUUUUUGCAUUUCUGCAUAUUGAAGCAGCAAUUAACAUCUUAGUUCUGCAGGUAAUCUCUAAGAAAGAUCAAGCACACUAUUGGUACCGCACAGAACCUCAUAAUUAUGUCUCAGUUGAUAUGUUCUCAAAAAAAUUCAAGGCAUCUUCUUUUGGGAAGAAGCUAGAUGAGGAUCUCAUAGAGCCAUUUGACAAGCUUCAAGACAACAACAAUGCUCUUUCCUUUAGUGUGUAUUCUCUUUCGAAAUGGGAACUUUUUAGAGCUUGUUCAUCAAGAGAACUCCUUCUCAUGAAGAGGAAUUCUUUUAUCUACGUAUUCAAGACAGUUCAGGUCAAAGUUUGUGCUGUUGCAUAUUAUACCUUUACACUCAUUUGGGGGUUGAAAGUUCUAUUAUAUGUGAAGCACUUGGGGAUUCUGAGAUGCUAACAUUUUUUUCCCUGCAGCUUAUUAUCAUUGCACUUAUCACCAUGACUGUAUUUCUGAGGAGUCGUAUGGAUAUUGAUGUACUUCAUGCAAACUCCUACAUGGGUUCCCUAUUCUUUGCUCUUACCAUACUUCUCGUGGAUGGAAUUCCUGAGAUGUCUAUGACACUUCAAAGACUAGAAGUUUUCUAUAAGCAGAAAGACCUGUGCUUUUAUCCAGCUUGGGCUUAUGCCAUUCCAGCAACACUACUGAAAGUACCUGUUUCAUUUGUAGAAGCCCUUGCUUGGACUUCUCUUACUUACUAUGUCAUUGGAUACAGUCCUGAGUUCCAAAGGUGAAUUCAAGUGAACAAUAAGCUCAUAUUAUUUCUACUUUUGAUUUUUCUUUGAAUUAUUGUUAUCUAAUUGACAUCCCAUCUUAAUAUCUAUAGAAGUUAGGUGCACAAGAAUAUAUCACACUAUGCUAAUUGUGGCUGAACUUUUGUUAUGAUAUAAUUUUCUUUCAGGUUCAUCCUCCAGUUCAUUCUACUUUUUGCCGUCCAUUUAACAUCUAUAUCCAUGUUUCGCUUCCUUGCAUCAUUCUUUCAGACCAUGGUUGCCACAAUGACAGCUGGUAGUUUCGCAAUAUUGUUUCUGUUACUGUUCAGCGGAUUCAUUAUCAAAAAACGUAAUGCUGUUUUAUCUUUUCCCCCUUUCAUUUUUAAAAAUCAAUGAAAGAAUAUAAAUUCAAAUCAGAUAUGUUGGUGCUUGCAGCUUCCAUGCCUGGUUGGUUAGGGUGGGGAUUUUGGCUUUCCCCUGUGACAUAUGGGGAGAUAGGCCUCUCUGUGAACGAGUUUCUUUCUCCAAGAUGGCAAACAGUGAGCAAAAUACUAUCAUUUCUGUUCAUUACUCUUAUUUGACACAAUUGAAAGUGCAUUCUCUGACUUACUAAUUAUAUUUCCUUAGAUGCUAUCAACAAAUGUUACUGUCGGGCGUGAAACACUUAAAAGCCGUGGACUAAACUUUGAUGGAUAUUUCUACUGGGUAUCACUUGGUGCCUUAUUUGGAUUCACAUUGAUUUUCAACAUAGGAUUCAUCUUGUCCUUGAGUUUCUUGAAGUGUAAGUAGUUAACUUCCUUUCCUCUUUCUUUUUUUUUUUUUUUUUUUUCUCUCUGUUAUUGUAUUUUAACUUGAGAACUGGAACUUGAAACACAUUGGUUCCUCCCAUUAUACAUUCAGCUCCAGGAUCAUCUCAUGGUAUAAUUUCACAUGAAAAACUUGCCCAAAUUCAAAGAACUGACAAUUCCCUUGAUGAUGCCCAAGUGAAAGAAAAGUCUAGAAUUCAUCCUUCUAAGACCACUGGUAAUGCUUACAAAUUUGACCAUAAGCUUUUUGUUCCUUUAUUUGUCUCCUACAUAUGAUUCUACAGAUCAAAUUUUGACAGUGCCUUUUUCAAUUAACAGGAAAGAUGGUCUUACCCUUUACUCCAUUGACAGUGGUGUUCCAAGAUGUGCAAUACUAUGUUAUUCCUAUGGUACCCUAUUUAGUAUUAGUGUAAAGUUGAUGUGUUUGUAGAGUUAAUAGCUUUUCACAUCACAUGACAUUGUUUAUUUCUUGCUUAUUGUCGUGUUCCAGGAAACCAGGGAGCCGGGAUUUAGUCAGAAGAAACUUCAACUUCUAAGUGACAUUACUGGGGCAUUUAGACCUGGUGUUCUUACAGCAUUGAUGGGCGUCAGCGGCGCUGGGAAAACUACUCUUCUUGAUGUUCUUGCAGGAAGAAAGACUACUGGCUACAUUGAAGGGGACAUAAAAAUUGGUGGAUAUCCCAAGGUUCAAGAAACAUUUGCUAGGGUGUUGGGUUACUGUGAGCAAACCGAUGUUCAUUCUCCACAAAUCACUGUAGAGGAGUCUUUGAUGUUUUCUGCUUGGCUGCGCCUGGCUUCUCAGAUCGACUCAAAAACAAAAACUGUAAGUGUAAGACUGAUAUUUGUAGAAUAUUGUAUCAGAUGUUUGGUUCAGAUACAUUUUUGAGAUAAUAGUCUAAAAAUACUGUCAUAUGUAACAGGAGUUUGUCAAUGAAGUCCUUGAGACCAUUGAGCUUGAUGGAAUAAAAGAUUCCUUGGUUGGAAUACCUGGUGUUAGUGGUCUAUCAAAUGAGCAGCGUAAGCGGCUUACAAUUGCUGUUGAGCUUGUUUCAAAUCCCUCCAUAAUCUUCAUGGAUGAGCCUACAACUGGUUUGGAUGCAAGAGCUGCUGCAAUAGUCAUGCGAGCAGUGAAGAAUGUAUCUGAUACGGGAAGAACAAUUGUUUGCACCAUCCACCAACCGAAUAUUGAUAUAUUUGAAGCAUUUGAUGAGGUAAAACCAAAAGGCUUGGCUUCUAGCUGCAUUAUGCUUAGACAAGGUUGAAACAGUGAAGUGUAUUGCAGCAACUUUAUCAAAUCUUGAUGAGAAAUUUCUUAUUUUACAACUGAAGCUAAUUCUUUUGAAAACUGGAGGGCAUAUGAUCUACUCAGGACAGGUGGGUCAGCACUCGAGUAGAGUUAUCGAGUAUUUUCAGGUUAGACCGCUUCUGGUAUCAGGACUGAACAUACUAGUUGCUUUAAGCAAAAUAAGUUUUAACAAACCAUCGAUCUGCUGAACUUUCUUUCUUUAUAAAUUAAACUUUAUGGCAGAGUAUUCCUGGGGUUCAAAAGAUCAAAAGUAACUACAAUCCAGCAACAUGGAUGUUAGACAUCACUUCCACAUCAGCUGAAGCUGAACUUGGUGUUAAUUUUGCCCAAAUAUACAGAGAAUCUAGUUUAUAUGAGUGAGUACAGUUACAUCAUUAAUUAUCUAGUUGAGUGGUAUUGACUGACGUUAAAAAUGUUUGCCUGAUAUGCAUGACAGCUUUCCUAUAAUAACUUUGCAGGAAUAAUAUAGAGCUUGCAAGACAGUUGAGUACUCCACCUCAUGGUUCCAGAGAUCUGCAUUUUGCUACCCGAUUUUCGCAAAAUGGCUGGAUGCAGUUCAAAUCUUGCUUAUGGAAGCAGCACUUGUCUUAUUGGAGGAGUCCGUCAUACAACUUGAUGCGCAUCAUGCAUACGGUGGUAGCAGCUCUAAUUUUUGGAGCAUUGUAUUGGAACCAGGGGAGGAAAAUGUAAGCCCUUAUCUGUGCAUGCAUAAUGGAAAAUGAUAGACAGAAGUGUUCUAUUCUAUUCUUAAGUUACAGUAUUACUCAACUUAUACCUAACCACCCCUUUUUCCAUUUCAAUGUGGUUCAAUAUUCUGUUAGAACCGACCAGCAGAACUUAUUCAAUAUACUUGGUUCUAUGUAUACCGGUGUCAUCUUCUUGGGCAUAAAUAACUGCGCAACCGUUCUGCGAUAUGUUGAAACGGAGAGAACUGUCAUGUAUCGUGAAAAAUUUGUGGGGAUGUAUUCACCAUUGGCCUUUUCAUUGGCACAGGUACACUUUUCUUAAAUGUACUUACAAGUUCUUGCUACUUGCCAGAAGCUUAAAUUUGUUGUUGUGCUAAAGUUCUUGAUAUUUGUAGGUGGCGGUAGAAGUUCCCUAUAUAUUGAUCCAGGCAGUCAUAUUUAUGAUCAUCACAUAUCCAAUGAUUGGAUACUACGCUUCAGCAUAUAAGGUUUUCUGGUAUUUCUAUGCCAUAUUUUGUUCACUGCUAUACUACAAUUACAUGGGAAUGAUGCUUGUCUCGUUGACACCAAACUUCAUGGUAGCUGCAAUUCUAUCCUCAGUGUUCUACACAUUGUAUAACCUGUUUGCUGGUUUUCUGAUUCCUAAGCCGGUAAGCCUAAGCCUACCCAUUCUCAUUAACAUGUAUAAAUCCAAGUAGAUAGCUAUAGUAAAAUCUAAAAGAAAAUGAAUUCGAUAUGUUAUUCUUGCAGCAAAUUCCAAAAUGGUGGAUUUGGUUGUACUAUCUGACUCCCUCAUCUUGGUCACUAAACGGUUUGCUCACUUCACAAUAUGGAGACAUAAACACGGAGAUUAUCAUAUUUGGGGAACCCAAAACAGUGUCUGCCUUCUUGAAAGACUACUUUGGGUUUCACCAUGAUCAGUUGGCUCUGGUAGCAGUAGUUCUCAUUGCAUUUCCCAUAACUUUUGCAUCAAUUUUCGCCUACUGCAUUGGGCGGUUGAACUUCCAGAAAAGGUGAUUGGGAUCUCCUGUUCACAUAGAUCAGUAUAUAUAGCCAGGAAAUCAGUUCCUUGUAGUUUCUGUACCGCAUAUGGUUGUAACUUUAUGUUUUAAUGAAUUAAUCAAUAAUUGAAGGUAAUCAGCACCAUGUAGCUUGUGAUGUUUCAAAGUGUGGUCUUUCUGGGAGCUUAUCCGCUUGUCCACCUAUAUAGCUAGACUUGACAUGUGCAUACUACUAACGAAAACAUUGGAGUACAUAUACAACCUGGUUUAUAUUAAAGGAAGAAAAUCAGGUUCAAAUGAUUAUUUGUAUCAAUGGAAUGAUUUCAGCUAUUAGAGUGAUUGUUGGAUCAAAAUUAUAUUUAGAUAAUUAGACUUGAUACUUUCCUAGAAUAGUUUCAUUCUCAUUGUAUAUAUGUAAGAGUGCUGUAUCUAUUUUAGAGAUCUAUACACAAACCUUCAUACUCAUAUUCUUAUAUGGUAUCAGAGCACGGAUCUUGGUGACUCUAGAGACUCAUCCAUCUUCCGCAAAUACAUCAAACACUAUCAAACAAAACACUACCAAAUCGACGUUAUGGCCUACACAGAAGGACACAUUGUCCAAAGCCCACAAACAAACAUGACAUACCUACUUAUCCUACACCAUCUCGACGCAUAGUCACACCUACUUGCAAUAUUACACAUACUGAUCCUCAUUCGACAUUAUAUUGGAUCGUGGACAGUGGAGCAACGGACCAUGUUUCUUAUCUAUCACCUACUCACAACAAAAUUACAACAUCUCAUGAUUUUGUUGGUCUACCUAAUGGUGGGAAAGCCACCAUUGAGAGCAUUGGAACAAUUAAGUUGUCAACAGAUUUGAAUCUUGAUGGUGUUCUUGAUGGUGUUCCCAACCACCGCUCCCAUCUCACCCGCCACCGGCAUCACCCCAUCCUUACCUGUGUCGUCGUCGCUCCCAAUAUCUUCCACCAGCGGCCACUCAACAACACCGCCGCUCCACCCUCCACACCCCCGUCGACCACCACCACUAGACAACCUGGCCUCCAUUCCUGAUGCUCCCUCACUGCCCCCGUCCUCCGGCCCUCCAACAUCGUUCUCACCUGACCCGAAUCCACUAACCUCCAUGACUCAGUCCGCCCUACCAGACACAACAUCAUCACCUCCUCCUACCACAACUGCUCCGGCCGCUCCACCAUCUGAGGUCCCACGCCGGUCAGAUCGACCCCGAAAACCACCUUCAUACCUCGCCGAUUACAAAACCAACCAUGCCGUUCUGCUUGGCCAAGCCGUCGCUCUCCCCUCCACGUCUGGCACUCGGUAUCCGCUGCAAAGGUACAUUUCCUACUCUGGUUUGUCAUCUAAUUAUCGCUCAUUUGUGAACAACAUAUCUCAAUUAGUCGAACCAGCGAAUUAUGAACAGGCAAGCCGUGAUCCGCAAUGGGUUGCGGCCAUGAACACUGAAAUUCAAGCUCUGGAAGAUAACGGGACAUGGUCCAUGGUCCCUUUGCCUCUAGGUCAACGCCCUAUCGGUUGUAAAUGGGUCUUCAAGAUCAAGUAUCAUUCUGAUGGUACAAUUGAACGGUACAAGGCUCGACUUGUCGCCAAGGGAUUUAAUCAGAGAGAAGGGAUUGAUUACAAGGACACCUUUGCUCCGGUGGCCAAGUUGAUCACUGUACGUUGCUUGUUGGCUAUUGCUGCUGUCCGCAACUGGCCAUUACACCAGAUGGACGUCCAAAACGCCUUCUUACAUGGCAAACUACUUGAAGAGGUGUAUAUGUUGCCGCCACCCGGUUAUCGCCGACAUGGGGAGAAUUCAGUUUGUCAGCUCCACAAGUCCUUAUACGGCCUCAAACAAGCUUCCCGUAGUUGGUUUCAACGGUUCUCAUCAUCCAUUCAAGAAAUCGGUUUCCAACAGUCUCGUGCCGAUUAUUCUUUGUUUACUCAGGUUCGUGACAAUUCUAUUACAGUGGUGUUGCUUUAUGUGGAUGACAUGAUCAUAACAGGGAAUAAUGAGGAGGCCAUUCUUAGUCUCAAGCAAUUCCUUAAUAGCCGUUUCAAAAUUAAAGACCUUGGACCUUUGAAAUAUUUUCUGGGCAUCGAAGUUGCGCGCUCAGAGGCUGGGAUUACAAUUUGCCAACGAAAGUACACGUUGGAUAUUUUGGAAGAAGCUGGAUUAUUGGGAGUGAAACCUGCAACAGUACCUAUGGAACCUGAUUUGGUGUUAACAACAAAGGGAAGUGAUGCUCUGAAAAACCCAACCAGGUUUCGACGUCUGAUUGGGAAAUUGAUCUAUUUAACAAUCACCAGGCCAGACAUCACAUUUGCCGUCAAUACUCUCAGCCAAUUCAUGCAAGAACCAAAGCUACAUCACUUUAAGGCAGCUCUUCGCCUUCUCCAUUAUCUAAAAUCGGUCCCUGGCCAAGGAUUAUUCUUCUCAUCACAAAAUCAUCUUCGGUUGAUUGGUUAUUGUGAUGCGGAUUGAGCUAGAUGUCCAUUGACACGUCGCUCAGUGACAGGAUAUUGUAUUUUCCUUGGACAAUCACUUGGCUCAUGGAAAAGUAAGAAACAAGCAACAGUGUCUAGAUCCUCAGCUGAAGCUGAAUAUCGUUCGAUGGCAGCAUCCUCUUGUGAGCUCUCUUGGCUUAGAUACUUGUUGACAGAUUUACGGGUGCUUCAUCCUGAACCAGCAUUACUCUUUUGCGACAAUCAAGCUGCUUUACACAUAGCAGCGAAUCCAGUUUAUCAUGAGAGAACUAAACAUAUUGAGUUAGAUUGUCACACUGUGCGUGAAAGAAUUCAGAAGGGGGAAGUCAAAACAGCUUAUGUGUCAACUGGAAAUCAAAUAGCCGAUAUGUUUACGAAGCCAUUGCGAGCACCUGCUUUUCACACACAUCUUGACAAGUUGGGCGUUCUUGAUAUCCACACUCCAACUCGAGGGGGAGUAUUAAAGGAAGAAAAUCAGGUUCAAAUGAUUAUUUGUAUCAAUGGAAUGAUUUCAGCUAUUAGAGUGAUUGUUGGAUCAAAAUUCUAUUUAGAUAAUUAGACUUGAUACUUUCCUAGAAUAGUUUCAUUCUCAUUGUAUAUAUGUAAGAGUGCUGUAUCUAUUUUAGAGAUCUAUACACAAACCUUCAUACUCAUAUUCUUAUAGUUUAGAAUGAAGUUAUACUACUCUGUAAGAAUGAACUGCAGUUUUAUAAGAAAACAGAAGGGAUCGGAUGUUCUUAUAAAUGAGGGUGUGUCAAUGCUCAUUUUUGUAGAUAGAGAUGAAACAGGCUUUAAUUUAGAUGCCGAAAAGGACCAUUUUCGCAUCAGUUUCUACUUCCAUAUGGGGGUUGGUGUUUGUUUUAAAACAGCUUUGUUAUCAUAUACUUCAAGAGUUCCCCAAACAACUGUAUUAGUACAUUGAUAUUGAUUUUGAUGUGGCCUUGCAGCUGAUCCUUUCUAGCUUGUGCACAGAAAUCAAUUACAGUAAUCAAGAGAGCGAUUCUUUACAUGUUUGAUUCACCAAACUCAAAACUCCACUAUUUUCUUCAAUAGAAUUCAACAUGCCAAAUGAAGCCGCUUGAUAGAAUAAAGAAAAAGCACACAUGCACACAAUCAAAAGCAAGCAAUAGCAAGCCUCUUCUUGAUUUGGAAGAAGCAAAUCAAUAAUCAGCUGCUAUUAAGUAGAGAGAUCAGAAUCACAUCCUGUACUCUUUAAGGCUAUUCCCACUUCAAGGUCUUCACCACUUCCCAUGUAAAGUCAGGAUCAUCUCUACCAAAGUGUCCAUAAGCAGCUGUCUUCAAAUACCUUCCCCUCUUGAGGUCCAAGUUAAUGGCAAUCAUUCCAGGCCUAAAAUCAAAGGCCUCCUUCACUAACUUCAGAAUCUCCUUGUCUGGAAUCUUUCCAGUCUUAUAAGUGUCAACAAACACUGAUAGUGGCUCAGGUACACCAAUUGCAUAUGAGACCUGCACUAUGCACCUUCUAGCAAGGCCAUUGGCUACAAUGCUCUUAGCAGCCUGCCUAACAAUGUAUGCACCGCUCCUGUCUACCUUGGUAGGGUCCUUGCCGGAGAAGGCACCACCACCAUGAGCUCCCCAACCACCAUAGGUGUCGAUGAUGAUCUUUCGGCCAGUUAGACCUGCAUCACCGUGCGGUCCACCAAUCACAAAUCGACCUGAAGGGUUGAGAUGGAAAAUAGUCUUCUCAUCUAGGUACUUCUCAGGAACAACUGGCUUAAUGACAUGUUUCUUGAGGUCAGCUGCAAUUUCAUCAUUGGUAACAGUCUCAUCAUGCUGAGUAGAAAUGAGAACCGUGUGGACACGGAGUGGAACCAUAGCACCAUGGUCAUUGUAGUACUCCACAGUGACUUGAGUCUUGCCAUCAGGUCUCAGCCAAGGGCAGGUGCCAUUUUUUCGAACAUCAGUGAGACGUGCACCAAGCUGUGUAGCAAGAACAUGGCUGAGAGGCAUAAGCUCAGGAGUCUCAUCAGUGGCAUAACCAAACAUGUGACCCUGGUCUCCUGCACCAAUUUCCUCGGGCCGCUUGGUGAGGUGGCCAUGCACACCCUGAGCUAUAUCAGGGCUUUGUUGCUCAAUGUUCACCAGGACCUUGCAGUUGUCAGCAUCAAGGCCUACAGCAUCCGAAACAAAUCCAAUGCUGCGGCAGGUGUCGCGCACUAUCUUCUCAUAGUCCACUUUGGCUUUGGUUGUGAUCUCUCCGAAAACCAUGACCAUGUUGGUCUUGGUGCAAGUCUCACAGGCAACUUUGCUGUCAGGAUCUUGUUCAAGGCAGGCAUCAAGCACUGCAUCGGAAAUCUGAUCACAGAGCUUAUCAGGGUGUCCCUCAUUCACAGACUCGGAGGUAAAGAGGAAGGUGUCCAUUUUUAGAAGCUGCAAUAGGACCAAUAUUUGGAAUGAAUAAGAACCUCAGCUUUUAAUUAACCAGUAGCUAAGCAACAUAUUAAGUUAUUAACAAGCAAUAUUACAAGUGUUGGAAUAAGACAUCAAGUCCAUAUCUAAGAUUGCUUUACUUGGAGCAUCUGAACAUGGUAUCUUAGCAUAACUUUCACAAAUUUAUACCUUCCAAAAGUAACUAUACUAAAGGAAAGGGAAACAGGCAACCUUCUACCACCCACCAUUAAAGAACAAAUCCGAUAAAAUCUAACAGAAGGAGAAUCAGCCCUGUUAAACAUCAUGUAGAAAUGGCCUAAAGUCCUAAACUCCUGACUUAACUUUUGAGAACAUAUAUGAAAGUAAAACUCUUCAAGAUCAAGCAAUCAGAGGAACAUCACUGCAAGCAAGUACAACAUUUUGGUGCCCAAUUAAGAAAUCCAAUAAAACACUAUUCCAUAUGACUUUAAGGCAAAGAAACAAAAGCUAGAAGUCAGACAAGCCCAGAGUUGGGUGCCAAAGACAUGAACUUUUGACUCAUUUCUGUAACAGUACUCAGGAAACAAAACAGUCAAUUGAUCAAAACUAAUUGUGAGGCAAUUACAACCAACAAACAACUCAAGAAAGCCAGGAAAUUACAUGUUUACAAUCAAAAGACUAAUUGAACUCCAUAUGAAGACCCCCUAAUGAUAGUUCAGUCAUACAAAAACCCAAAGAAUCAGACACGAGCCCAGAAGCAAAGAAAAAAUCUCGAAGUUGAGUACAAAACCAAGUGAAUUGCAGCAAUCAUCUUAAAAGUAAGAGAAAAAAGAAAGCAAAAGGCCUUAGCAUGAAAUAUAAUAUAUGCUUCGUACUCACUGCUUACUUGAUAAGCAAGAAUCCUGAGCUGCCUAUAUUCUGGGUGCCAAAGCUGGAAUCUUAGGCUCUCUCACACAGAAACUCUAGCUCAGGGCUUUGUAUUUAUAGAGGGAACUUCAUGAAGGUUAUUGGUGCAUGUGUUUCAUGAAGUUUCUUGGCCAUUGGAUGAAAUGAACAGACGACUUAGAUUGAACGGAGUCGGUGGACUAAAGCGACUGACCCUCCGAUUUGGUUAAUUUUGAGGUUUUGUCCAUGGAGGUUUGUAUAUAUUUGCAGUCACUUUUUUGUCUACGUACCUACUUGAGAUUCCAUUAUGUCGAUCAAAUAACUUUGAGAUUCCAUUAUGUCGAUCAAAAAACUAUGAGAUUCCAUUACGCCUACUUUUGCUUUUUCAACCACUACCUAUGUUUUAGGAUCGACCAGAAACAGGCACAGUUCUUCAUUUAGAGAUACAUCUCGAAUAUUUGAUUUCGAGAAAACAUCUACAAUUGUUCAUAGUGUUUUUUCUCAAGAACCCGCUGCAAGCCUGGAAGGAAUCUAAAGUUUACUCGUCGUGAAAUAUGGUUGUUUCUCCCUACAUAUCUCUUGAAUCUGCACAAACUUGGGUGUUGGGAGUUGGUGAAGUUUAUAUUUCCAAGUCGACCAACUCCAUGAUGUAGUCACACACGAUCAUGACAUGAUGAUCAAUAAUUAAAGUUCACAUUAACUAGAUCUCUAUUUGGCUUGGCACUUCAUGCAUCAUGCAUAUCUGUAAAUUGAUAUUUUAAACUCUAAUGUCCUCAUACUAGCCAAAAACUUGCCUUAAUUUUGUUCAUUAGAUGAAAGAUUACCAUCACCAUGAUAUAUAAUCAUACUUUGCUUUCUAUCUCUUUCAGGUGGUAAGGGAUUUUAUAUAUAUAAAGUUCAACACAUGCAAACUGCGCUGAAACACAUUGUAAUUAUUACUUGGUCUGACCGACGUCCUUAGAUUUUUGAUUAUCACUAAAACAAAUAUAAUCAGAAAAGGGUGAAUCUGAAUCAUAUAUUAUUAAGAUCCUGGUGAUGGGUAGGCCUCGUUAGAACUCAUAAUUCAUCAAAGUAUUGGAUUCCACGUUGUUUGCACAUCAUGCAAAUGGCCUCCACCUAACGUCUUUUGAAUUUACACAGUAAUUAAGCAAGGAAAAAGAUAGGUAUAAGGGAUAUAAUGUUAAGUUGUUGGAUUAUGGUUGGUCUAAUUUGAGUUGAUUUAGAGAACAUAUAUAUAUAUAUGUAUAACUUCUUAAAUCCUGCCGUAUGAUGUCACAGAGCAGUCCCAUAUAUGUCACAUAGCAUUAUAGAAAGUUUAGAAACUUUACCUUUAAUCAUUUUAUAGGAAAGUUUAACAUUCUUUUUAGAAAGAAAAAAAAUCAUAAAUGAUCACUGACUUUUGAUCCAUUAAUCAGUUUACUCACUCACAUUUCAAAAAUGUCACUUAACUCACUCACUUUUGAUUAUAUCUCUCACUUAACUCACUGCCGUUAAACUUACCGUUAGGAACUGUUAACAUCGAAGGUAUAUUUGUCUAAUCACGUAAAAUAUUUCUAACUUAUUUUUAAAUUUAUUUCUAAAGUUAUUAGAUCAUUUUCCAAUUUUUUCUUGAAAUUUCUAUGAAAAAGAGUAACUUUAAAAAAUCUGAAAUUAUUUUGAAAAAAUAUAUUAUUUGUAGUUCUUUUUUUUCUGGUACAAAUUAUUUGUAGUUCUUUUCAUCAUAAAAAAGAAAUUAACUUAAAAAUUAAUGCAUAUUUACCUUAAUUAUUUGAAAGUUAUUAAAUUAUGGGACAAUGCCUACUAGCCUUAAAUUUAAGAUUUUUCUUCCCACUAACAAAAUCAGAUUUUUAAAUUCCGACGAGUUAACUUACACAACAAAAAGACAAGUAUGCCCUUAAUGAAUUAAUAAACUAUAACAGAACAUUAUAAAAGUCUAGUAUGAAAUAAAGAUUUUUAUGACCGGAUUCCCAAGGCGGGCGACUGUUGACCAAACUCCGACAACCGUUGAUCGGACUCCGACAACCGUUUACAUGAUUCCGACGACCGUUGACUGGAGUCCGACAAUAUGAUGUCUACUGGGGGUAGUAGGAGGGUCUACUGACAAAAUGAUGUCUACAUGGGACAGUAGAAGGGUCUAUUAGGGACAGUAGGGGAUCAUGAGGGUCUACUGAAGGGCAGUAGGGGUUUACUAAAUGCAAUAGAAGGGUCAGGAGGGUCAACUGGCUGAUGGACAUAAAAAAUAGCAUCACCGAACAUAGAACCCAAUGCACAAUUAGCAGAGGAUUGUUUGCAAGGUACAUCCAUCUAUUCUACCAAUACAUAUACUUGCAAAGCACAUAUCAUUCAACCCUGAACUAGAACACUACAAACAUUCAAAUGCUCACCACUGUGGACUUGGCACCAAACUCAUAUCCUAAAGCUUCAAACUACGAAAUAUGAAUAGCAAGCUCCCUAAAGUUCACGAAAAUUGCAAACUGAACAUAAAGCAUCUGGUCUAUCACACCCAACAACAUCAACAACUUGAACAAAGAUAAGACAUUAACAAUAAUUUAAUUGAGGUAUUAGUCUACUACCACCAUAGAAAGCGACGUCACUUCUCUAAUAACCAUGAAUGAAUUAGUAUUUAAUUUGGUCAUAAUCACAACUCCACAAGACCUCGACCUCACCAAACACUGCUUCAACUAUUUUCUGAACAGAAUUCUUCACGCUUGAACUUAAAUCCGGCGAUCGGUGCCGAGAUUGAAGAUGAAGCAAGAAGAGGAAGAGGAGUGACCUUGCUCAUGGGGACCUAAUCUUUAUUUACAAUUCCUCAAAACCAAAGAAAAAAAAAUCUCAACUGACCGCCGAAAAGCUGACGAUCUCAACGGCAGACUUGGAGACGAUCUCAAUGCAGAGGACUUUGAGGCAGAUCCACCACCGCUGAAAAGCUGACGAUUAGAUCCACCACCGUUGUCAGAUUCAUACCGGUGUUAGGGCACUGAGGACGAUCUCGACGCAGAUCCAAGAGUGGUAAAGUCGAUGUGAUUUAUGGCGAAGGUUGGGGAGUGGAGGGAGGAGCCGUUGAGGCGGGGUU